Molecule: long non-coding RNA, 91241 nt
Filed under: Vitis vinifera (wine grape)
Lineage: Eukaryota; Viridiplantae; Streptophyta; Magnoliopsida; Vitales; Vitaceae
Description: long non-coding RNA (VVIN_LNC001392)
Source: RNAcentral
CUGGUGGCUUCUCUCCCUUAGGUGGUUUGCCAACUGGGGUUGGUGGCUUGUAUGAGUCUUCAGCAUUCUCUGCAGGAGGGUGACCAGGGUUGUGACCAUAAUGUGGUGGCUUCUCUCCCUUAGGUGGUUUGCCAACUGGGGUUGGUGGCUUGUGUUCUGGGAGUGGCUUCUCCCCCUUGGGAGGUUUUUCCAAUGGGGUUGGUUUGUGUUCAGGAGGUGGCUUCUCCACUGGAGGCUUGUGUUCAGGAGGUGGCUUCUCCACCGGAGGCUUGUGUUCAGGAGGUGGCUUCUCCACCGGAGGCUUAUGCUCUGGUGGUGGCUUCUCCACCGGAGGCUUAUGCUCUGGUGGUGGCUUCUCGAAUGGGGGAUGCUUAGGGUAAUCAGCAAGUGAGGGGGCGGUGAGAACCACCAGGCCAAGCAAGACCACUAGCAAGUAUGUAGGAGACAUCUUUGGGUUUAGACUCAGAUGGUGCAAAACUAGGAGAAUUGUCUUUUAUAGCGGAUCGCACCCAAUAAUGAAAUGACACGUGUCUUUAUGACCCAUGUGUAAUGGGGUCGAUUUGGGUCCUACAGUGUUGAAAACUUCGACAUCCACUUUUGGCCUUUUGCUUUCUCUACAGCCGCCUUGCUUUUUCCCUCUUUCCUUUUGUUUUCCUCCUGCCCCAUUCUAUCAACUAAACACAAUUAUGUAGUUGUUUAAUUCUUAAAUGAGAUAUUAUCCGUCAAUCGUAUCAUAUUUUAUCAACAGAGAACGGAGUGCAAUGUGGCAAUCCAAAGAAAGAAGAUCCAUAAUGCAGCUGUAAUUUUAUCGUUUACUUUUAUCUCUUGGACCACUGCAUUUUUGUUAAGAGGUGCAAUAAUACACGUCUUUAUCUGCCAUUCAAUGUUUACAGUAAAGAGAGGGCACAAAACUCUUCACUGCUCUGCAUGUGUCCCAAAAAUGCAAUUGGACAAAUUAUGAUUUGCAUGCUAAAAAGAGGCAAAUGAGGUUAAUUCGCACCAUAAUUAUUUUGUUUUCUGGACCCCGGGGCCCUUUGGUUGGUUUGGGGGUCAGAAAAUGAACAUCAUAGGGGGUUUUUCCCUUAUGUGCAUUUGUAUCUGAUGGCUUUAACUCGCCUUGUUACUACAAAGAAAUUGUCACAUAUAGGAACUUAUUCCAGGCUGAGUAUCUCCGCAUAGACCCUAUAAAAGAAGACAAGUCAUAAUGAACAUCUAACCUUUGUUCAAUUUGAUUCAAUGCCCCAUUGUGUCCACCUCACAAAUCUGAAUUAUUAUAUCCAUUGAAUACAUAAAUUAAUGAAGAAAAUAUGAAACCCAAGAUACAUCUCUGCACAACCUCAACCCUGGUUGCUAUGUUUCCCUUCUAUUCACAUGAGGAUAUUGAUUACGGAAUAGGGAAACCUAGCAAGGGUUUACUCGGCUCUGGUUUGAUGCUAAUUGCCAAACUUGCAACAAGCCCUGAGUUUGAAGCUCACAGAAGAUGUUAUACAGGCAGGGAAAAACCUUCAGAGUUCGCUGCCAAAGAUAAUUAUUAAGGAGAUAUCACCAAGAGAAUUCCAAGGAGUCUGAAUCAAAGACAAAUUGGUCGUUCGUGGAGGUUCUUACUUUCUUUUGGGUAUAACUCACUGAGGGCACUGUCUUUUUUAUUUUCAUUUCACAUUUAGAGUUCUGUUCUGGAAACAUAUAAAAGGAGCAUCAGUUUGUUCUUGGGUAACCCAUAGUCGUGAGUGGGUCCAUUUGCAUGCUACUUAGUUGAAAAGUUGGACCAUUUGCUCCGACGCCUACCUCCUGGAUUCCAUGCUCGGAUAAAACAAGAAUAAAAAAAUAUUUAUAAUUUACAAAUGGGGGAAAGAAAAAAAUGUCAACAACAAACUAGGAAAAAAGAGUAGUAAAAUUCAUGUCACAUGCUAGUGAGAGAAGGGGUUGUUACACUCACUCGAAGUUCUUUUCAAAAUAUCGCAUGGUAUUUUAUUUUAUGUGUGAGCGCAGUUGUGAAUGGAACGUGCAAAAGUCCAAAUUGGUGACCUUUAAUAAAUAUUUAAAACAAAAAACGAAAAAAAGGAGGGAAAAGGGAUCAGAAAAGAUAAAACAAUGUGUACAAAAGCUCAAUUAGUUUGCAAAUUACUGUUUGGAUUUUGAUAGUAUUUUAUUUGAUGUAAAAGAGAAUUUAAGAUAUUUCCGAAACAAAAGCAUUAGUUUGCUCCAUGUCAAUUUCGGCAUUUCUCAUAUGUUUCACACAUACACAGAAGAGCAUCGUUUUUUAAAGCAUGCAUUUAUGUUGGAUUAAUUUGGAUUUUGUGGGAACUGGGGCAAGGAUCACAUGGAAGAGAGGUUGACUUUUUUCAGUACUUCAAUGGUUGAGACAGGUGAAGGCCUGAUUGAUACUGAAGCCUGAAAUUGCGACUCCGUCAUUUGUCAAAACAUAUGACAGCUUCCAUGCUCUCGUUUGGUUGCAUUGUUCUGUGGUCAUGCAUACAUGCCACUUAGUGAUCAGUCUGUAACUGUCAAUCAUUGGGCUUUGACUGAACAACAUCAGCCAUGUAUAAAUACUUGCAAAUCAAACGGUCUUCUUCCUCCCAUAAGGAAUUUCGGUUUAAUUAUGAAGCAUGCAUUUGGCUGACCAUCAUAAACCACUUCUUUAAAUUGAUGAAUGAUAGUUUUUCAUUCAUUCUUUCAUUCGUUCAUAUACAGAGUAUAUAUAGAGGGUAAUCAUCAUUCUAAGAAUGGGAAAGAAUGAUACAAGGAAAUAAUGAUAUAAAGAAAUAACAACUAAUAUUCUAAUAUCUCAACUUUCCUAAUAUCUAAACAUUCCUAAUAUCUCAACACUAAAUGAUAUAAAGAAAGAAUGAUAUAAGGAAAGCAUUCCUAAUAUCUCAACACUCCUCCUCAAGUUGGUGCAUAGAUGUCAAACAUGUCCAACUUGUCUAAAAAUUUUGAGAACAGUUGACUUGAGACAUCUUUGGUGAGGAUAUCGGUCAAUUGAUCUUCUGAUCGAAUCUUAGGCAAUUCCACAAUCUUAUCAUCCAACUUUUCCUUAAUGAAAAAUCUAUCCAUCUCGACAUGCUUUGUACGAUCAUGUUGUACUAGAUUAUGAGCAAUGUCACAUGCUGCUUUAUUGUCACAAAACAAUCGGAUUGGUUGCCUAGAUAGGUAACCUAAAUCCUAUAAGAGGAGUCUUAGCCAUAAUGCCUCACAAAGUCCUAAAGUCAUACCUCUAAAUUCCGCUUCUGCACUUGAACGAGCGACGACAUUUUGCUUCUUACUUUUCCAUGUCACAAGAUUACCACCUACAAAGGUAAAGUAACCAGAUGUAGAUCGCCUAUCAUCCACUGCACCGACCCAAACAGCAUUAUACUUCUAUACUCUGAUGAUCAACAUUUUUAGCGAACAAAAUUCCCUUCCUAGGAGCAUUCUUCAAAUACCUCAAAAUACGCAUGACUACAUUCAUAUGUUGCUCUCCAGGAUUAUGCAUGUAUUGACUCACUACACUCAAUGUAUAAGCAAGAUCUAGUCUUGUAUGAGCUAAGUACAUUAAUCUCCCCACAAGUCUCUGGUAUCUUCCCUUAUCGAUUGAUACUUGAUUAGGCUCAACACACAAUUUCAGACCUUCUUCUAUUGGUGUAUUAAUAGGUUGACAUCCCGACAUUCCAGUUUCCUGUAGAAGAUCUAAGGCAUACUUUCUUUGAGACAGAAAAAUUCCUUCACUUGAUCGAGAAACUUCAAUCCCAAGAAAGUAUUUCAGACGACCAAGAUCUUUCAUUUCAAAUUCUCUAGAUAGAUACUUUUGCAAAGCUUUUCUUUCUUCAGGAUCAUUUCCUGUAACUACAUGUCAUCCACAUAUAUCAUAAGUGUCGUAAUCUUACCAUGUUGCUUUUUCAAGAACAAAGUGUGAUUUGAAUUACUUUGAUGAUAGCCAAAAGCUCUCAUUGAUUUUGUGAACCUUCCAAACCAUGCUCUCGGGGAUUGCUUCAACCCAUACAAUGACUUCUUCAAUUCGCACACCUUCUGACAUUGCUUUUCUGACACCAUGCAUCCUGGUGGAAGAUCCAUAUAUACUUCUUCAGAUAAAUCGCCAUGCAGAAAGACAUUUUUUACAUCGAACUAUUGUAAUGGCCAAUCUAGGUUUGCAGCUAAAGACAAUAAUACUCGAACUGUGUUGAUCUUAGCUACAGGUGCAAAUGUCUCUGUGUAGUCAAUUCCAUAAGUUUGAAUGUACCCACUAGUCUUGCUUUAAAUCGUUCAAUACUACCAUCUGCCUUGUACUUCACAGUAUAGAUCCAACGACACCCAACUAGCUUCUUUCCUGGUGGACAUUCUACGAGUUCCCAUGUUUCAUUUUUCUGCAAUGAUUUCAUCUCUUCAUUCAUGGUUGCUUUCCACUUUGGAUCAGCUAAAGCUUCCUGCACACUAUUAGGAAUAGCUACAGUAGAUAAUUGAUUUACAAAUGACUUAUUUGAUUCAGACAAACCAUGGUGUGGACCCGCAUUUUUCACGUGCGCCUCUACUCGAUCGGCGAGACUCGCUUUCUAUUUGUGAAAAAUUAAUUUUAGAAAAGUUGGAGUCGCCACCUAUUUUAUUUUUAUUUUGAAGGGAAAAUAAAACAAGAAAGAAAAACCCUAAAAAGUGACUCCAUAGUUUUGGAAAAAGCAUGUCUUUGGGAAACCUGAGUCUAGGUCCGGGGAUCAUGUUACUUAUUGGGAAGGUACCUCUAGGAGGUAGCACCCCUCUAAGCCUUAUGAAGGUCUCUACUAACUAAAUUAAGGGAAGUGUGGCAAUAAAUCGAUUGAUCAUAGAUACCUAAGUAGACUAGGUGAUUUUAAAGUGUGGCAUGUCAAACACAAUCAAAUUGCAAUAAAGGAGAGUUAGGGCGCGUACCUGAACCGCUUCUCAAGCGCUAUCAUAAAACAUCAAUGGUUAAUUUAAAUAAUAUAUCAUCCAGCAUGUAUUUUAUUAGAAAUAAUCAAACAAUGAAACAUGUAUAUCAGAACACUCAAGCAUUAUUAGACAUAAGCAUUAUUUCACUAUUCACAGAAUUCAGAAAGUAGGUGAUAGAGGACAUACCUGGAUAGCAUAGAUAAUUUGUAAUGUGCUUCCUCAAGUUGUAAGGGGUUAGAUAACAAAUAAUAAAAUAUAGAAAUCCUAGCAUGCUCGUUAUCUAAUUAGCAUAGCAAAAGUGAUCACAGUAUACAGAAUCAUCAAUUAUCACAUACAUCUUGUAUAUAAUUCCUAAAAAAAAUAGAUAGACAUGAUUUCAACAAGUGUCAAAUGUGGCAACAAAAAUAAAUUUUGAAAAGAUUUUCUUAUGUAGGGGUUUCACCAAUUCCCCAAAUUAAUAUACACGAAUUUAGCUUAGAAUUAUCCCAUUUAUUUGGGACUACAAGCUUUGAUUCGUGUUUUUGUUCAAAACCAAAAAUUUUUGUUGAAAAUCAAGAAGGAUGCGAACCGAACAAGAUAUGGUUGCAUAUUAUUUUUAAAUAAAUAAAUAAAUAAAUAAAGGAGAUUUUGAUCCUGAGGACUUUAAUGAGUUUUUUUUUUUAAAAUAGAUUUUUAAAAUGAUUUUUUUGAGAAAAGUAUUUUAUUUUAAAAUAAAAGGGAUUAAUUUGGGAAAAAAAUAAAAUAUAAGAAAUAAAAUACCAAACAAAACAAAAAUGAAACCUCAAAGUAAAAUUUUUUUAGUAAUUAACAAAAAUGAUAAUGGUGAUGGUAGAGGGCAAUCUUCAUGAUUUUCCAAUGGCCUCAGAAAGAAAAUCAAAUUAAAUGAAGGAUCACUAACAGGCAAGACAUUCUAAAUUAGACAAACUAACAAAGUAUCAAUUCAUGAACUAACCGCUAGGAUUUUGAAAGCAUAUAAGCUAAGAUAAGGGUGAUCAGGAACUAAUAUUAAUGAUUUUGAAAUAAAAACUAAAAAAAAGGAUCAAUUCGGGUAAGGAACUAAAAUUAUAAAAGUACCUAAACUAAUUAUGACGAGUUUGACUAAAUUAAACUAAAAACAUGAACUUUCAAACAUAGAAUUAAUUUUACUAAUGAACCAAAGCAAACUAAAAAUAUGUACUUUCAAGCAUAGAAUUAAUUUUAUUGAUGAACUAAACUAUAACAAAUAUCUAAACUAAAUAUAAUGAAUCAAAUUAAAUUAAAGCAACUUAAAAACGCAAACUUUCAAACAUAGAAUCAAUUUUAUCAAUGAAUUAAAACUAUAAAUGUAUUUGAACUAAAUAGAUGAAUCAAACUAAAUCAGAGCAAAAUUAAAAAAAAAAAAGAACUUUCUAACAUGAAAUCAAUUUUAUCAACAAAUAAAUGAAUGAAUAACAAGUAAUUAAAAGAAUAGCUACUACAUGAAUAACUGAAUGAAUAAAAUUCAAAUGUUUUCAAUCUGAAGCAAUCAAUCAAAAUUAAAUAGGGAUCAAAUCAAAAUAAUCGAAAUCGGAAAAACAAUAUGCAAUCUUUCUAAAGGUUUAACCAGACAAUUGAAUUAAAAUUAUGAAUAGAAUAAAUUAAUAAACCAAAUCGAAACCUAAAUUGUACCUAAAAAGAUUAAUUAAUUAAACUAAGAAAUCAAAAUCAAUAACAAAACUAAACUAAGGAGUAAAUUAAGACAAGACUAAUUAAAUUAAACUCACAAACACGUUUUAACUAUCAUAUGGAUUAAAACAAAAUUAGCAUGGACUUAUGAAUUACGAACAAAAAUAAUCAAAACUAUUUUAAAAAACUCACCUCUAUUAUAAGAAAAAAUCUGCCUUUGAUGCGUUGAGGUGGCUCCCCUCUCUGUGUGGAUCUCUCUGCUCCCCAGAAAAAAAAUGUCUCUUCCUCCGUUCUCUUUUGUUUCAGCAAAAUAAUAUAUCCCCUGCUGUGGAUCUCUCUACUCCCAGAAAAUAAUAUAUUCUCUCCGUGUCCUAAAGUGGACCUAGGGUGCCUAAGUGGACCUAGGGUGCCUAAAUGGGCCUAGGGUGCCUAAAUGGGCCAAGUGUAUCUAAAUAGGCUUAGGGUGCCUAAGUGGGCCUAAGUCUAAGUGAGCCUAAGUCUAAAUCAAGACUACCAAGGAUCAUAAUAAGGGGUUAGGCAAUCCCUUAACCAAAGUCUCCAAGGUGGCUAAAAAAAAGUAAGUAGUAUGAGUAGCUAUGGGUCACCAAGGAACUACUGUGGAGCAUUGAAAACGAAUUUAAAGACAUGUGCCAAAGGGACAAAAUUGAGGGUCUACAGAUGGUUAGACACAUAGUUGCUCAUGGGAUAUUUGACUUUGGUAAACAAUUCAGAUUCAUAUGUGGGUUUAGGAAUACCUUUAUUAUGACGGUGUGGUAAUCGUUUCAUGAAUGGAUCAGGUUGCAAAUUAAGAACACCCUCAGCAAACAACGAUUGGUUUGGUAUUUCAGUGAAGACAUCUUCGAACCCAAAUUGUUGACCACUCAUAUCCAACUCACCCGCUUCCUGGUUCACUAGUUCAGAUUGUCCAAAUUCAUCAUUCUCAUAGAUAUGAUAAUCAUAAUCGAGAGUCUGAAUUUCCUUAUGGUACUCCCCCUGAAGUUCAGACUUAGAUGAAAAAUACAUCGAAUAUUCAUGAAACAGCNNNNNNNNNNNNNNNNNNNNNNNNNNNNNNNNNNNNNNNNNNNNNNNNNNNNNNNNNNNNNNNNNNNNNNNNNNNNNNNNNNNNNNNNNNNNNNNNNNNNNNNNNNNNNNNNNNNNNNNNNNNNNNNNNNNNNNNNNNNNNNNNNNNNNNNNNNNNNNNNNNNNNNNNNNNNNNNNNNNNNNNNNNNNNNNNNNNNNNNNNNNNNNNNNNNNNNNNNNNNNNNNNNNNNNNNNNNNNNNNNNNNNNNNNNNNNNNNNNNNNNNNNNNNNNNNNNNNNNNNNNNNNNNNNNNNNNNNNNNNNNNNNNNNNNNNNNNNNNNNNNNNNNNNNNNNNNNNNNNNNNNNNNNNNNNNNNNNNNNNNNNNNNNNNNNNNNNNNNNNNNNNNNNNNNNNNNNNNNNNNNNNNNNNNNNNNNNNNNNNNNNNNNNNNNNNNNNNNNNNNNNNNNNNNNNNNNNNNNNNNNNNNNNNNNNNNNNNNNNNNNNNNNNNNNNNNNNNNNNNNNNNNNNNNNNNNNNNNNNNNNNNNNNNNNNNNNNNNNNNNNNNNNNNNNNNNNNNNNNNNNNNNNNNNNNNNNNNNNNNNNNNNNNNNNNNNNNNNNNNNNNNNNNNNNNNNNNNNNNNNNNNNNNNNNNNNNNNNNNNNNNNNNNNNNNNNNNNNNNNNNNNNNNNNNNNNNNNNNNNNNNNNNNNNNNNNNNNNNNNNNNNNNNNNNNNNNNNNNNNNNNNNNNNNNNNNNNNNNNNNNNNNNNNNNNNNNNNNNNNNNNNNNNNNNNNNNNNNNNNNNNNNNNNNNNNNNNNNNNNNNNNNNNNNNNNNNNNNNNNNNNNNNNNNNNNNNNNNNNNNNNNNNNNNNNNNNNNNNNNNNNNNNNNNNNNNNNNNNNNNNNNNNNNNNNNNNNNNNNNNNNNNNNNNNNNNNNNNNNNNNNNNNNNNNNNNNNNNNNNNNNNNNNNNNNNNNNNNNNNNNNNNNNNNNNNNNNNNNNNNNNNNNNNNNNNNNNNNNNNNNNNNNNNNNNNNNNNNNNNNNNNNNNNNNNNNNNNNNNNNNNNNNNNNNNNNNNNNNNNNNNNNNNNNNNNNNNNNNNNNNNNNNNNNNNNNNNNNNNNNNNNNNNNNNNNNNNNNNNNNNNNNNNNNNNNNNNNNNNNNNNNNNNNNNNNNNNNNNNNNNNNNNNNNNNNNNNNNNNNNNNNNNNNNNNNNNNNNNNNNNNNNNNNNNNNNNNNNNNNNNNNNNNNNNNNNNNNNNNNNNNNNNNNNNNNNNNNNNNNNNNNNNNNNNNNNNNNNNNNNNNNNNNNNNNNNNNNNNNNNNNNNNNNNNNNNNNNNNNNNNNNNNNNNNNNNNNNNNNNNNNNNNNNNNNNNNNNNNNNNNNNNNNNNNNNNNNNNNNNNNNNNNNNNNNNNNNNNNNNNNNNNNNNNNNNNNNNNNNNNNNNNNNNNNNNNNNNNNNNNNNNNNNNNNNNNNNNNNNNNNNNNNNNNNNNNNNNNNNNNNNNNNNNNNNNNNNNNNNNNNNNNNNNNNNNNNNNNAACCAAAGGAAGCAUGUUCCAGACGUCGAUGCCACAACCAAAUUUCAGACUUUUUCUUCUCCUCCUUAGAUCCAUCUGCCAUCAAGGCUUGUUGCAACUUAUUUGAAUCCUUUGAUUGCAAGUCCAAGUAUAGAGUUUCCCCCGCUUAAUACGACAACCAAUCGUCUGUCUUGUUUGAAUGUCCUUAAUCACACAAAAUUCAGGCCAAAAAAUGACAAUACAAGAUAAGGCUGCAGUGAUUUGAGAAACUAACAAAAGAUUGUAAUCUAAAGAUGGAACAACUAAAACAGAAUCCAAAUUCAAAGUAUCAGUAAGAGUUAAGGAUCCUUCCCCAAUGACUGGGGUUGUGUUACCAUUGGCUGUGGAAACAAUUUUUUGUGAGGAAGGUCUAAGGGGUGAAACCUGUCUAGAAUCAAAAGUCAUAUGAUCUGUAGCACCAGAAUCAAUUAUCCAUGCACUAUUAAUAACAGGUGUAAAAGUAUUUAAAAACUUACCACAAUGAUCUGUAGCGGCUACUAAUGCAGAGACUUUCUCAACAACAUUAGUCUUUGUUUUUAUUUCGGUAACAGUUGCAAUCAAGGUUUUCUUGGAAUUCUUCUUCCGUUGAUCACGAUUAUUAUCAUUAAUAACAAAGUGUUGAUAGCCUAAACAUGAUCUAAAGGUCCAUGGUGCAAACCCUCGGUUCCUCAUUGUUUUCCUGGUCAUACCAAGAGUUGUUGCUUUGAAAUUGUGGGAUAUCCAGACUGGUGGGAUCAGUUUUAUUGCAGUGAGUGCAUUUGAAUGUUGACUUAUCAAUAUUAGGGCUUGUCUUCGGAUGGUUGAUUGCUGUUGGACUACCAUAGCGACAAAAUAUCCAGGAUUUCAAUUCCAGGGCUCUGAUACCAUCUUCAAAUUGAUGAAUGAUAGUUUUUCAUUCAUUCUUUCAUGUACAGAGUAUAUAUAGAGGGUAAUCACCAUUCUAAGAAUGGGAAAGAAUGAUACGAGGAAAUAAUGAUAUAAGGAAAUAAUAACUAAUAUCCUAAUAUCUCAACUUUCCUAAUAUCUCAAUAUUCCUAAUAUCUCAACUUUCCUAAUAUCUAAACAUUCAUAAUAUCUCAACACUAAAUGAUACAAGGAAAGAAUGAUAUAAGGAAAACAUUCCUAAUAUCUCAACACCACUUCAUGAUAUAUAUAGUUUCUUACCCUUAAUCAAUGGUUUCUAAGUGAAUUUAUAUAGAAAGAAAUCCAAACUGUAGACAGCAGUAUUGGUAACACUCAAUAUUCUGUAUAUAAUAGAAUAAAUAGCGUCACAGUGAUCGUCGCCUACAAGCAAGGUACAAAUACCACAAAGAGUGACCCACAUAGACAUUCCCCAACAAGAUGUAGUAGUGACUGACACAUAGCCACAAUUAACACGUAGAAAAGGAUAAGACCGGUGCACAGUAGCUCUUAUUUUACAUACUACUUAUGCCAACCAAAGUCACUCAGUUGGGAUGGGAGGGAGAUGGAGGUUUGUGCGGUGGCUUGUGGGGCGGAGUUGAUGGCUUCUUUCCAGGAGCUUCUGGCUUUUUCAUCGGAGCUGAAGGAGGCUCAAUCUUAUGAGGCGGCUUGUACGAGUCUUCUUUGCUCUCGAAAGGAGGGUGGCCAGGGUUGUGACCAUAAUGUGGUGGUUUCUCUCCCUUGGGAGGUUUACCAAUUGGGGUUGGUGGCUUGUGUUCUGGGAGUGGUUUCUCUCCCUUGGGAGGUUUAGUGGGUGACUUGUGUUCUGGAGGUGGCUUCUCCACCGAAGGCUUGUGCUCCGGUGGUGGCUUUUUGGUUGGAGGGGGCUUGGGGUAAUCAGCAAGAGAUGGGGUGGUGAGAACCACCAGUCCAAGGAACAACACUAGCAAGUAUGUGGGAGACAUUUUUGAGUUUGGGCUGAUCAGAUGAUGCAAAACUAAAGCAUUACGUGACCUUUUAUAGCAAGUAGCUCCCAAUACCUACUUGACACGUGUUACUGUGACCCAUAAAUAUUAUGGGGUCUAUUUGUGCCCUACCGGGUUGAAAACUUGGACAAUUGGGCAAGGACCCGCCUGACUAUGGAGGACUACUGAGGUGUGAUCACAGCUUUAGGAUUUUUCUUCCUCUGCAGCCGUCUUGCCGUUGGCAUGAUUUUCUUAAUCUCAAAUAAAGGCAUAGUUAUAGAGUUGUUUAAUCUCUAAAUGGGAUUUUAUAUAUCUUCAGAUAGCCAUUAAUACAUUUGAUGAAGAAAGAAAGACAAGUGCAUACAACAUGUAUACGACUAGCUUUCAUGGAGUUCAUUUAUGAUCAGUUUUCCUGUACAUGUAAACCAAGAUCAUAUAUGUUUUUGUUCCACAACAAUUUUGGAAUCUUGUUUAUCCGUUUUUAUCAUUAUAAUGUCACAUAGGCUGCCAACUUGGGCGCUAAAUUAAAGAUCCAGUUGGGCAAGUUCGUUUCAGAAUUUCAAUGGUGGAUUCAGGAAUUGUUUUAUAAGAUAUGCAAAAUAGUAGAGGGAUGAAUAGUGUUUCAUUAAGAAAAGAGCCCUGUAAAAAUAUUGUUUAAAGGUGCCAUAGAAACUAUAAUCAAUAAAUAACUUUUUUUCCCCAUGGGUGGUGUUUCUUGUGGGGAUCAGUGACUGGUUUGAGUCAACGCCGUGUCUCUUUAGUCCAGAAAUCAACUAUUUUAUGCAUUGAAUACAUCAACAAAGAAAAUAUGAAAGCCAAAUGACACCUCCCCCGCAAAAACUAAACCCUGGUUGCUAACUUUCUAUGUUUCAGUUCCAUUCACACAAGAAUAUUAGUUCAAGUUUGAGAAAAAUGGCGACUUACCUAGUGAUAACUCGGUCUUGGUUUGCGAUUUGACUUUAACGUCAUGGGUUGAAGCCUCCUACAAUCAUCGUGUAUGCUAGUUCAAAGCUCGUGGAAGAAGUUAUACAGGGAGGGAGAAACCUCCACAGCAAGCUCCAAAAGAGAAUUAUCACAUUGAAAGCUCCAGUUGAACACUGGGUGAAAGCCAUAACAAGAUUGGUUUUCUAUCGCUCUUUUAAGUAAUGGAAGAUUAUUAUCUCUGCUUGUCACUACAACCGUGCAUGCUGCUAGAUCUUUCUAGACACUUCAAACAGUGAAACCAAGUAUGAUUCUUUUUCUCUUGAGUGGGUCCACUUGCAUGCCAAUGAACGAGUUGAAAAGUUGGACAAUUGGCCACAGCGCGCACUUACCUUCUGGAACCGAAGGUCAGUGAAGUGGGGUUCCUUUUGGCCCCUUGUGUUUCUGUUCCAACCUACUCCAGGAACCGAAGUUCAGUGAAGUGGGGCUACUUUUGGCCUCUUGUGUUUCUGUUCCAACCAAACAAAAAUGGGAGGGAAAAAUAGCAUUAUGCUUGUGCUAAAGAUCAACGCAUGAUAGCUGAAUAAGGGAGAAAAAGGCAUUGCUAUCUCAAUUUCAUAAACUUGAUAAGUAGUGACAUUAAUAGUCUUCCUCAUAGAUGGAUACAUGGUUUUAUUUUAUUUAUUUAUUUUUAUUUUUUUGUUUUAUGUCAAUGCUAAUGAAUGAAGUGCAUUAGCUUGUUUUGUGACUAGAACUACAAAUGUCCAAAUUGGAGCUUCUCCAAUAUAUUUCUCAGUGAGUUAUUGAUUAGAACUCUUGGAUUGAGUUCCAAGAUUUGAAUCAGACCCCUCUAGCAGCUUCAGGGGUACGUAGCAACCUAUAGCAUAUUAAUGAAGACUUAGGAUUUAGACUUAGGAAUACAAAUUAAUAUGUACCUCAUGCUCUGACUAGCUUCCCUGCGUAUGCACAAAAUGGAGAUGACUCCCAAAAAAAUAGCAGAAUCGCCUUAGUAUGUUUUUGUGGUUAAGAUGAUUCUCCACUUUAUAUAUCCACAUUGGUUCAUUAUGCAAAUUAAUCAACUAAGCUAUUUUUAUUUUUUCUUAAAUGUGAAAUAGGAGCUCCAAAUUAACCUAACCAUUGGCCUGAUUGAAUUGAUUUCACUUGCAUAAUGUUAUAGUAGAAGUCCGUAAUUUGAAUUUUAUUUUUGCAAAAGGUAACGUAAAUGAAGCAUUGUAAUUAAAUUUAUUUGUAAUUACAAACUAAUUUUAUUUUAUUAAGAAUUAAUUUAAUUACUCAUUUAAAAUAAAAAUCAGUUAUACUUUUACCAAGAUGAUAAUAUUCAUAUUUUUCUAGUUAACAUAUAUAAAAUAGUACACUUUUUCAUAUAAAAAAAUAAUUUAUGAUUUAUUAUAAUGUUACUAUUCACAUUUUACUAAAUUGAUGGUACAUGAUAGUGAGAGAAGGGGGUGUCACACUCAGCUAAAGUUCUUUUCAAAAUAUUGCAUGGUGUUUAAUUUUAUGUGUCGGCGCGCGUGUGAAUGGAACCUGCAAAAGUCCAAAUUGGCGUUUCUCCAUUUUCCACAUAGGAUGGUGACGUUAAUAGACAAAGAUACAAUAUCUGUAGACAUUGCUUAAAAAUCGAUGUGAAGUAUUAGAAAUUACAGGGCACUGUACUGGGGGAGCGGCUGCCCCGCCAAAGGAGGAAGAAUGUAGCAAUUUCUUCUGUUAGCCAGGCCUUAGGAUUUAUGCAUGGGAUGCCUAAUAACAAACAGAGAAAAUAUACUUUUGGGGAAGGUAUCCAACAACAGACACCAUCAUUCAGAUGGUGGGAAGGUAUCCAACAGAUGCCAUCAUUCAGAUGGUAACAUAUAUAUACAUUUAUUAGUGAGUUUUUUUAAUACCUAUAAAAAAAAAUAUACACUUUGAUAUUGUGGCUGAAUCCAUUACAUACUCAACUAACCUUGCUCAUUAGGGAUUUGACUUAACAAGGGCAACGUUGCAGUACAAGCUCAAAACUUUAUGCAGGUGACAUUACAUUUGGUAAAGAAGAGGAAAAUAACGAAAGCCAUCCAUAAAAGCAAAAUUCCACAUGGGAUGAAAUUCACAAGCUUCAUUUACGAUAGAGUCGCAUCCAGGCAAUUAAUUCCACAUUAGACCGCCUGUUGACAUGUGUACCAAUCUUUUUUCAAAAAAUAUUUAUAAAUAAUUGAUACUCACAAAAAUAAUUUAAUAUUUAUAAAGGAUAAAAAAAUAUUUUCAAAUCUAUAACAAUUUAUAAAAUAUUAAUAAAAAAUUAUCUCUUAAACUUAGUAUAGUUUUAUCAGAUUAAACUUUUAUUUUGAACAAAUAAUUUUAAUCUAAGUUUUAAAUUCUAAAAUUAUUUCCUUAAAAUAAAAUUUUAAAAUUCAACACUUCAAUUGAAAUUGUCUUUUUAAAAAAUAUCUUCUUAUUUUAAUCCUUAUAAACUAUAGUUGAUUGAAAAUACUAUUGAAGUUCUCUCUUAAAAAAAAGUCUUAUUUUAAUCUUCAUAAAUUGCCCUUGAUUUGAAAAUAAAUUUUCAGUUAUCAUAUUUUAAAUAAUAUCUAUAUUUAAAAUACUCUAUUUAAAAAAAAAUGAACUAAUUUUAAUUAUAUUAUAUUUUAUUUUUUUAUAUAUUUUUAAUGAUAAACCAAACAUAGAAAAUCAUUUUUCUAAAUAUUUUAAAAUUUCUAAGCAACCAAACAUAAUCUUCAAAAUAAAAGGAAAAUAAGGAGGGACAUUUGAGAAAUGGCGAUUAAAAAAAAGUGUACAAAAGCUCAAUUAAUUUUCUUCUAGUCUUUUAUAUAAAAAAGUAAAGGAAUUGAAAAGUAUUGAUAUGUAAAUUAAUAUUUGGAUUUUAAUAGUAUUUUAUUUGUCUUUCUCUAUCUCAUGUAAAAGAGAAUUUAAGAUAUUUCCUAAAGCAAAGCAUUAGUUAUCUGCAAUCAGUGGUGAUCAUGCCCCAUGUCAAUUUCGGACCCAUAUCUUAAAACUGUAUAAUUUGCAUUCAAACAUUACUGAUUUCUCAGAUGUUUCAUACUCCACAGAAGAGCAUUGUUUGUGAAAGCAUGCAUUUAUGUUGGAUUUUGGAUGAUGUGGGAACUGGGGCAAGGAUCAUAUGGAAGAGUGGUCGAUUUUGUUCUGUACUUUAACAUUUGAAAUAGGAGAAGCUCGGGCAUUUGUGGGGCUUAAUUGAUUUUGAAGCCUGAAAUUGCGUUUCUGUCAUUUUGUAAAAAAUAUGGCAGAUUCCAUGCUCUCAUAUGUUUGGUCUGUGGCCAUGUAUAGAUGCCCCUUAGUGACCAGUUUGUAACUGUCAAUCAUAGUGUUUUGACUCUGGCUCAACAACAUCAGCCAUUGACGGAUUUUCAUACUUGCAAAUCAAAUAGUCUUCUUCCUCCCUUAGGAAUUUCGGUUUAAAUGUUAUUAAGCAUACAUUUGGCUGACAAUUAUUAACCACUUCAUGAUAUGGUUUCUUACCCUUAAUCAAUGGUUUCUAAGUGAAUAUAUGCAGAAGGAAAUCUGAACUGUAGACAGCAGUAUUGAUAACUCUCAAUAUUCUUUAUAUAAGAGAAUAAACAACGUCAUAGUGAUCGUCGCCUACAAGAAAGGUACAUUUCCCAACAAGAUGUAGUUGUGACUGGUACAUGGACGCAAUUAACUCGUACAAAAGAAUAAGACCAGUGCACGGCAGCUCUUAUUUUACAUGCUAAUUAUGCUAACCAAAGUCACUCAGUUGGGAUGGGAGGGAGAUGGAGGUUUGUGCGGUGGCUUGUGGGGCGGAGUUGGUGGCUUCUUUUCAGGAGCUUGUGGCUUUUUCGGAGCUGAAGGAGGCUCAAUCUUAUGAGGCGGCUUGUACGAGUCUUCUUUACUCUCGACAGGAGGGUGGCCAGGGUUGUGACCAUAAUGUGGUGGCUUCUCUCCCUUAGGUGGCUUGCCAACUGGGGUUGGUGGCUUGUGUUCAGGAAGUGGUUUCUCUCCCUUGGGAGGUUUACCAAUUGGGGUUGGUGGCUUGUGUUCUGGGAGUGGUUUCUCUCCCUUGGGAGGUUUAGUGGGUGACUUGUGUUCUGGAGGUGGCUUCUCCACCGGAGGCUUGUGCUCCGGUGGUGGCUUCUCCACCGGAGGCUUGUGCUCCGGUGGUGGCUUCUUGAUUGGAGGGGGCUUGGGGUAAUCAGCAAGAGAUGGGAUGGUGAGAACCACCACUCCAAGGAACAACACUAGCAAGUAUGUGGGAGACAUUUCUGAGUUUGAGCUGAUCAGAUGAUGCAAAACUAGAAGAAUUACGGGACCUUUUAUAGCAAGUAUCUCCCAAUACCCACAUGACACGUGUUACUAUGACCAUAAAUAUUAUAGGGUCCAUUUGUGCCCUACCGGGUUGAAAACUUGGACGCUUGGCCGAGGACACACCUGACUAUGGAGGACUAUUGACGUGUGAUCACAGCUUUUGGAUUUUUCUUCCUGUGCAGCUGUCUAGCGGUUGGCAUUAUUUUCUUAAUCUUAAAUAAAGGCAUAGUUAUAGAGUUGUUUAAUCUCUAAAUGGGAUUUUAUAUAUCUUCAGAUAGCCAUUAAUAUAUUUGAUGAAGAAAGACAAGUGCAUACAACAUGUAUACGGCUUGCUUCAAUCGAGUACAUUUAUGAUCAGUUUUCCUGUGCAAGUAAACCAGUUUUUUGUUCCACAACUAUUUUGGAAUCUUGUUUAUCAGUUUCUAUCAUUAUAAUGUCACAUAGGCUGCAAACUUGGGCACCCAAAGAUCUAGGUGGGCAAAUUUGUUUCAGACUUUCAAUGGUGGAUUCAGUAAUUGUUAAAAGGUGUUUCUUCAUUAAGGAAAGAGUCCGGUAAAAAUAUUGUUAAAAGGUGUCAUAGAAACUAUAAUAAAUAAAUAACUUCUUUUCCCCAUGGGUGGUGUUUCUUCUGGGGAUCAGUGACUGGUUAGGGUCACCCAAAAUGAGUCCAGAUUAAAAUUGGUUCGAGUCAAAGCAGUCUCUUUUGUCCAGAAAUCAACUAUUUUGCGCAUUGAAUGAAUCGAUAAAGAAAAAAUGAAAGCCAAAUCACACCUCCCCUGCAAAACCUAAACCCCGGUUGCUAACUUUCUAUGUUUCAGUCCUAUUCAUAUAGGAAUAUUGGUUCAAGUUUGAGAAAAAUGGCAACUUACCUAGGGUUUACUUGGUUUUGGUUUGCGACUAUUUACGCAACCAACCAUGAGUUUGACUUUAACGUCAUGGGUUGAAGCCUCCUACAAUCAUGUAUGAUAGUUCAAAGCUCGUGGAAGAAAUUAUACAGGAAGGAAGAAACCUCCAAAGCUAGCUCCAAAAGAGAAUUAUCACAUCGAUAGCUCCAGAGAUUCCCAAGGGAACUGAAUCAAAGACAAGUUCCUCACUUUUUCUUCUUUUGAGGCCAAAUAUGAACCAAGGAUCACACGACCUCAUUCAACUUCAUAAGUUUGAUUUCAUGCAGUUGAACACUGGGUGAAGGCCAUGACAAGAAUUGAUUAAAAAAUUCUACCACUCUUUUAAGUAAUGGAAGAUUAUUAUCUCUGAUUGGCACCACAACAGCACAUGCUGCUAGAUCUUUCUAGACACUCCAUGCAAUGAAAGCACAAUGGAUCUUGUAAUGAUAGAAACUAAGCCAUGCUACAGUACUAGAUGAGGGGGUAAAACUAGUAGACAUCUUUCUAGACACUCCAUGCAAUGAAAGCACAAUGGAUCUUGUAAUGAUAGAAACUAAGCCAUGCUACAGUACUAGAUGAGGUGGUAAAACUAGUAGACAUGGCUGGCAGUUGAUUACUACUCAAAAAGUACUCUUUUAUAGCUUGAAACUAACUGUUUUAAACACUUUUGAGUAGUAGUUAAUACCUUUUAACUUAAUUGGCACAUUAAGGAACCUAGCAAGGGUUACUAAUCAACAUUUGGCAAGUUUUGAUGUUUUUGGUAGCUAUUUGAUCAUUGAAACAAGCCAAGAAUGAGGGGGAAUUUUGUGAAGUCCAUGGCAAUGCAAGUUAAAGCUCAAAUACAUGAAGAAUCCAAGCUUUGGAGCACUUCAUAGCCCUUUGCCAAGCCAAUCAAAGAUGCAAGGAAGAAAACCAAAGGAAGAAAUCCAACAAUCAGCAUUUUGGCAUGGCUAUGUGAAAUUUCGCACACCAUGCGAAACCACAAGAGGCAGCCAAAGAAUUUCGCAUGGUAUGCGAAAUCUUCUUGUGCACUGACUCUGUUAGAUUUUUAUCUUCAGAUAUUUUGUGUAAUUUCCUAGUUUCUCCUUGUAACCAACUUAGAUAUUUUCUUUUAUAUCUUUUUUUAUAUUUUUUAGGUAACAUCAUAUAUAAGAGGAGAGACAUAAGGAGGAUAUGGAUGUUUUUCAUAGAACACUUGUAAAUUUUUGGUAGUAAGAAAUAUACAAAGCUUUUUGCUCUGCCUUACCUUCUCAAGGGAUGAGUGGCUAGGUUUUCUUGGAGUGAGGGAAGCUAGGUGAAGGACCUGAAUGCAAAGGUGGGAGUUUUCCUUACUUUAAAUGAAAGUAGUUGUUAAACAUUAAUGGUUUUUAUUUUAAGGUUUAGCUUUAAAUCCCUGAAAAACACCUUGAAUGGCCAAUACUUGGUAAGCUUUUUAGAUUCUAUGGAUGCUUAUUGCUAGAUCCAUGGAUGUCUAUUAGUUAUCAUUUACGAGCCAUUGGAAGGUGAUUCAAGGUGAGGGUCUUUAGUGUUUGAAGCCAUUAAUGGGAAGCAAUUACCAUUUUUUCAUGAAUCCUUUGGAUCAAAUCUUAAUUGCUAAAUAUAAAACCGGUUUCGAGAGAUAACCACCAUCCUUUAUGUUAUUAUCCCCAACGCGAGGAGAAGAUCCGAAAUCUUCCUUUUUAUCUAAGGAACCCGAUCCUAGUGACCUAAAGCUCCAAGAUACCUUUUCUUUGUAGUUAACUUCAUUUAUUGUUUUUGCUUAACUUAAAAUCAAUCUUUGCAACCACAAUUCCAUUUUCUUUAAAAGCUAAUUUUUAUAAGGAAAAACACCAUUUUAUUUCCUUCACUAAGUCAACUGUACGAUGAAAACCCAUCCCUGUGGACGAUCCUAGAGCCACUAUACUAUGUUAGCUAUGCUACCCUAGUGUGAGGUGAUUUAGGUUUUAUAAAUUUUUUUGAUAACACCCAUCUGAGCCAGAAUCAAAUGGCACGACUGAACCAGGGACGAAUCAAAUGACGCCGCUACCAAGGAUGGUGCCAAAGUACAUUGACAUGACUUUUGGUGAACACUUGUGAUCUUCACCACAAGUUUGGUGAUUUUUCUUUUACUAAUUUUUUUUAUUUUAGCUUAUCUUUUAUUUAGUUUUUAGUUAACCUUAAAUUUUUCCUAGAAUUGUAUUUCUUUUGUUUUCUUUGUUUUUGUUUCAGUGAUCUUUAGUUGUGCAUGCCCUAUUGGAUAAGAGAUAUUGAGGGAAUACUUGUGAAGAUUGAAACUCCUCGAGAAACUGAGUUAGAAGUGUGCUUGAACAUCAUGGAUGUUCCACCUGAAGACCAGAAUAGCCAACAUGGUUAAGAGGAUAAUUUCAACACAUACCGAUCCAUGAGGAACCGCAUACAUCCACCUUGUAUGAGUGCACCGUCAGGCAUAAUGCCUCCCACUGAGCAGCUAGUAAUCUGACCUCACAUUGUGCCACUCCUACCUACUUUCCAUGGGAUGGAGAGUGAGAAUCCCUACUCGCAUAUUAAGGAAUUCGAGGAGGUUUGUAAUACAUUCCAAGAAGGAGGAGCUUCAAUUGACUUGAUGAGGCUCAAGCUAUUUCCUUUCACUUUGAAGGAUAAGGCCAAGAUUUGGCUUAAUUCUUUAAGGCCAAGAAGUAUCCAAACUUGGAUUGAUUUGUAAGCCGAGUUUCUUAAGAAGUUCUUCCCUACCCAUAGGACCAAUGGUUUGAAAAGGCAAAAUUUGAACUUCUCAGUUAAAGAGAAUGAGAAAUUCUAUGAGUGUUGGGAGAGCUACAUGGAAGCUAUUAACGUUUGUCCUCACCAUGGCUUUGACACAUGGCUCUUAGUGAGCUAUUUUUACAAUGGUAUGUCUUCUUCAAUGAAGCAACUCCUAGAAACUAUGUGUGGAGGAGACUUCAUGAGUAAGAAUCCGGAGGAAGCCAUGGACUUUUUGAGUUAUGUGGCUGAAGUUUCAAGAGGAUGGGAUGAACCAAAUGCUAGAGAGGUGGGAAGAAUGAAGUCUCAACCUAAUGCUAAGGGUGAGAUGUAUGUUUUGAAUGAAGACAUUGACAUGAAAGCAAAGGUUGCAGCUAUGGCAAGGAGAUUGGAAGAGCUAGAAAUGAAGAACAUACAAAAAGUGCAAGCCAUUUCUGAGACAUCAAUGAAAGCUAUGCCUUGUUCCAUUUGUCAAUCUUAUAAGCACCUAGUGGAGGAGUGUCCUACAAUUCCAGCAGUGAGAGAGAUGUUUGGUGAUCAAGCAAAUGUUAUUGAUCAAUUCAAGCCUAAUAACAAUGCUUCAUAUGGCAACACCUACAAUUCAAAUUGGAGGAACCAUUCAAAUUUCUCUUGGAAACGAAAGCCACCUCAAUACACACAACCUACUCAAGCACCUUAGCAAUCCUCGAAUCUUGAACAAGCUAUUGUGAACCUUAGCAAGGUUGUGGGAGACUUUGUGGGAGAUCAGAAGUCCAUCAAUGCUCAACUGAAUCGGAGAAUUGACAGUGUGGAGAGUACAUUGAACAAAAGGAUGGAUGAGAUGUAAAAUGAUCUGUCUCAAAAGAUAGACAAUGUCCAAUACGUAAUCUCAAGGCUUACCAACCUCAACACAGUGUAAGAGAAAGGAAAGUUUCCUUCUCAACCUCAUCAAAAUCCUAAGGGUAUCCAUGAAGUAGAGGCUCAAGAGGGAGAAUCUUCAAAGGUGAGGGAAGUCAAAGUAGUUAUCACCUUGAAGAGUGGUAAAGAGGUUGAUCAACCCACAUCCAAGCCAAAGCAUAAUGAAGAGAGUGUAGCAGAAAAAGAAAAGAGAGGAAAAUAAAGGAAUUAGAAUAGAGAAAAAUACAAAGAAAGAUGACCAUGAGUCUAGUGUGGAUGAAGAGCCCGAGAGGAUGGUGAUCAAGGAAGAUAUGAUGAAGAAACACAUGCCUCCACCUUUCCCCUAAGCUUUGCAUGACAAAAAAAGAACCAAUAAUACAUCAGAAAAUUUUGAAGUAUUGAGGCAAGUGAAGGUCAAUAUCCCUUUGCUAGACAUGAUCAAACAAGUGUCGACAUAUGAAAAAUUCUUGAAGGACUUGUGCACUGUAAAGAGAGGGUUGAAUGUGAACAAGAAAGCUUUAUUGACCGAGCAAGUGAGUUCCAUCAUACAGUGCAAGUCCUAGUGAAGUACAAAGAUCCGGGUUGCCGUACCAUCUCAGUGAGUAUUGGAAGGACUUGUGUGGAGAAAGCUUUGUUGGACUUGGGAGCAAGUGUGAAUUUGCUAUCCUACUCUGUCUAUAAGCAGUUGGGAUUUGGAGAGUUGAAGCCAAUAUCCAUCACUCUAUCUCUAGCGGAUAGAUCAAUGAAGAUUCCAAGAGGGAUGAUCGAAGAUGUCCUGGUUCAAGUUAACAAAUUCUACUAUCCAGUAGAUUUUGUUGUUCUUGAUAUGGAUCCGGUUGUCAAAUGAACUAAUUAUGUUCCUAUCAUACUUGGAAGACCCUUCCUAGCUACAUCAAAUGCAAUCAUCAAUUGUAGGAAUGGAGUCAUGCAACUCACAUUUGUCAACAUGACAUUAGAGCUCAACAUCUUCCAUUUGUACAAGAAGCAUAUCCAUCAGGAGGAAAAAGAAGGUCUAGAGGAAGUGUGAAUGAUUGACACUUUAGUGGAAGAGCAUUGUGAUCGAGAAUGCAAAAAGAUUUAGUUGAGAAUUUUGGGGAUCUUGAUGAAAGGUUACUUGAACCCUCAGAUUUGCUUGCUACCCUACUCCAUUGGAAGAGAAGAGAAGAAAUUCUACCCUUAUUCAAUGAGGAGGAGACGCAAAGAGCUGCAAAGGAGAAACCCCCAAAACUUAUUCUUAAGCCACUACCCACAGAGUUGAAGUAUGUAUACUUGGAAGAAGACAAGAAGUGCCCUAUUGUUAUAUCUUCAACUCUUACCAUUCAUCAGGAGGAUUGUCUACUUGAAGUCCUUAGAAGAUGUAAGAAGACAAUAAGGUGGCUAAUUUCUUAUUUGAAAGGGAUCAGCCCUUUAGUCUGCACCCAUCAUAUUUACAUGGAGGAUGAAGCUAAGCUAAUUCAUCAACCUCAGAGAAGGUUGAACCCUCACAUGCAAGAGGUGGUUCGAGCUGAAGUUCUGAAGCUACUUCAGACCAGUAUUAUUUACCCCAUAUCAAAUAGCCCAUGGGUGAGUCCUACUCAAGUUGCGCCAAAGAAGUCUGGGAUCAUGGUGGUGCAAAAUGAUAAGGGAGAAGAUGUCUCUACACGCCUCACUACAGGUUGGAGGGUGUGUAUCAAUUACAGGAGGUUGAAUGCAGUGAUAAGAAAGGACCAUUUCUCAUUGCCCUUUAUUGAUCAGGUGCUUGAGAGGGUCUCUGGGCUUUUUUUUUUAUUGUUUCUUGGAUGGCUACUCCGGGUACUUUCAGAUAGAAAUUGAUGUUGAAAACCAAGAUAAGACCAUUUUCACAUGCCCAUUUGGAACCUAUGCAUAAAGGAGAAUGCCUUUCGGCUUAUGCAAUGCACCCGCAACUUUCCAAAGAUGCAUGUUAAGCAUUUUCAGUGAUAUGGUGGAGCGUAUUAUGGAAGUCUUUAUGGAUGAUAUCACCAUUUAUGGAAGUGCAUUUGAUGAAUGCUUGGUCAACUUAGAAGCUGUUCUGAACCGAUACAUUGAGAAAGACUUAGUGCUUAACUGGGAGAAGUGCCAUUUCAUGGUACACCAAGGGAUUGUCCUUGGGCACAUUAUCUCCAAGCAAGGCAUUGAAGUUGACAAAGCAAAGGUUGAACUCAUUGUUAAGUUGCCAUCCUCAACAAAUGUCAAAGGAGUAAGGCAAUUCUUUGGCCAUGUCGGGUUCUAUAGGAGGUUUAUCAAGGAUUUCUCUAAGCUUGCAAGGCCUCUUUGUGAAAUAUUGGUGAAUGAUGUUAAAUUCAUAUGGGAUGAUGGAUUUGAAAGGAGUUUUGAAGAAUUGAAGCUAUUUUUGACAACCGUACCAAUAGUGAGGGCUCCCAACUGGCAACUGCCCUUUGAAGUAAUGUGUGAUGUCAAUGAUUUUGCUAUAGGAUUUUUUCUUGGGCAAAGAGAAAAUGGAAAACCUUAUGUGAUCUACUAUGCGAGGAAGGCAUUGAAUGAGGCACAAAGAAACUACACAACCACCGAGAAAGAAUUGUUAGCUGUAGUUUUUGCCUUGGAUAAGUUUCGCGCUUACUUGGUGGGGUCCUUCAUCAUGGUUUUUACUGAUCACUUUGCUUUGAAGUAUCUGUUGACUAAGCAAGAUGCUAAAGCAAGGCUGAUUAGAUGGAUUCUCUUACUUCAAGAGUUCAAUCUCCAUAUCAAAGAUAAGAAAGGAGUGGAGAAUGUGGUAGCAGACCACAUUUCAAGGCUAGCUAUCGCACAUAAUUCCCAUGCUUUGCCCAUUAAUGACGAUUUUCUAGAGGGGUCUCUCAUGUUGGUGGAAGUUGUCCCUUGGUACGCUCACAUUGCUAACUACCUGGUCACGGGAAAAGUUCCAAGUGAGUGGAAAGCACAAGAUAAGAAGCACUUCUUUGCAAAAAUUCAUGCCUACUAUUGGGAAGAGCCAUUUCUAUUCAAGUAUUGUAUGGAUCAGAUAAUAAGGAAGUGCGUUCCUGAAGAAGAGCAACAGGGGAUCCUUAGUCAUUACCAUGAAAAUGCAUGUGGAGGCCACUUUGCUUAUCAAAAGACAGCCAUGAGGGUGUUGCAAUCGGGUUUCUGUUGGCCAUCACUUUUCAAAGAUGCCCACACCAUGUGCAAGAGUUGUGAUCGAUGCCAGAGGCUUGGGAAGUUGACACGCAGGAACAUGAUGCCUUUGAACCCCACUUUAAUAGUUGAUAUUUUUUAUGUUUGGGGCACUAACUUCAUGGGACCUUUCCCUAUGUCUUUUGGCUACUCUUACAUCUUGGUAGGAGUAGAUUAUGUUUCUAAGUGGGUUGAGGCAGUCCCAUGCAAACACAAUGACCAUAGAGUGGUUCUCAAGUUUCUUAAAGAGAAUAUCUUCUCAAGAUUUGGGGUGCCCAAAGCCAUAAUUAGUGAUGGGGGUACUCAUUUUUGCAACAAGCCUUUUGAAACUCUCCUAGCCAAGUAUGGGGUGAAGCAUAAGGUAGCUACACCUUACCACCCUCAAACUCAUGGACAAGUUGAGUUAGCAAACAGGGAGAUUAAAAACAUAUUGAUGAAGGUGGUGAACACAAACAGAAAAGAUUGGUCAGUCAAGCUUCUUAAUUCACUAUGGGCAUAUAGAACAACUUACAAGACCAUUCUCGGGAUGUCUCCUUAUCGCCUAGUUUAUGGCAAAGCAUGCCAUCUCCCUGUGGAAUUGGAAUACAAAGCUUGGUGGGCAAUCAAGAAGCUCAACAUGGAUUUGAGCAGAGCUGGGUUGAAGAGGUUCUUAGACCUUAAUGAGAUGGAGAAAUUGAGAAAUGAUGCCUACAUCAAUUCAAAAAUUGCAAAAGAAAAAUUGAAGAGGUGGCAUGAUCAGUUGAUUUCCCGCAAGGAUUUUCAAAAUGGACAAAGAGUCUUACUUUAUGACUCUAAACUCCACAUCUUUCCGGGCAAGCUGAAAUCAAGGUGGAUAGGUCAUUUUACCAUUCACCAAGUGCAUUCAAAUGGAGUAGUGGAACUACUCAACUCCAACAAUAUCGAGAACUUCAAAGUGAAUGGCCACCGUCUCAAGCCCUUUGUGGAGUCUUUUUCUCACAACAAGGAGAAAUUCAUCCUCCUUGAUCCACAUCAAGCUUAACAAGACCAAUUUUCUUGAUGGACUUAGUCUUUCUAAAGACUAUCGAGUCCAUAACUUUUUGUUUUAUUUUUUAUUUGAGAUUUUUUCGGUAUUGUUACUUGUUUUGUUUUUUAUUUUUCGUUUUAAUUUUAUUUGGUUUGAUUUAACUUAGGUUUUUGAUGAUCAAUUACAGGGGGGAUUUCAAAUAGAGGAAAAACCAAGAUAAUUCGCACACCCUACGAAAAUUUCGCAAGGCAUGCGAAAUUUAUGGCUUAUUUUGCAUGGGGUGAAAAUUUUCGUACAUCUUACGAACCAAUUUCGAACACUUUGCGAAAAUAAACCAACCCUGCGAAAUCAUUUCGAUUACUCUACGAAAUUUUCGUAGAGCAUGCGAAAAAUUUAGCACACCAAACACCAUUUCGCAUACUAUGCAAAAACCUAAGGGGUCUGCGAAACCAUUUCGCACCUCCAAAUCCAUUUCGCACAUUGUGCGAAAACCAAGAGGCGCUGUGCGAAAAUGAAAAGUCGCCCUGUCAUCCCUUUUUAAACCCCUCGAGCCCUAAAAUCUCCAUUUCGCAAGCACCCCUGUCCUUGCGAAUCCCUCAUUUUCCUCUACUACCUUGCAACCUCGUCCCUUUCCAUUUGAUAUUGUGCCCCGCGCACAUCUCAUUUCAGAGACUCGCACUCCGCGCCCCCUCAAAGCAUGGACUCGAGACCCACCUUCCAUUUCCGACGUGGCACGGACCCAAGGAGCCCUUUCUGCCCCUUCACUAAGACACACACCAAGGCAGAAAGCCUCCUUUGCUCAAGUGCCUAGUGAUUCUCCAUCUUAGGCCUCAGAGGCCUCGGAGGCCCCGUGGAUUCCACCUUCCGAGGGUAGAGCAGCCAUUGGUCCUUCCUCUUCUACUCCUUAGCGUAGAUACGAGACGAGGAGACCACCUACUACACAAGGGGCGACUACUUCGAGCCUUGAGAAUUCAGUACGAUGCCUUCCUGCCAAGAGGGUCAAGACUUCAGGUCCAAGUGAGUCAUCCAGAGCUUCAUAGCCUAAGCCUCCUGUAGAUUCCAAGGUUCCUACUGACAUAUCACCGGAGUCUAUUAUCAGAAGCCCGAUGCUCAUAGCACCGCCCAUUGAGGGCAACUCAGAUUAUAGAGCGAGAUCUUUCCACUUGGAGCUAUAUUUUGAUCAGGAGGCCAUACGACAGCAGCCUGAGCUCCGAGACUCUUAUGGCUUACUGCAGAGGUACCAUCUUGAGGAACUUAUGACUCCUCGUGAGUUUUUUUAUCCCAGAGUAGCACUAAACUUUUACCAGUCCAUGACUACUCGUGGCGUCCCGAGUCCUACCACGAUUCACUUCACCAUUGAUAGACGUCAUGGUAUCCUCAAGGCCAGACAUAUUACAGAGGCUCUACAAAUUCCUUUCGAGCUAGAGGAUCCAUCUGUUUUUCGCUAAUGGUCCCCAGUAUCUCAGAGGGACAUGGUCCGUAUUUUAUCUAGGGGAACAUCUACAGAUUCGAUCUUUCUACGGAAGGAGCUUCGACCUGGGAUGCUCCUCUUAGAUGUGGUGCUAUGCUCCAACCUCUUUCCCUUACAACAUUCGGUACAUAGGUGAUGAGCUAUUUUGGACGCUUUAUUCCGUAUAUCAGAGGGCUUCUACUUUGGCCCGCACCACUUGAUCAUGGUCUCCCUCAUCCACUUUGAGGAGAAGGUUCAUAGGAAGAAGCUUCAGAGGGUGGACACCAUUCCAUUACUAUUCCUGAGGUUACUUUGCCAGGUCUUGGAGUACAUGGGCUUUCCUACUGAGCCUCGGCUCGAGCUUUGCCGCCUUUGUCGAGAGUGAUCCACUCUCGACAAAUGGAAUUAGUUGGCGGGCUAUUCUGCACCUCCAGGAGCCCCUCCCAUGGUAGCACCUCCAAUGUCCCCACAGGCAAAGUAGGGCGAGCUCCCGGCAAAGACUGUACCACCAAUGCCCACACUUGAGGCUAUUUCUGCUGCUCUGCCUAUGACUCCUACUGUUCCACCAGUUGGUCCUUUUACAUCCGAGCCUUCCAUCACCAUCUCGGCUUCGGAGUUUCGCGCCCUUGUGCAUACCUUUCAGACACUCACCACCACACAUACUCCUCUCUUCUAGCAAAUGGUUGAGAUGUGUGCCCAUCAGGACCGGAAGACUACUAUACUCUGCCAAAUUCAGCAGCACCUAAGACUUUUGCCUCAACCUCAACCUAACCAUCCCAUAUCAUCAGAGCCUCUAGCUCCAACUGAGGAUACUAUUCCACCUGAGAACACUACCACAGUAGAGGUCCGGUUUCCACCACCUUAAGAGGCCACCACAGCUACAUCAGAGGAUGUGUCAUCUCCACUUGAGGCUCCCACUACUUGAUCAUAGGACAUAUCUUUAUCUUAUUGUAUUUACAUAUUAUAUUACUAGAGAUUUGUCCUUGUUUUGAUACUUUAUAUUCUGGGAUUGGAUGUAUUGCCUGAUGAUAUCUCAAUUGUACUUUCUCAUAUUAAUAUAUAGACAUCAAUUUUUUUUAGUAUACUUAGCAUUUUUCUAUUUCCUCUACUCAUUACUCUUUUGUUUUUUUUUACUCAUGUGGUUUCUCUUAUACAACUCAGACUCCAUUUCACUCAGGAGGUACCACUUCCUCCCUUUAUUUUCAAUUGCUCUUGAAAUAUUGAGUGCAAUGUUGAUCUUGGUUGGGGGGAGAGUUGAGGAAGGAAGUUUUGUUAAUAAUGCUAGGUUAAUUUGUUAAUUUAGUUACUUUCUGCUUAAUUUUAAAAGUUUUCACUCUACUUUCCAUGGUUAUUAAGGAAAAAUUCUCAAAAUGAAAUGGGAGAAAUCGAAUUCUUGCAUUUUUACUUGAAUCUUAGAAUUUGUAUCAUGCUUAUUAAAGUUGAUGAAUUAUUGAAACUCCUAUUGAAUUCAACCUUAUUUUUUCCACUUUAAUCUUACCACACACGGUGCACAUUAGGUUCCAGUUAUAAGAUAAAAAACUAUCUCACCCCCUAAACUUAGAAAAAUUUACACUUGGUACCUUUGACAUCGUUUUAAUAGUGUUGGGACACCUUAUAAAAGGCCAAUGAGCCUUUAAAAAAAAAAAAAAAAAAAAAAAGAGAAAGAACAAAGUAUUGCACUUGCCUUGAAACCUGAGCAAGAUCCGAGGGGUAUACAGUGAAAGUCUUUAAAACCUGGUGCCCUAAGCCUUGAUUGGUUGGGAGUCACCGACCUCAAUGCUCGUUAUAAGGGUGAAUAGGUGGAGUUUAACAUAUUGUAGGUGCUUGGGUAUUGAAUUUCAAUCUCAAAAGUCCGGGAAAAAAUCUAAGGAGUUAGUGGUCAAAAGAUCCUUAAAGCUUGAUGCCCUAAACCUUGAUUGGUUGAGAGUCAUUGAUGGAUCCCCGCUACAUGGACAUUUUAGAAAACAAUACCUUUAGCAUUGCACGCCUACAAUGAAAAAAAAAUGUGAAAUAAAAGAGGUGCGUUCUUAGCCUAUUGGAGGUUGGUCAGUUUGCUAAAGUUUGAGAAAUCUAGGUUGGGGGGAGAGAAUAGUCCGACAUACUAUAAUAAAAAACUAAUAACCUUAACACUUAGAUUUUUGUGGAAGAGUAAGGAUUGGACCUUUAGGGGUGGAAAUUCUUUUGAUGCUUAAAUUUGCAUAAUGCCUACUCUUUAUAAAUUAUGAUUAGGCAAGAGAUUUGAUGACUCUUGUUCAAAGUUGGGUUUUUCCUCUUUGAUGUUCCAUGAGAGAGUAUAAUCCUCAUCAUGCCACUUGAAAUCUUUUUGGAGUGAUUAACAUGAUUUUGUAAAUUAUUUUACUGUCUAUUUUUCUUUAUCUCUCUUUUAUUGCUAAUGGACUAGCAAUAUGUCAGUUGGGGGGAGUGAUUACUACUCAAAAAGUACUCUUUUAUAGCUUGAAACUAACUGUUUUAAACACUUUUGAGUAGGUGUUAAUACAUUUUAACUCAAUUGGCACAUUAAGGAACCUAACAAGGGUUACUAAUAAGUUUUUGGCAAGUUUUGGUGUUUUUGGUAGCUAUUUGAUCAUUGAAACAAGCCAAGAAUGAGGGAGAAUUUUGUGAAGUCCAUAGCAAUGCAAGUUAAAGCUCAAAUACAUGAAGAAUCCAAGCUUUGAAGCACUUCAUAGCCCUUUGCGAAGCCAAUCAGAGAUGCAAGGAAGAAAACCAGAGGAAAAAAUCCAACAACCAGCAUUUUCGCAUGGCUGUGCGAAAUUUUGCACACCAUGCGAAACCACAAGAAGUAGCCAAAGAAUUUUGCACACCAUGCGAAAUUUCGCAUGGUAUACGAAAUCUUCCUAUGCACCAACUCCGUUAUAUUUUUAUCUUCAGAUAUUUUGUGUAAUUUCCUAGUUUCUCCUUGUAACCAACCUAGAUAUUUUCUUUUAUAUCUUUUUUUUAUAUUUUUUAGGUAACAUCAUAUAUAGGGGGAGAGACAUAAGGAGGAUAUGGAUGUUUUUCAUAAAACACUUUUAAUUUUCUGGUAGUAAGAAAUAUACAAAGUUUUUUGCUCUGCCUUACCUUCUCAUUUUGUUUUCACCUAUCUUUCUAGCCAAACAACCUCUGAGAAUGAUUUCUCAGGGGAUGAGUAGUUAGGUUUUACGUUUCUUGGAGUGAGAGAAGCUAGGUGAAAGACCCAAAUGCUAAGGUGGGAGUUGUCCUUGCUUUAAAUGAAAGUAGUUGUUAAAUAUUAAUGGUUUUUAUUUUAAGGUUUAGCUUUAAAUCCCUUAAAAACACCUUGAAUGGCCAAUACUUGGUAAGCUUUUCGGAUUCUAUGGAUGCUUAUUGCUAGAUCCAUGGAUGUCAUUAGUUAUCAUUUAUGAGCCAUUGGAAGGUGGUUCAAGAUGAGAGUCUUUAGUGUUUGAAGCCAUUAAUGGGAAACAAUUACCAUUUUUUCAUGAAUCCUUUGGAUAAAAUCUUAAUUGCUAAAUAUAAAACUGGUUCGGGAGAUAACCAUCCUUUAUGUUAUUAUGCCCAAUGCAAGGAGAAGAUUUCGAAUCUUCUCAUUUGUCUAAGGAACCCGAUCCUAGUGACCUAAAGCUCCUAGAGACCUUUUCUUUGUAGUUAACUUCAUUUAUUGUUUUUGCUUAACUUAAAAUCAAUCUUUGCAACCACAAUUCCAUUUUCUUUAAAAGCUAAUUUUUAUAAGGAAAAGCACCAUUUUAUUUCCUUCACUAAGUCAACUGUAUGAUGAAAACCCAUCCCUGUGGACGAUCUUAGAGCCACUAUACUAUGUUAUCUAUGCUAUCCUAGUGUGAGGUGAUUUAGGUUUUAUAAAUUUUGUUGAUAACACCCGUCUGAGCCAGAAUCAAAUGGAACCACUGAACCAGGGACAAAUCAACAGCCUAUAUGGGAGGGACACAAGUUUAAUUGAUUUGCAUUUCAGCGUUAUAGAUAAGUAUGUUUUGGAAGAUUUGUUCUGGAAAUACUGCACCAAGUACGAUUCUUUUUCUCUUGAGUGAGUCCAUUUGCAUGCCAAUUAACGAGUUGAAAAGUAGGAGCACCUACCUCGUGCUCAUGGAACCGAAUGUCAGUGAAGUGGGGCUCCUUUUAGCCUCUUGUGUUUCUGUUCCAACCAAGGCGGCGUAGGGAAAAACAACAAUAUGUCUGUGCUAAAUAUCAACGCAUGAUAGAUGUUUUUUUUUUUUUUUUUGGUAUGUCAAGGCUAACGAAUGAAAUGCAUUAGCUUGUUUUGUGACUAUAACUGCAAAUGUCCAAAUUGGAGUAUCUCCAUUUCUCACUUCGGAUGGUUAACUUUAUAAACAAGAUAUAGGAAACAUGUGAACAUCUUGAGGAACAAUUCAAAUUAUUCAUUAGAAGUCCUGGGUUAAGUUCCAAGAUUUAAAUCAGACCCUUCUAGCAGCUUCAAGGGUACUUAGCAACCUAUAACAUAUUAAUGAAGAUUUAGGAUUUAGACUCCGGAAUACAAAUAAAUAUGUAUCUCAUGCUUUGACUAGCUUCCCUACAUAUGCAUAAAAUGGAGAUGACCCAAAAAAAAUAGCAGAAUCUAGCUUCCCUACAUAUGCACAAAAUGGAGAUGACCCAAAAAAUAGCAUAAUCGCCUUAGUUUCUGUGGUUAAGGUGAUUCUCCGCUUAAUAUCCACAUUGACUCAUUAUGCAAAAUCAACUGAGCUAAUUUUAUUUAUUUAUUUAAUGUCAAAUAGGAACUCCUAAUUAACUGAUUACUGUCGAAAAGUGCUAUUUUGUAGACCUAAUUAUAAGGGUUUUAAGCACCUUUGAGUAGUAAUCAUAUUCAUUUAACCUAAUUAAUUCAUUAAGCUCCUUAGUAAUUAGUUCUAACCAUUUUUAGUGGCAAGUUUACAUGUUUUUCAUCAGCUUAUGAACCAAUUCAAGCAUGCCAAUUGAUGGAGGAGCUACUUGGGCGAGUUAAGCAAGGAUUUUGGACGUUUACAGGCUUGAAUUUCAAGUGGAAACACGAGCACAAGCAAUGGGAACACCAUUUCGCAAGGGGAGGCAAUUCACCUUGCCAAAUGACCAAUUUCGCAAGGGGAUUUUCCUCAUGGUGCAAAAUUUGGUCAUUUCGCACCAUGAAGAAACCACCUUGCAAAAUUUCGCAAGGUGGAUUUAGGCACCUUGCGAAAUGCCAAAUUUCACAAGGUGGCUUUUCACCUUGCGAAAUUUGGACCUUUCAUCUUCCCCCCUUGCGAAAUGCCUUUGAAAUCCCCUGUUUUGAGACGCUGUUGAUGAUAUUCCACUGCCGGUUCUCCAAGAUAUUUUGCUUGACUUUUAGCUUUAUAAAUACCUAUUUUACCCUUGUAAUCAACCAAUGAAAAGGUUGCUUUUGUAAUAGCUCUUGUAAUUUAGCUUUUUAUUGUCUUUAAAUAGAGGUGAAGAGCCUCAGACACGAUCAUCUUGUAACCUGUAACUUUAUAAGUUAUAAGAGCACUUUUGUUCAUACGCUUCUUUUCUCUUUUCUUUCUCAUUUUCUUAGUAGCCAAACAUCCUUGGAGGAUGAAAUCCCCAAGGAUGAGAGGCUAAAACCUUUUAGUUUCUUGAAGUAAUGGAUGCCAUGUGAAGCUCCCGUGUCAGGAUGGAGAUUUCCAAGCCAUAAAUGUAAGUAGCUGAGCGUCAUAAAUGUUUUCAUUCAAAGUAAAGCUUUUAAUCCCUCUGACUUGCUUUGAAUGGCCAAUACUUGAUAACCUUUUGGUCUCAAUGGAUUCUUAUUGUUAGAUCCACUGACGUUCAUUAGUUAUCUCCUACGAGCCAUUGUAUUGCAAGUCGAGGAGAUGACCUAUACCAAUAAAAGAGCAUUUAUGAGGUUCAACUACCCUUUUUGUAAGUUUUCAAGGACUAAAACUCAGUUGUUAAACUCAUACCGGUUCGAGAAGUAAGCAUCACCUUAGUUGCUUCCCCAACUCGAGGUGAAAAGUCCCAAAAUCUCCAUUUUUACACAGUGAGUUAAGCAUGGCUAUCCAAAGCUUUAAGAAACUUCUUUUUCCAUCUUUUAACCUAUUUUCAUGUUAGUUUAGUUUACAACACCUUCAUCUUUUUAUGUUUUCAUCUUAACCUAAUUUUUAUUAAGAAAAGUUCACUCCAUCCUCCGAACUUCACCAGUUAAAGUAAAAACCCUUCCCAGUGUUCGAUCCUAGAGCCACUAUGCUAUAGUAGCUUUGCUACUUUAGUGUAAGGACCUUAGGUAUAAAUUUUGUUGAUACCCUUACAUGCCAAGCUACCAAGAGUCGGGUUAUCAUUAACCUAACCAUUGGCCUGUGUAAAUUGAUUUCACAUGCACAAUGUUGUAGUAGAAGUCCAUAUUUUGAAUUUUAUUUUUGUAAAGGUAAGGAAAAUGAAGCAUUGUGUAAUUAUAAAAAUAACUUCAUUGGAAUUCACAAGGUUCACCCAAAAUGGAGCUACAUCUGUAUUCUAUCCUACAGUAGACUAUAUAGAUUGUACAAUAGUAAAUUGCAAAUACAAUUAAUAAGUCUUGUGCUUCCUUACUAAUAAUCCUUUGACAUGAACAUUGCAGCACUAAGGUCCUCUUGGGAAGACACCUUGCACCCAUGAGAGCACUAAGAGGAAGCAAGGCAGAGUCAUGGGUGCAAUGUCAUGACUUGUUGUUGCACCAAGAGAGGCUUGGUGAUGCCAUGGUGUUGCAGUAGCAAGAAUGUUGCCUUGGCAGGGACACGAUCUAGGGAUAGAUGCCAAGAAAGGCUUAGCACUCACAUGAGUUGCACAAAGAUGAAUGUAAUAGAGCAUCAGAGAGACGUCUUGGCAAGUAAAUGAAUGGAUCCAAGAGACAACAACAUGAGGAGUUUCAAAUGGAUAAGGAAUGACUCAAAGACAUUUGAAAGCUACAAGUUGGAUUCUAAUUACGAUUGCAAUUUGAGUUUGAGUAGGAGUUUAGAUUUUGAUUGUAAUUGUAGUAUGAGUUGGACUAGGAUUGCUUAUCCUUAGUCAAUAUAGGAGCGGUUCGUGUCACCCUAUGAAAAGAGUUUGAGUAGGGACUAGGAUUGCUUACUCCUAGUCAAAUAUGGAGUAGGUGGUGCCACACCUAUAAAAAAAAGGGACAACAUGAGAGAGAGAGAGAGAGAGAAAGAGAGAGUGAAUUCACUAAAGAUAUUGUGGGAGUUUUGCUUUGUUACGUCUUGUAUUAUUACUUAGAAUAGGAAUAAAAUACAAGUUGGGGCUAGAGCCCCAUAAUUAAUCUCGUGUGCCUUUGUGGUUAUUCUUUAUUUGUCAUCUCGUGUGGAUUGGAUUAGGUUGACUUAGAGGGCUUCUAAGCACCACCUUUGUGGGUUAUUAUUUAUUUUCCAUCUCUUGUGGAUUAGAUUAGGUUGACUUAGAGGGCUUCUGAGCACCACCUUUGUGGGUUAUUAUUUAUUUUCCAUCUAUUGUGGAUUAGAUUAGGUUGACUUAGAGGGCUUUUAAGCACCACAUUUGUGGGUUAUUCUUUAUUUUCCAUAUCGUGUGGGUUGGAUUAGGUUGACAAGGAGAAAAAUUAUGUGGGAAAUUUGUGUUGGGACACUUACCAUAACCAAGUAAAAUCUACCAAGUCCUUUGUAAUAUCUUCAACAAAUAUUUUAGACUAGUUCUUUCAGUUAGUGUAAAGGAGGAAGAAGUGGUAUUGAUUCUAGAAAUAGGGUGUGUGUAUUUGAACUACAAUCCUUAUGAUCCUUAGGUCUCUAAACCUUCGUGAUGGGCUCCCUGACAUUUCAUAGGUUGUGCUACACAUGCGUUUGAAAUUUAGAGUGCGUUUGACAGUGAUUCCGGGAAGUGUUUUUGGCCUUUCUUACACUUGAAAAUUUUUAUUUUUCAAGUAUUAGAAAUGCUACAAACACUUUUGAAAAUUACUGUCAAACACACUCUUAGGAGCGCACAUAUAUAGUAGAAAACUAGAAAUUGUGGUUUUUUUAGGAUUUACUGUAAUGUCAUUAGGAGGGUAGUAAGUUGAAAUUGAGUAUGAACAAAUAUUUCUUUCUUUGGGAUGUUCUUCUAGUAGGUGCUGAUGAAACUGUUCUUUCUACUGCCAAUGUCACAUAUCAGCCAGAAAUUGAAAAUUUCAGUCAAGGUGUCCUCUGUUUUAGUGGUGAGGAAAGCUAGAAAUUUUAAGGUGAAGUUUUGUUAAAAACCUUAAGUAGCUGGGAUAUCAGGCCUGUUUUGCUUGAAAAAAAAAGUUGCAAGAUAACUCAUAUGCCAAACAGGUUCUGAUAUUGUGAAUCUAUCGGCAGACAUCAGUAAUCUCAUCUUCUGAGAUGGAUGUUGGGGGUGCAUGUGGUGGUGGAGGGGCAAGGUUUCAUUUGGUUUAUUUUGUUGAUGGAUAUUGUCUAGCCACCUGCGCCAAGUUUGAGGGGUGGUGGGUUGUGAUGACCCUACAAUUACUAUUAAUUUCUUCAUCUUUUACCGAUUAAAGUGUCCGAACAGUCGAAGUUACCCUUAUGCAUGUCAACUUGAUCACUUACCUCUUCAAUGGAGUUUAUGCUGGUUCAUUUAGGAACUGAUUUUUAUUGUUAUGUAUUAUAUGCUGAUGUUUAGGUCUCUCCAUCAUCACUAUAUACAAAAAUUCUAGGUUGAUACUAUAGGUUGAGAUUUAUUUUUUAAAUAAAAAAUAAUAAAAAUAAAAAUUAUGGUGAUGUUUAGUUGUUUUAUGGAAAAUUUUAACAAGUAAAAGUUAUUUUUGGGCAAGUUUUCAAACAAAAAGAAAAGUAAAAGUUGUUUUGACAAAAACAUAUAGAAAAAAAAAUCAUAGAAAAUAAAUAAUUUCCCCAUAUUCUAACUUUUUUGAAUUUUUCUCAAUGGGCAAAGGAAUAUCAAAUCAAGUUUGAGUAGGAUUUCUUAAUUUUUAAAAUAACUUACAAUUAAAAAAUUUUGGUGUUUUCAUUUUUGGACAAUUUUUUAUUAAGCAAAUGGACUCUGAGUCAUGCAAGAGAUAUGGUUCAUUAACCGGUCGAACAAUUUUUUUAAAUUAAUUUAAAAGUCAAAUACAUAAUCAAUUUCACAAAAUUUAUAAACAAAAAUAGGUUUAGAGAAGAUCUACACAUAAUUUUACUUUUCUAAUUUUAUUUUAUUUUAUUUUUUGUUGGAAAAUAGUCUUCAAAUCAUGUAAGAUUUAAUAGGUUAAAUUUGUUAACAAUAAAUUUUAAAUUAUAAAAUAUAAUCUGGAACUCAAAAAUCAAUUCAAGUAAUGCUAAAAAAAAAUCAAAUUUGGUAUAGAAUGACUUUGUAAAUUUUUUUACAAAACAAAUGAAUUUUAAAUCAAGUGAGAUUUAAUGCAUUAGAUUUUUAUCAAAUAUAGUAAUUUUAAAAAUAAAUUUGGAACUCAACAAUAGACACAAUAAAUACCAAAAAAUAAUGAACCAAAAUUGGUUUGGAAUAACUCCACAACCUUUUUUUUUUUUUUUUGGUGCACACGAAUUUUCUUACUAGGUAUAUUGCUUUCAAAUUGAGAAAGAUUUACCAUUUAGAUUUUUUUUUAAUGAGUUUAAUGGUAUUUUAAAAUAAUUCAAAAUUUAAAAAAUUGACUAAUUAAUAUUAUAAAUUGAUAAACCAAGACUAUUUCAAAAUGCAUUGGGGGCUAAGGGGGUUGAAAAUAGGGACAAUGGGAUGGGUUUGGGACAUGACACUCAUAUCUCAUUUCCAUUCCAAUUACACAGUUAUCUCCCAUCCUUAUCCCAAACUUGUGUUGGAGCAAGUUGAUUUGUUCCCAUCUUUGUUGACGAAAUGACUAAUAACCUCAUCCCCUCCUUAUCUUAGAUGUACAUUUUGUCAAAUUUGAUCAGGUAUGAUUGAUCCAAGCCCUAACCCUAAUUGGUAAUGAGUGAAUACUACACCUAAUUGCAUUCUUCUUUCAUUGCAAAAUAAUGAGAUUAUAAUAAUCUAGCAAAUAAGAAAAAAUAGUAUGGAAGUUCAAAUUAACACCAUAACUAUCAAUAAUUUUAAGCUUAUAGAUGACUUAAAUGAUUAAAAACUAAUGCAAAAUCCUAAAAAAAAUAAAAAUCAUAUAAAGAAUUCACAAGAGAACAGAAUGAACAAAAACCAAAUAUGAACAUGGGUCAACAUUAGUUAUGGAUUUGGAUUCCUUUCAAGGCCAAUCUUUGAACCAAGACUUCAUCAAAUCAACUACUUCAAAGGCUUUUGUGUUCUUCUUGGGUUGUGCUCUCAAACAAAGACUUCGAGGUGAUGUUCUAGAUGAUUGAAUUACACAUAUUUAGGGUGGAGAGAUUGGAGAAGCUUGAAGAUGCCAACGAUGGGUACAAUUGAGUGGUCAAUAAGAACAAUGUAGCCUAUGACUAGUUUGAUGUCAUGGUACAAGAGUUUUAGGCAUUGAGGUUAAAGCAAGAGCAACAUGGAAUUGAUUUCGGAGUCUUUCAGUUAGUGUAAAGGAGGAAGAAGUGGUGUUGAUUCUAGAAAUAGGGUUUUAAGUGGUGCGUGAUUACUACUCAAAAAGUGCUAUUUGAUAGCCUUUAAUUAAUCCUUUUUAACACUUUUGAGUAGUAGUUUAGGCCUUUUAACUCAAUUGGCAUGUUAAGGAUCCUUUAAAGCAAUUUUGAUCACUUUGUGCAAGUUUUGGUGUUUUUGUUAGUAUUUUGAUCACCAAAGCAAGUCAAGAAUGAGGAGAACUAUGAGGAAUCAUGGGCAAAGCUUAGAAUUCAAUUGCCAAGAGUGAAUCCGGAUUGCAAGGAGAAAAAGCAAAGAGAAUCUGUCAUGAAGCCUAUUCUUGAUGACAGUCGUAGCAGCCACUUUUGGAGCACUUUCUGAAGUCCAAAUGAUGCAAGCUAUAUACCAUUUCAAAGAUCAGGAAGUCAACAAUCCAAUGCUUCAAACGGUGCGCGAUUCGGAGUUGAAACGAAGAAGUUGCAGCCAUUACAAGCCAGUCACUCUAAAGUGUUGCGGAAUCAGCCUUUUGUUGCGAGAAUUUCGCAGCACUUUUGUACAGUAAGGUGUUUCUCCUUCUGACGAUGCACGAACCAUGCCGCGAGAGGGAAGCUAGGAACUUCAAGAUGGAAGCCAACUUUGCAGCCUGGUGAAGAUAGCUUGGUCUUGCGAAAUAAUUUCGCAGCCCUCUUGGGUGUCUGCGAAAUUUCGCAGGCACCACUUUUUUCCUGCGAAAUGGCUCCGGAAGCCUCCCGAAGCUUGCUACCGACAUUGGGAGAUAUUUUCCAUUAGAUUUUUGUUGUCUAAAUUCCAAAAUACUCCUUGUAAACCACCAAUUACAUGAUUCCUUAGUUUUUAAGUUAGUAAAAAGACCAAAUAUCUAUGUAAUAAUUAGUUUUAUAUUAGUUUGCUAUAAAUACCUCUCGGGAGCAUGUUCUCAGAGAGGAGUUCCUUCUGUAACCAUUUUGGUAAGCAAGUAAAGUCUUUUCUUUCUACUGCCUUACCUUCUCACUUUGUAUUUUCAUUUUAUUUCUAAGUUAUGAAUUCUCUGAGGAGCUUUCCCCAGAGAAUGAGUAACUAAACCUCCAAUUCCUUGGAGCUAAGGUUGCCGGGGAAGGUUCCAAGUGCAAGAAUGCAAAGCUCUGUGGUUUUAGCUAGUAAUGAAGAGGAAGUGAAAUCCUUUAGUGAUUUCAAUGUUUUUAGUUAACUUAAAACACCUUGGAGUCACCUGGGCCAACACUUGGUAAGGCAAGUGAUUUCCAACCGUGGAAAUGCACUAGUUUACCCCUUGCGAGCCUCUGGUAGGUGACUUCAAGGUAGGAUUUUCUGGAAUUACCAACACUUGGUAAGCUUUUGGACUCCUAGGAGACAUCCAUUAGUUAUCUCUUGCGAGUUUGUGAAGGGGAAUCCAAGGUUAAAGAUCACCUUGAAUGGUAAGUGCUCGUGAGAGGCAUGAACCAUUGCAAGUUGUAUCAGUGAGAGAAUUAAAGUGAAAUCUAAUUGAAGGAGUCUCUGUACAUCACCGGUUAGAGAAUUGACUAUAAGUUGAAUCUCUAAUGCGAGGAAAUGAACCAUCUGACCGGAGCUAUGUCUUUUGCAUGAGGAACCACCCCAGUGAACCUAAAUCUCCAAGGAAUGCUUUUCUUCCUAAAUUAUUCCAAACUUCUGUUAAGUUAGUUAGUUUAAGUCUAAACCUUUACCAAUCAAACUUUGUGUUUUAUUUCUUAAGCUAACCGUGAAAUGAAACAAAACCAAUUCACUUGGAAUUGGUAUCCUUGAUUGCUUGCAAAUCAUUCCCAGUGAACGAUCCUUAGAGCCACUAUACUAUAGUAGCUUUGUAUUUGCUACCCUAGUGUAUGGUGUUAUAGGUAUAAAUUUUGUUGAUCACUUCCUCAAUCAAGGAACACCAGCUGAACACAAAUCAGCUGAGACACCAAUUGGGCAUGAGUCAAAUGGCGCCGUUGCCGGGGAAUGAGUGUCAAGAUCAUUGUGAUACCAUUUUUGAGCACUUGUGAUUUUCAUCACAAGUUGGUAAAGUUUCUUUCACUUUACUAAUUUUCAUUCUCUCUUUGUUUAUUUACAAUCUAAGUUUAUCUUUUUAAAAUUUAGUCUAGUUUAAUUUUGCUAUUGUAGCCUUGUUUCUCUUGUUGUCCUCUGUUCUUGUUGUCCUCUGUUUUCAUUUUAGUUGCAGCUGAAUACUAGUUGUGUAUGCCAAAGUGGAUACGAGACAUUGGAGGUAGGCUUAUUAAGUGUGAUACACCUCAGAGAGGAGAAUUGGAAGUAAUCUUGAAUAUCAUGGAGGCUGCACCUGAAGAUCAGCAUAGUCACCAAGGUCGUCAAGACAAUCUCAAUGAAUUCAGAUCAAUGAGGGACCGUAUGCAUCCACCUCGUAUGAGUGCACCAUCAUGUAUAGUGCCCCCUACAGAGCAACUAGUGAUCAGACCAUAUCUUGUUCCACUUCUACCAACUUUCCAUGGGAUGGAAAGUGAGAAUCCGUAUGCACACAUCAAGGAAUUUGAAGAUGUUUGUAAUACAUUCCAAGAGGGAGGAGCUUCAAUUGAUUUGAUGAGGCUUAAGUUAUUUCCUUUUAAUUUAAAGGAUAAGGCCAAAAUUUGGCUUAAUUCUUUAAGGCCAAGGAGUAUCCGCUCUUGGACUGAUUUACAAGCUGAAUUCCUCAAGAAAUUUUUUCCUACUCAUAGAACAAAUGGCUUGAAAAGGCAAAUUUCAAACUUCUCAGCUAAAGAGAAUGAGAAAUUCUAUGAGUGUUGGGAAAGAUACAUGGAAGCUAUAAAUGCUUGUCCUCACCAUGGCUUUGAUACUUGGCUACUGGUGAGUUAUUUUUAUGAUGGUAUGUCCUCCUCAAUGAAGCAACUCCUCGAGAAAAUGUGUGGAGAAGAUUUCAUGAGCAAAAAUCCAGAGGAAGCUAUGGAUUUCUUGAGCUAUGUAGCUGAUGUUUCAAGGGGAUGGGAUGAACCAACUAAAGGAGAAGUGGGAAAGAUGAAGUCUCAGUUGAAUGCUUACAAUGCAAAGGCUGGGAUGUAUACUUUAAAAGAGGAUGAUGACAUGAAAGCAAAGUUGGCAGCUAUGACAAGAAGAUUGGAGGAGCUGGAGCUGAAAAGAAUGCAUGAAGUGCAAGCUGUUGCUGAAGCACCAGUGCAAGUGAAGUUGUGUCCCAAUUGUCAAUCGUUUGAACAUUUGGUAGAGGAAUGCCCUGCAAUUUCAGCUGAAAGGGAAAUGUAUAGAGAUCAAGCAAAUGUUGUUGGACAAUUCAGGCCCAAUAACAAUGCUCCUUAUGGAAAUACCUACAAUUCAAGUUGGAGGAAUCAUCCAAAUUUUUCAUGGAAGGCCAGAGCAACUCAAUACCAACAGCCGGAUCCACCAUCUCAACAAUCUUCAAGUAUUGAACAAAUAAUAGCUAAUCUCAGCAAGGUAGUGGGAGAUUUUGUGGGAAAGCAAGAAGCCACCAAUGCUCGAGUGGAUCAAAGAAUGGACAGAGUGGAUCAAAGAAUGGACAGAAUGGAGAGUAUGUUGAACAAAAGAAUGGAUGGAAUGCAAAAUGAUAUGAAUCAAAAAUUUGAUAACAUCCAAUAUUCAAUUUCAAGGCUUACAAAUUUGAAUACACUGCAAGAAAAGGGAAGAUUUCCUUCUCAACCUAACCAAAAUCCCAAAGGUGUCCAUGAAGUGGAAAGCCAUGAGGGAGAAUCAUCACAGGUGAAAGAUGUGAAAGCUUUGAUCACUCUAAGGAGUGGUAAGAAAAUUGAGCAGCCAACACCCAAGCCACAUGUUGAGAAAGAAGAAGAGAUGAAGAAAGGGAAGGAAAUGGAAGAUAAAGGCAGUGAGAUCAGUGAAGAAAAGAAGGACUCUGAUGCAACAAUGAAAGUAAUUCCAGAGAAGGAGCUUCUGAAGGAAGAAAUGCUGAAGAAAUCAACUUUUCCACCUUUUCCUCAAGCAUUACAGGGGAAAAAGGGGGUUAGAAAUGCAGCUGAAAUCCUAGAAGUAUUGAGGCAAGUGAAAGUUAAUAUUCCACUGCUGGAUAUGAUCAAACAAGUUCCAACGUAUGCAAAAUUCCUAAAGGACUUGUGUACUAUCAAAAGAGGGUUGACUGUAAACAAGAAAGCCUUCUUGACUGAGCAAGUAAGUGCAAUCUUACAGUGUAAGUCUCCUUUGAAGUACAAAGACCCUGGAAGUCCUACCAUUUCAGUCAUGAUUGGAGGAAAGGUAGUGGAGAAAGCCUUGCUAGACUUGGGAGCAAGUGUGAAUUUGCUUCCAUAUUCUGUCUACAAGCAACUGGGACUUGGAGAGUUGAAGCCAACAGCAAUCACUUUGUCUCUGGCAGAUAGAUCAGUGAAAAUUCCAAGAGGGGUAAUUGAGGAUGUAUUGGUUCAAGUAGAUAAUUUCUACUAUCCUGUAGAUUUUGUUGUUCUUGAUACAGAUCCUACUGUAAAGGAAGCUAAUUUAGUUCCUAUCAUCCUUGGAAGGCCAUUUCUUGCAACUUCAAAUGCAAUCAUCAACUGUAGAAAUGGGCUUAUGCAACUCACUUUUGGUAACAUGACACUGGAUCUAAAUAUUUUCUAUAUGUCUAAAAAGCAAAUCACUCCAGAAGAAGAAGAGGGUCCAGAAGAGCUAUGUAUUAUUGAUACUUUGGUGGAGGAGCACUGCAAUCAACAUAUGCAAGAUAAGUUGAAUGAAAGUUUUGUGGAUAUUGAGGAAGGUUUUUCUGAAUCUCCUAAUGGGCUUGCUACUCUACAAAGUUGGAGAAAGAUAGAAGGAAUUCUACCUUUGUUCAAUGAAGAAGAGGAGGCAGCUGUUGAAAAAGAAAUUCCAAAACUCAAUCUGAAGCCUUUACCUAUGGAGCUGAAAUAUACAUAUCUUGAAGAAAAUAAUCAAUGUCCUGUCGUAAUAUCUUCAUCUCAAACCAAGUCUCAAGUGAAGGAUGCAAGCUUCAAAUGGGAUCCGGGCAAACUGAAUCAGGAAGGGCAAAAAGUUUUGAUGUAUGACACAAGACUCCAUAUCUUUCCUGGGAAGCUCAAGUCAAGGUGGAUUGGUCCAUUUGUUAUUCACCGAGUAUAUUCCAAUGGAGUGGUGGACUUAUUGAAUUCCAAUGGCAAGGACAGCUUUAGAGUCAAUGGAUAUCGUCUUAAGCCGUUCAUGGAGUCAUUCAAAUCAGAAAAGGAGGCAAUCAACCUCCUUGAACCUCAAAAAGCCUAAGUGAAAUGGGUUUGCUGGACGUGGUUUUACCACAGUCCAAAAAUUUUUGUAAAUUUUGUAAAUUUUCAAGUUGUUUCCAUGCUUUUAAUCUUAGUUUUUGAUUUUAAAUCAUGUUUUUAGGUGUGUUUUAAUCGUUUUAUAUGAUCCCAGGCGGAAGAAAUUUCAAGGGGAUUGAAAAGAAAAAAAUCGGGUCGAAAUUGGAGCCGAAACAGAGCAAAAACAGGGGAAAAACAGAGCUCUGCGAAAUUUCGCAGGGUGAAGGAAACUUCUGCGAAAUUGGCAUUUUGCUGCCAAACCAUUCCGCAGCACUGUAGAAGCCUCUGCGAGUGUAUUUCGCAAUUGCGAAAGUGGAUUUGGCACACGAGUGCCACUUCGCAGCACAGUGACAUCAAUUUCGCAGCUGCGAAACUCACUGCGAAGUUGCUGCGAAAAUGGCAAGUUGCUGCGAAAUUGGCGUUUUGUUGCGAAACGUAAUCUGACCCCUGGGCUUCCGUUUUUCCUAUUUAUACCUGUCAAAAGUGCUGCGAAAAAGGUUUCAAAAAUUAGAGCACCAUUCUCGCAGCCCUUUCAUCUUCUUCGCCAAGCCACGCCGUCCGUUUCUCCGGUCGUCUUCUCCGUUUAGCAGCGCCGGCCAAAGAUCGAUAGCCCAAAAAUGGCACGAACGCGAGGGGCAAAGUCUUCAUCCCCUUCGAACCGCAAAAGGAGUCUGCGAAAGGAGCCAAGUUCAGGCUCUGUUCCAGAACCUGCUCCAAAGCCUUCGCCGUCGAGACCACAACCUUCUCCAGUGAAGCCGGCGCCACCAAAGCCGCCGGCAAGGCGAUAUUUAACCAGGUCAGGUGGUCAGCCAUUGAAGAAGAAAGCCAGAGUUGAGAGCUCUGAACCAAUCGAUUUGACUGAGCAAUCCCCUGAGAAAUCACCAAAUCCUUCACCGGUACAAAUUCCAGUGCCAUCACCGGUUCCCUCGCCAAUUCCCUCACCAGAAGCAACUCCAAUUCCAUCGCCGGUACCAUCUCCGGCACCCCAAGAAAAAGCUCAGGAGCCUCAAGCGCCAAUUCCAGAGCCCCAAAUUGCAGCUGAAGCACCUCUGGAAGAAGUGAUCCGAAGGCCAAUGCUGCCUCAGCCCCCAAUCGAAGGAAACCUGGAUUGCCGAACUCGGGCAUUCCAUUCUGAGCUUUGCUUCGAUUUAACAGCAUUCAGAGUGAGGCCAGAGCUUGCCCAAUCCUUCCAACUGCUGAGGAGAUAUCAUAUGGAGCAUCUGCUAGCUCCAAGGGAUUUUUUCUAUCCCCGGGUAGUCACGGAUUUCUACCAAACCAUGACAACCAAAGAAGUAAGAAAUCCAACUCUGAUUCAUUUCAUAAUUGAUGGAAGGCAUGGUAUUUUGGGAGCAAGACAUAUUGCUGAAGCCCUGCAAAUUCCUUUUGAGCCAACUCAAUUCGACAAUUUUAAAGCUUGGACAAAUCCUACUGAGUUAGAGAUGGUUAGCACACUAACCAGAGGAGCUGCAAAUCGAUCGCAUUUGUUGAGGGGGGAGCUACCUCCAGUUAUGUUUUUGAUUGAUGCCUUUUUGAGGCAUAAUAUCUAUCCCCUGCAGCAUUGGACCCAAAGAAGGGGAAUUCUCCUAGAAGCCUUGUACAAAAUGUCUGAAGGAUUCUUCUUUGGGCCUCAUCAUCUGAUCAUGGCAGCCCUUCUAUACUUUGAGGAGAAGGUUCACAAGAAGAAGCUUCAAAGAGCAGAUUGCAUUCCACUCCUCUUCCCAAGGCUGCUAUGCCAAGUUUUGGAGCAUCUCGGAUACCCCUCUGAGCCUCAGCAGGAAAGAAAGAGAAUAUGCCGUGAGCCUUUUACCCUUGAUAAAUGGAAUAAUAUGACGGCCUACAAAAUUGAUCAGCCUGGGCAGCCUCAGCCAGCAGCAAGGAGAGUCUCCCCAAGACAUAUACCUGAAGGUAUAACACUUGCUACUCCUGCCAUCCCUCGAGCUCCACCAGCUGCACCUGCUCCAUCACAGCCAUCCACAUCAGCUGAGCCGAGGAUGGCCAUCCCUAUAUCCGAAUAUCGAGAGCUGUGCCGUGCAUUGGAGACUCUUACAGCUUCUCAGAGCAAUCUUGCUCAGGAGUUGGCAGCCAUUAAAGCAUGCCAGGAGCAGAUGUUAGCCUCUCAGACUCAACAAGCUGCCAUCCUAAGGCAGCUUCAAGUCCAUUUCGAUCUGCCACAAGCUGUAGAGCCCUCUAUUCCUACUCCACCAGAGCCACACUCUCAGCCUUCAGAGUCUCAUCCUCCAGAACCCGAAGCACCAGCUGAUCCACCUACUGAGGAGGCAGAUCCUUCUGCCUAGCACCAUCACCCCCCUCAUCAGACAUUAUAUAUAUAUUUGCUGUUUAUGUUUUUAUGCAUGUUUGUUUUGUUUUAGUUGAAAAGAAAUCCCAGUAUUUUGGUACUAUAUAUGGGAUUCCUUGUGUUACUUGUCUUUAGUAUUGUAAUCACAUGAACUCAAAGUAAUACAAGUUGACUAUUUCUUGUUAAAAGUUAGCAUUAAAGUUUCCUUAUUUCCUUUUCUCACAUAUUCUAUUCUUUUUGAAACAUGUGGUUUUCCCCAAUCAAUAUUCGAAUUUGAUAUCAGCAUGGAGGUACCACUUCCUCCCUUUUAUUACAGUCACUCAAAUCACAUUGAGGACAAUGCUCAGUUCGGUUGGGGGGUAUGAGGAAGGAAGUAUUCUAAACCUUUUUGGUAUUGCAAUUAUAUUGGUUAAUUAGUUGUAGAUUUUACUUUUUACUAGUGUUACUCUAUUCUCCAUGAAUUUUGAGGAAAAAUUUUCAAAUUAAACCAAGAGAAAUUGAACUGUUGUUUUUCACUUGACUUAGAGUAUGGAUUAUGCUUACUAAAGUGGUUCAAUUGUUGAAACUUCUACUGAAAUUGAAUUGAGUUCUUCCACUUUAAGCUAUCCACACACUGUGCACAUUAGUUUCCGAUUAUAAGAUGAAAAGCUAUUUCCCUCUUGACUUAGUAUAUUUUUGGGACUUGGUAUAUUUGACCUCAUUUGAUAAAAAUUGAAACACCCUGCAAAAGGCCAAUGAGCCUUUGAAAUAAAGAAAGUUGUUUGCUUGCCUUGAAACCCGAGCAAGGUCUGAGGGGUAUAUGGUGAAAAUCUUUAAAGCCUGGUGCCCUAAGCCUUAAUUGGUUGGGAGUCACCGACCUCAAUGCUCGUUACAAGGGUGAAUAGGUAGAGUUAGCAUAUGGUAGAUGCUUGGGUAUUAGAAAUUCAUUCUUAAAAGUCCGGGGAAAAAUCCGAGGAGUUAGUGGUUGAAAGAUCCUUAAAACUUGGUGCCCUAAACCUUAAUUGGUUGGGAGUCAUCGAUGGACCCCCAUUACAUGGACAAGUCAGAAAGAGUACCCCAUAAAGCUACCUUAAAAAAAAAAAAAAAAAAAAAAAAAAAAAAAAAGAUGAAAGUGUGUUCUUUUCUUAUUGAUUUUGGUCAGUUUGCUAAAGUGUUGAAAAGAGAUAGGUUGGGGGGUGAGAUUAGUAGCAUAUUAUUCUCGGAACCUAAGGAACCAAUACACAUAGAUUUUUGUGGAAGAUUGAAGUUUAGUUCUUAGAAAAUGAAAUGAUUUUAAAACUUCAGUUUGCAUAAUGCACUCCCUUGAUUGACAGUGUUUAGCAUAGGUGUUAUGACUCUUGUUGAGAUUUGGGUUUGUAUUUCUUUAAUGAUUCAUGUGAGAAAUAGAUCAUCAUGCCACUUGAGAAUUAUUUUCCUUUUAGCAUGAUGUUGUAAAUUUUAGAUUAGUUUGCUAUUUAUUUUUUAUUUUCUCUCCUAUAUUGCUAAGGGACUAGCAAUAUGUCGGUUGGGGGGAGUGAUUACUACUCAAAAAGUGCUAUUUGAUAGCCUUUAAUUAAUCCUUUUUAACACUUUUGAGUAGUAGUUUAGGCCUUUUAACUCAAUUGGCAUGUUAAGGAUCCUUUAAAGCAAUUUUGAUCACUUUGUGCAAGUUUUGGUGUUUUUGUUAGUAUUUUGAUCACCAAAGCAAGUCAAGAAUGAGGAGAACUAUGAGGAAUCAUGGGCAAAGCUUAGAAUUCAAUUGCCAAGAGUGAAUCCGGAUUGCAAGGAGAAAAAGCAAAGAGAAUCUGUCAUGAAGCCUAUUCUUGAUGACAGUCGUAGCAGCCACUUUUGGAGCACUUUCUGAAGUCCAAAUGAUGCAAGCUAUAUACCAUUUCAAAGCUCAGGAAGUCAACAAUCCAAUGCUUCAAACGGUGCGCGAUUCGGAGUUGAAACGAAGAAGUUGCAGCCAUUACAAGCCAGUCACUCUAAAGUGUUGCGGAAUCAGCCUUUUGUUGCGAGAAUUUCGCAGCACUUUUGUACAGUAAGGUGUUUCUCCUUCUGACGAUGCACGAACCAUGCCGCGAGAGGGAAGCUAGGAACUUCAAGAUGGAAGCCAACUUUGCAGCCUGGUGAAGAUAGCUUGGUCUUGCGAAAUAAUUUCGCAGCCCUCUUGGGUGUCUGCGAAAUUUCGCAGGCACCACUUUUUUCCUGCGAAAUGGCUCCGGAAGCCUCCCGAAGCUUGCUACCGACAUUGGGAGAUAUUUUCCAUUAGAUUUUUGUUGUCUAAAUUCCAAAAUACUCCUUGUAAACCACCAAUUACAUGAUUCCUUAGUUUUUAAGUUAGUAAAAAGACCAAAUAUCUAUGUAAUAAUUAGUUUUAUAUUAGUUUGCUAUAAAUACCUCUCGGGAGCAUGUUCUCAGAGAGGAGUUCCUUCUGUAACCAUUUUGGUAAGCAAGUAAAGUCUUUUCUUUCUACUGCCUUACCUUCUCACUUUGUAUUUUCAUUUUAUUUCUAAGUUAUGAAUUCUCUGAGGAGCUUUCCCCAGAGAAUGAGUAACUAAACCUCCAAUUCCUUGGAGCUAAGGUUGCCGGGGAAGGUUCCAAGUGCAAGAAUGCAAAGCUCUGUGGUUUUAGCUAGUAAUGAAGAGGAAGUGAAAUCCUUUAGUGAUUUCAAUGUUUUUAGUUAACUUAAAACACCUUGGAGUCACCUGGGCCAACACUUGGUAAGGCAAGUGAUUUCCAACCGUGGAAAUGCACUAGUUUACCCCUUGCGAGCCUCUGGUAGGUGACUUCAAGGUAGGAUUUUCUGGAAUUACCAACACUUGGUAAGCUUUUGGACUCCUAGGAGACAUCCAUUAGUUAUCUCUUGCGAGUUUGUGAAGGGGAAUCCAAGGUUAAAGAUCACCUUGAAUGGUAAGUGCUCGUGAGAGGCAUGAACCAUUGCAAGUUGUAUCAGUGAGAGAAUUAAAGUGAAAUCUAAUUGAAGGAGUCUCUGUACAUCACCGGUUAGAGAAUUGACUAUAAGUUGAAUCUCUAAUGCGAGGAAAUGAACCAUCUGACCGGAGCUAUGUCUUUUGCAUGAGGAACCACCCCAGUGAACCUAAAUCUCCAAGGAAUGCUUUUCUUCCUAAAUUAUUCCAAACUUCUGUUAAGUUAGUUAGUUUAAGUCUAAACCUUUACCAAUCAAACUUUGUGUUUUAUUCCUUAAGCUAACCGUGAAAUGAAACAAAACCAAUUCACUUGGAAUUGGUAUCCUUGAUUGCUUGCAAAUCAUUCCCAGUGAACGAUCCUUAGAGCCACUAUACUAUAGUAGCUUUGUAUUUGCUACCCUAGUGUAUGGUGUUAUAGGUAUAAAUUUUGUUGAUCACUUCCUCAAUCAAGGAACACCAGCUGAACACAAAUCAGCUGAGACACCAAUUGGGCAUGAGUCAGUGCGUUAGAGGAUCAAGAAGAAGAAAAAGAAGGAACUGUUGGAAUUAGUAUGAGUGUGAAGAGAAAAGUAUAUAAAUAAGGGGAAGUAAAAGCAAAGUUCAAAAAGCUAUAUUUUUUUAUUGUUGGUGUAUGGUUGCAUGAUUAUCCCUAUAAAUAAUAGGAGUUUUUUGGUAUUCUACUAGUAGUUGAAGCAUAAUUUCAUAAAUUAAUAUUUAGAGCGGGGUGGGGUGAGUUGUGACAAAAUUCAUACCCGUCCCAAACCUUGGUUCAGAUUUUUAAAAUAUUCUCAAACUUAUCAUAUACCCAACUUUUAUAUUUCAUACUUGUCCUAAUAGAGGCACGUUAGGCCGGGUUACUUGAGUAACCUACAUAAUUGUCAUCCCUAGUUGAAAUACACUUUUUGGCAGUGGCCACCAACUGAGCUAGAAGCUUGAUUGAUUGACCUACAAGAUUAGUUCUCAUCAUUUUAAAAAAAGUUCUGGCUUUGGUUGUGAGUGCAAUUGAAUCUAAACUGGCAUUUGCUUAAUGCAUCUACUUCAAUCCUAAACUUCUUACUUCUUAAGCCUCAAUUGUUGUUAGGAUUUUGGAAAACCCAUUUCCUUAAAUUGUAAAUUUAAGAUAAAAUAAAAUAAAAGUGAGACAUUUCUUGAUUGAAUAUUGUUAAAGGUCCCUUGGCAUUAAGACUUGGUUGAAGCCUUGGAAGAUUAGUGGAACUCUCAACAUGUGUUUGAAUCUUGAGGAGAGUGGAUGUAAGCCAAAAUUUUGUCAAACCAUUAUACAAAUUGAGUUUGAAUCCUCAUUUCUUGAUUUCUUAUUUAUUUGCUUUUUCUUAUUAUUACUUGAAUUGUCAUUUGCAUUCAUUAAUGUUAAAAUUGGUUAUAAUUAACCAACACUAAUUCUCUUUCCCCUUCCCUUUCUUGGGUGUAAACCUAGGUUGGAUUAACUAGAUAAAUCUAUUAAGAUGGUAAAAGAAUAAUUAUUCUUAACAUACAUAAGAUCAUCUUCAAUCAAAUGACUCAUUGGCUAAUAUGUUGAAUUUGCUUAUUACUUGCAACUCAAAAUUGUGUUCUAGUUGUGUCAAGUCCCCAGUGUAUGGACAUUAAAUUUGUAGUACGUGAUGAGUAAUUAGAUGGUCCAACUCCAAGAAAGUGAUUGAAAAGUAGUUCAAGAAAGGUGCAAAAGGGAAUUGUUUUGGUAUUUUCGUUUUUAUUCUUGAAGGUGGCAGAGCUAAAAUUUGAGAAAUCAAGCAAAACAUACUGAAAUUACAUUGAAAGAAAGAAGAUGGGAGUUAAUGUCUUGCAGUACAUGAUAAGGACUUCAUGCAUGUAGUGUGACCCAUGUCUUGGACUGAUGCCAACUCACGGUUACACUUAUACCCUUGGUUCUCUCUUUACUACCUUGGCUAACCUAGAUCAGGCUAUGAGAUAGGCUCCUCACCACACCAUUACUUGCCCAUUAAUUAGAGACAUUUUCAAGCAAUGAGGUAACAUGGUGACACCAAGAGGGUCUAUUCCUCGCCCGGAACAAGUCUAGACUUGGUCUCAAAAAAAUGGAGAAAAAUGAGGUGUCGUUAUGUAGAAAUACAACAACCAUGCCUUCCUCAUUACUUAGAUUCAGAAUGUGAAGGUGAAAUUGAGAAACAGAAACUCUUGAAACCAAAAUGAAAAUUGAUACUUUUACGAAGAAUUACAACAACAUUAGAGGAAGACUACAUUCUUCCUCUUUAUUCCUACAUUUCUACACUACUUCUACUCCACUCCAUAUUUCUACAUACAUCUUUAAUCAGUCUUCCCUCCUUUAUAUAGAGCCAUCUUCACACAAAUUUCGCAAGGUAGAAAAGAGGAAUGAAACUUGGAGCAAGGUUCGACUACUGGUUGUAGCUUGUCAAGGCUGGAAGUGAACUUUUCUUGGCUUUCUGGGCAUGGGUAGUAACUUGUGGGUUCCUGUUUGGCAUAAAAAUGGCUAGAACAUGUGGCACUAUCUUGUUGGAUGAUGUGUCAAGCAUGUGGCAGCCAUCUAGUGGCGAUUAUGUCAAUUUUGGGAUGGAGAGUUGGCAUCCAAUUGCAAAGAAAUAUGACGUCUACCAACAUGCAAUGUAAACCUAUGUAGAUCAUAUGAAGAUAGAGAGGAAAAAUAUAGAAAUGGAUAUAUACCUAGAACUAGCUUUUUAUUAAAUGAAACGGAGAGACAACAAUGAAGGAAAAUAAAAUUUUUUGGCUUAUAUCAAAGAGUUCACAUUGUGUUACCCUAGGUUUUCUUAAAACUUACUUUUAUGAUAACAAAAAAGAAAAAACCAUUAUUGUUUAAUCCUUUGUUUUAAACGCAUGUAAGGUGUAAUUAAGUUAGUUCAAUGCAUUAAUUUAAGAAACUUGACCUAUCAAAAGUACAAAAUUAGAUGAAAUCCAUUUCAAUGGUUAAAAUGAUCAAAAUCAAACUUUUUCUAAGUAUUUUUUAAAAGCAUCAAUAGUGAAAGACAAUUUUAUAUUUAGUCGGAGUUUGGACAAAACUGAAAAACACACAAAAUCCAAGCGACCAUCUCUAGCUUGGAUGGUCGCUUGAUCCCACCUAGAGAUGUGCAUGAGUAAAAGGAUUUGAAAAUGGAAAUUGACUAUGUAGUCGAUCAAUUAACUUUGCAACAUCAUAUGCAAUCCUAAUUGCUAGUCAUCUAAUCAAUUAGGUAGUCAAUCAACAGGCCAAAAAUAUGUUUAUAAUGACUAUUUUGUACAAAAACCACCUGUAUAGUUAAAUAUAAUGCAUUUCAUUUAUAAAUCUUCUAAUUCUUGAAUAACGAUCCUAUCAUCCUUUGAAAGUUUUUAUUACACUUUUUUUACUUUUGUUCUAAAACUUACACAUCACCCUUAAUUGUACCAUGAGAACCUAGCUAUUUUUUAUUUUUUUUUUUGUAAUUCAUCAAAGUUAGCUUUUGUAUUCAUUGUUGUAUUAUUUUUAGUAUAACUUAGAAAGCUAGUGUUUUCAAGUGAGUAAAAUUAACUUGUAAAUAUUGUAAAGAUUCAUCGACAUGUAUCUUAAACUAAGUGUACAAGUUAAAACAUUUGCUAGUAGAUUUUCUCAAAAUUUAGAAUAGAGCUUGAGACUAUUGAAAUAGGUGGGGUUGCACCAAACCACAUCACAUCGUUGUUUGCACCUUUUUUCACUCUCUUUUACUUAGUUGCUCUAUAUUUGUUGUCUAGUAAUAUCCUAUAGGCUUGAUGGGUUAGGGAGCAUCCCUUUGUGAAAAAAUUUUAUUCAAUCCUUAGUUGUAUCACGCAUAUAUAAAAUGCCUCAUUGUUUUAAUGGUAUUCAGUCGUGGCAUCACAGAUAUGGGCAUCUAAAUUUUAAAAGUUUGAAACUUUUAUCUAAAGAAAAUAUGGUGCUUUGCCUUUUUGUAAAGCAUGUUGAUGAAAUCCAUGAGAAUUGUGUACUUGGGAAGCAACACCGAGAUGACUUUUUUUUUUUUUUUAUAAUAUUGUUUGUCCAAAUUCCCUACAAAUUAGGCCACCAGAUGUUCAUAAUUCUCCCUUCUUGAAUUUGAAAACUCGGACAAUUGGACAAUGCGACACCUAAGUCCGGUUUCUAAAUGCUAAAGUGAAAGGGUAGGUAUGGACCAUUGAAAUGUGAUCACAACUUUUCUCUGUAGCCAUGUUGUCUCUUUUUUCUUUUGCAUGAUUUUCUUACCUUAACAGAAUCAUAGACUUGUUUAGUCUCUAAAUGGGAUUAAUUUCAUCCAGCUUUAAGCUACUAUAUUAUAUCUAGGUGGAGGACUUUUAAGAGUGCAACCGACAUAGAGCACAUGGAAGUGGGUAUAUGGGACAUGAAAUUUCUUCUUAUAAAGAUUGCAUGAUUUUUAUAUUAGAGUUGUUGAGGCGCUAUGUAUUUAGCUUGUUUUGCAGUUAAAUUAAUUGGAUAAGUAGACAUUGGCGUUUCUAAAUCUACUGUGAAGUGCUUCAUGUACGUGUGAAGUAUUAGAAAUUUCUUUCUUGGCAACUUGUUUUUCUUUGCGGUCUACUGAUAGGUUUGACUAAAAUUAUAUUCCCUGUCAUGCUAAUUAAUUUUCACGUGCAUGCUCAAAAGAAAAGUAUGACCUUAGUGCACCAAAAUCACUUUGAUUAAUUUGUGAUAGGUUUUUGUGCAUCAUGACAUUAGCCUUAUUCAUUUAGAUAAUGUUUAGUUUUUAGAAAGUAUUAAGAAAAGGAAAAUAAAUAUUAAGAAAAAUAUUCUUAUAUUUGAUUGUAUUAUGAAAAAUAUCAUAAAAAAAUCAAAUAUAAUUUAAAUUAAUUAAUAAUUUAUACAUUUUCAAAUUAUUUAAUCUUUAUAUUGAAGAUAUAAUAUAAAUGAAAUGAGUUUUAAGUAUUAUAUAAAAGUGAUUUAUUGAUCUUACAUAUAUAUAUUUCUUUUUUUUUUCCUUCUAUUUUUUCUCUUUAUUUUAUUUUCCUUAUGUUUUCCUCAACAUUUUCCGGAACCAAACAUAGCCUUAGGAAAUCCACAAUUACCUUCAACUGAGUAGAUUCUGUUGUUUUAGCAAUGUUAGGCUGCUAACUUGUGUUGGUACGAACCUAUUAAGCCUAAAGAUGUAAUUAGUUAGGAUAUUCUUUUCCCUCUAGUCUUGUAGCUCCACGUGUACAGUUGGUUAGGACCUCAUUGUAUAUAAUGCUUGCCCUGUUAUUGUAGAAGACAACAAAGAUAAAUAAUAUUAACAUUUUUCCUCUCAUCUCUCUCUGUUUCCCUCUGUUUUCAUCUCCUCUCUCAUCUUGGUAUCAGAGCCUCCAUGGCUUCUUUCAAAGAAACCUCCGAAUCACCUUCUGCUAGCAUUGUUAAUGUGCAAAACCCAUUAUCUCAAUCAAACAACCUUCCUUCACCAGUAGCCACACCCUCUUUUUCUUUCUCGUCUAUGAAUCAACCUCUCACAGUGAAGCUGGAUAAUGGGAACUACCUCAUAUGGAAGAAUUAGCUUCUAAAUGUCAUCAUUGCUAACGGACUCGAUGAUUUCAUUGACGGAUCUCGACCCUGCCCUCCUCGAUUUCUCGAUCUGCAACAACAAACCCUCAAUCCAGAGUACUCAGCUUGGCAGAGAUACAAUCGACUUCUGAUGAGUUGGCUGUACGCAUCCUUGUCCAAAGAUAUAAUGGCUCAGAUUGUUGGGUAUUCAACAGCUAUGGAGAUUUGGAAUGCCCUUAAUCAGAUUUACUCUGCCUCUUCUAUGGCGCGGUUUACUGAGCUUCGCACCAAGCUUCAAACGCUCAAGAAAGAUGGACUCUCAGUUGGUGAAUAUAUUCAAAGGCUCAAAUCCAUUUGCAAUAGUCUUGCAGCAAUAGGAGAACCAGUUUCUGAGAAAGACCAUCUUAUCUAUUUGUUCAAUGGAUUAGAUUGUGAGUAUUAUUCUUUUGUUACCUCCAUUCAAAAUCGAUCUGACCAACCAACUAUUGACAAAAUCCAUAGCCUAUUGCUUAGCUAUGACUUCCGGCUUGAACAACAAAACUCUGUUUCUCUCCAUUCUGCCCAAGUCCAUAUGGCUCAUCUGAACAAGAAACCUUAUAAAUCAACUCCUCAACCUACAUUCAAUCAUAUUCACAUUCAACCUAGAUACUCUUCUCCACCUUUUAAGCCAACCACUAGUCAAUAUCAACCCAACAUUUUGGGCAAACCACAACCACAACCAUGACAGCCUCAACCUCAAUGGAAACCACAUUUUUCAAUCUAAAAUCAAAAGCCUCAGCGCCAAAUUUGUGGUAAAUUUGGACACACUGCUCUUAUUUGCUUCCAUCACACAAAUUUGAACUAUUCACCCCAACCUUCUCCUAAAUCUUUCAAUACUGUUCUCACCACAAAUUCCCAGCUCCCUAAUCCUCCAAAAUUUUCUUACCCUACAAUGGCUCAUCCUGCUGCUACGCAUAACACGGUUCCCGAUACAAAUUGGUACAUGGACUCAGGUGCUACACAUCACUUUACUCUGGACAUCAACGUGCUUGACACUGUGACACCAUUUAGUGGUUCAGAACAGGUGACAGUUGGGAAUGGUAAGCAACUCUGUAUCUCACAUCUUGGUACUGCAAAACUACCAUCUUCGUAUUCUCCUCCUGUUCUACAUCAGGUAUAUCACACUCCAAAAAUUUCAAAUAAUCUUAUUAGUGUUAAAAAAUUGUGUUCUGAUAAUAAAGUUUUUGUUGAAUUUUAUGCCACUCAUUUUCUUGUCAAGGAUCAGGUUUCGAAGAGAGUUCUCCUUUAGGGUCAACUUGAUAAUGGCUUAUACAAAGUUCAGUCGUCAUGCUCUCCUUCUGCUGUUUCCUUUCCUCCUCAAGUUUUCAUAGCCAACAUCAAGUAUCCAAAUCUGUGGCACAAGAGACUAGGCCACCCAGCUUUAUCUGUUGUUAAUCAAAUCUUGGAUUCUUGUAACAUUGCUCGAACACAGAAAAUUUGUUUUAAUUUUUUAAAUUCUUGUCAAUUAGCAAAGAGCCACAGGCUUCCUUUUUCUCUGUCUCCAUCCAUUGCAGAAAAACCUUUUGAGUUAAUUCAUACAGACCUAUGGGGUCUUUCGCUCGUUCGCUCUAUUUCUGGUGCUCUUUAUUUUUUACUUUUCAUUGAUGAUCAUACUCGUUUUACUUGGUUUUAUUUGCUCAAAACAAAAGAUGAAGCAUAUCCUACUUUUCUCAAGUUUCAAGCUCUCAUUGAAAAUCAAUUUAAUACCAAGAUUAAGGCUGUCCAAUCUGAUUGGGGAGGUGAGUUUCGAUCUCUCUCCAUACCGUUUUCAAAUAUGGGCAUUGUCUAUUGUUUAUCGUGUCCAUACACCUCACAACAGAAUGGGCGAGUUGAGCGAAAAAAUCGCCAUGCGAUUGUCCUUUCUUGCUUGCUCUAUGCCCUUAUCUUAUUGGCCUUAUGCCUUUCAAACUGCCACUUACCUUAUUAAUCGUCUCUCUACCCCUGUGCUGCAUCAUCAAUCCUCUUACUUCGCACUCUAUCACAAACUCCCAACUUAUACUCAUCUUAAGGUCUUUGGUUCCUCUUGUUUUCCGUAUUUGCACCCUUAUAAUACCCAUAAACUCCAAUACAGGUCACUAGAGUGUGCUUUUCUUGGUUACAGUUCACACCACAAAGGUUAUCUAUGUCUUGACAUUCAUUCUAGCAGGGUGUAUAUUUCUCGCCAUGUGAUUUUUAAUGAAGAUUCUUUUCCAUUCAAGAAUUUGAAAUCUUCUCUCUCUCAGUCUAUUUCUUCUUCCUCUUCUUUAUAAGUUCCUCUGUUCAUUCUCUUGCCUCCCCUUUCCCCAUCUCCUCUUAUUUCUUCAUCUAUACCUCAUUCUUUUCCCUCUUCUUCUUCUACCUCUAGUACUUGUUCCCCUCUCGUUGCUCCUACCUCUCUUCCUUCCUCUUCACACUCUGUGUCUCCAUCUAUUCCACCUCCUUCUCCACCUUCUCCGAGUGUGGACCUGCUUGCACCUUGUGUGAAUACAAAUUUACAUACUUCUUCUCGCACUCACAAUAUUCAUCCUAUGGUGACUAGAUCUAAGGUUUGUAUCUAUAAACCUAAGUUGUUGUUGAGUGUCUCCAUAGGUUCUCUCACUAAGCCUACUUCCUUUCUUCAAGCUAUUAAAGAUCCUUCAUGGAAGCAAUCCAUGGAAUUCGAGUUUGCUACCCUUCAACACAACAAGACCUGGCAUUUGGUUCCUUCACCUUCCUCAGGCGAAGUAAUCGGUUGUAAAUGGGUCUAUAAGCUAAAGCUUCAGCCUGAUGGCUAAAUUGAGAGAUACAGCCUGCUUAGUAGCUAAGGGUAUCAUCAAAUUGAAGUAUGGACUACUUCGAAACAUUCAGCCUGAUNNNNNNNNNNNNNNNNNNNNNNNNNNNNNNNNNNNNNNNNNNNNNNNNNNNNNNNNNNNNNNNNNNNNNNNNNNNNNNNNNNNNNNNNNNNNNNNNNNNNAGCUUCAGCCUGAUGGCUAAAUUGAGAGAUACAAGGCCUGCUUAGUAGCUAAGGGUUAUCAUCAAAUUGAAGGUAUUGACUACUUCGAAACAUUCAGCCUGAUUGUCAAGCUUUCUACUAUCUGUAUUGUGCUCAGUCUUACUUUUUCCCAGAAUUGGUGUAUUAGACAGCUGGAUGUUCAUAAUGCCUUCUUACAUGGUGACUUAGCUAAAGACGUUUUCAUGGAACAACUGCCUGGAUUUGUUGAUCCUCUCUAUCCUACUCAUGUCUGCAAGUUGGAUAAGUCUCUCUACUGUCUUAAAUAGUCACCUCGGGCUUGGUAUACUAAGCUGAGUACUUCUCGCUACACUUGGGAUUUGUUACUUCUAAGAAUGACUCUUCCUUAUUUAUUUGUCAUUCGUCUCAUGGGUUACUUCUUGUUCUUGUCUAUGUGGAUGAUAUAAUCGUCAUUGGGAGCCACUCUCCUCAGGUUACUCACCUUAUCCAACAGUUGCAUCAUUAGCUUUCUUUAAAGGAUCUUGGUCCUUUACAUUAUUUUCUGGGCUUGGAGGUUCAUCACACCCCUACUGGUAUUCACCUCAGCCAAGCAAAGUAUAUCACUGAUCUCCUUACCCGGGCGGCUAUGUUGGAUGCCAAGCCAUGUCCCACUCCUAUGUCCUCCAACACAUAUCUCUCUUUUCAUGAUGGAGUGGCUCUUGAAAAUGGUUCAGAUUAUCGAAGUUUUGUUGGUGCCCUUUAGUAUUGUACCAUGACACGCCCAGAUAUAGCUUUUGCAAUAAAUAAAGUGUGUCAAUUCAUGCACCAUCCCUCUAAUGUUCACUGGCAGGCUAUAAAACGUAUUCUCCGGUACUUAAAGGGCACAUCUCAUUUUGGUCUCUUCCUACAGCCUUCCUAUGACUUCAACAUCACUUGCUAUACAAAUGCCGACUGGGCUUCCUGUCCUGAUGACAAGUGUAGCACCAGUGGCUACUGCCUCUUUCUUGCCUCUAAUCUGGUUUCUUGGUCAUCUUCCAAACAAAAAGUGGUCUCCCGCUCCAGCGCCGAAUCAGAGUACCGAGGGGUAGCAAAUGGGGCUGCUGAAAUUGCUUGGACUGAAUCUCUUCUUUGUGAACUUUCCAUUACUCCCCCUCCCCUCAUUCUCUGUGACAAUAUCAGUGCCACGUACUUAGCUGCCAAUCCUAUUUUGCAUGCCCGCACCAAACAUGUGGAAAUCGACUAUCACUUUGUCACGGAACGUGUUCUUCAAUGCUCUCUUUUUGUCCAGUUUACACCUUCUGAUGAUCAACUUGCUGAUUGCAUGACCAAGCCUCUCUCCACCCAACGUUUCAUCACUCUACGCUCCAAGCUCACUGUUCUCACUAGACCAAUGAGCUUGAGGGGGGAUGUUAAGCCUAAAGAUGUAAUUAGUUAGGAUAUUCUUUUCCCUCUAGUCUUGUAGCUCCACGUGUACAGUUGGUUAGGACCUCAUUGUAUAUAAUGCCUGCCCUGUUAUUGUAGAAGACAACAGAGAUAAAUAAUAUUAACAUUUUUCCUCUCAUCUCUCUCUCUGUUUCCCUCUGUUUUCAUCUCCUCUCUCAUCUGAACCAAAUGAUCCAUGUUAACCUUGGCUUGGUUUGAUUUGGCUCUAUCUUAGAGAGCUCAAGGAUCACGUCAACUCUGGUUUCUACUAUUCAGGUCCAUUCCCAUAUGAACUGGUUCAAAUUUGAGAAAAUGGUAACAGACCUUUAGUGAUGUUGGUUUGGAGCCAGUUGCCAAACCCGCCCUGAGCUUUACCACUAAUGUCAAGGGAGAAAGCCAUUUGAACAAAAACAAUAGCUUCAAGGGACUGAAUCGUGGAUGAAAUCUGAUCCACAUUUCUUCUCAUUUUGGAAACAAAUGAGAACUUAACUAAGAAGAUUCUACGGCCUCAUAGUGCUUUUCCUGAUCUAAGGUUGGUUCGUUUCCCAAACUGUGAGAUGCACGUGCCAGACUUCAGAACUCUCACGCUCAGGAGUGUAUCCACGUGGUGGACAUAAGAUGGUGGCUUAAGAUCUGGUGUCGGUGGCUUUACUUUACUAGGAGAGUAGUGUGUCUUCAUCUCAUUCACUGCCGGAGGGUGGCGUAAGCAGUGACGCUAAGGUGGGGCACAGUCAAUAUCAUUUGCAUUUGACCAUUAUAGUUUUCUCCCGGCUUUAAAGUAACCUUAUCGUGAUAAAGGAUUACUAGCACUAGUUCAGAUGAUAGUCAUGUUAAAUUCGGACCAUGUUUGUGUCACAUUAUCAGCAACCAUGUGUUUAUGGUUCAUGCUUUCUGCAACUAAAAUUGAUAUAUAACCAGGUGAACUUCAAUCUAAAUUCUGAAAGUACUCAUGUGAUAGAUGGUGCCCGUCUGCAGAGUCCAUCAAUUGAAAAAUGGAGUGAGUGUAUCUAUAAGAGGGAAGGCUUGGAAAAUGUUCAGUUUUCUGGGAAUUCAACAAGGAUCUAAAAUAGAUUGUUUUCUUUGCUGAUUUCAAUGGUUGAAAUUUGAGAAGAUUGUGUCCACAUAACACAACUAUUACUGGUCCUUCUGUUGCAAUUUAUCCUCUAAAGCUCUAGCAUGUCUUCCAAUUCCCACUUCCCUGUUACUCCAGGAAAGCUAUUUCUGUCAUUGUGAAGAAGAAAAGAGAAUGUACAUAUCGAUGCUUUUAAGUGACUGGAGCAUUUAUAUCAGGUGGUCUGCAGCCAUAUAUGCCACUUUGUGAAGAUUGGAACAGUCAAUCACUAGGCUAUAUAUUAGUGUGGCCCAGCCACUUUAAUCAAGGACAAGUCUUCAUACUUAAAGUCAAAUUCUGCCUUUAGUCUCAUUAUAAAUUUCUGUUUAAAUAUUAAGCAAACAUUUGUUUAAUGCGAUUAAGACAGUACUAACUCAAUACCUGUUCUAUUUUUGGAUGCAAAUGCUUGAUGGUUUCAUCAUUGGAUGGGAUAAAGGUGCAUUCAUGAUUAGGAAUACUAGUAGUUAUAUUUUAAUUCUCUUUUUUCUCAAUGAGACUUGUUGGCACAAUUUUGCUGUUGAGAAACCUACCUCUCCAUGGAAAAUAAGUUGUGAUUGAUAGUACUGGAUAUAUUCAAGAAAUCUAAAUAUAGAUAGCACAAAAUAUUAUCGACAUAAAUAGCAUUAACAGCGUACGUAUGUCUCAGUGCUCAUCAGCUAUAAGCAUGGGGCAAACACUUACUAUGAGCAACUUACGUCAAAAUUCCAGAAUAGGACAUAGAAGUGACAGAUAUAGAACAUUGCAUAUGAGUCACAAGAAAGGAAAUUACGGGUGCAUAGCAGCUCUUAUUUUACAUACUACUACUCAUACUGAUCAAAGUCACUCAGUUGGGAUGGGUGGGAGUAGGAGGUUUGUGGGGUGGCUUGUGCGGAGGAGUUGGCAGCUUCUUUCCAGGACCUGGUUGCUUCUCUGCUGGAGUUGAAGGAGGCUUAAUCUUCCGAGGUGGCUUGUAUGAGUCUUCAGCAUUCUCAGCUGGAGGGUGACCAGGGUUGUGACCAUAAUGUGGUGGCUUCUCUCCCUUAGGUGGUUUGCCAACUGGGGUUGGUGGCUUGUAUGAGUCUUCAGCAUUCUCAGCAGGAGGGUGACCAGGGUUGUGACCAUAAUGUGGUGGCUUCUCUCCCUUAGGUGGUUUGCCAACUGGGGUUGGUGGCUUGUGUUCUGGGAGUGGCUUCUCCCCCUUGGGAGGUUUUUCCAAUGGGGUUGGUUUGUGUUCAGGAGGUGGCUUCUCCACUGGAGGCUUGUGUUCAGGAGGUGGCUUCUCCACCGGAGGCUUGUGUUCAGGUGGUGGCUUCUCCACCGGAGGCUUAUGCUCUGGUGGUGGCUUCUCGAAUGGGGGAUGCUUAGGAUAAUCAGCAAGUGAGGGGGCGGUGAGAACCACCAGGCCAAGCAACACCACUAGCAAAUAUGUAGGAGACAUCUUUGGGUUUGGGCUCAGAUGGUGCAAAACUAGGAGAAUUGGCUAGCCUUUUAUAGCGGAUCGUACCCAAUAAUGAAAUGACACGUGUCAUUAUGACCCAUGUGUAAUGGGGUCGAUUUGGGUCCUACAGUGUUGAAAACUUCGACAUCCACUUUUGGCCUUUUGCUUUCUCUACAGCCGCCUUGCUUUUUCCCUCUUUCCUUUUGUUUUCCUCCUGCCCCAUUCUAUCAACUAAACACAAUUAUGUAGUUGUUUAAUUCUUAAAUGAGAUAUUAUCCGUCAAUCGUAUUAUAUUUUAUCAAGAGAGAACGGAGUGCAAUGUGGCUGUAAUUUUAUCGUUUAGUUUUAUCUCUUGGACCACUGCAUUUUUGUUAAGAGGUGCAAUAAUACACGUCUUUAUCUGCCAUUCAAUAUUUACAGUAAAGAGAGGGCACAAAACUCUUCACUUCGCACCAUAAUUAUUUUGUUUUCUGGACACCCCGGGGCCCUUUGGUUGGUUUGGGGGUCAGAAAGUGAACAUCAUAGGGGGUUUUUCCCUUAUGUGCAUUUGUAUCUGAUGGCUUUAACUCGCCUUGUUACUACAAAGAAACUGUCACAGAUAGGAACUUAUUCCAGGCUGAGUAUCUCCUCAUAGACCCUAUAAAAGAAGACAAGUCAUAAUGAACAUCUAACCUUUGUUCAAUUUGAUUCAAUGCCCCCAUUGUGUCCAUCUCACAAAUCUGAAUUAUUAUAUCCAUUGAAUACAUAAAUUAAUGAAGAAAAUAUGAAACCCAAGAUACAUCUCUGCACAACCUCAACCCUGGUUGCUAUGUUUCCCUUCUAUUCACAUGAUUUGAUGCUAAUUGCCAAACUUGCAACAAGCCCUGAGUUUGACACCUAGUAUCGAUGGGCGAAUUUAAAGUCUCCUCCAAACAUAUAUUCCACAGCUUGAAGCUCACAGAAGAUGUUACAGGCAGGGAAAAACCUUCAGAGUUCGCUACCAAAGAUAAUUAUUAAGGAGAUAUCACAAAGAGAAUUCCAAGGGGUCUGAAUCAAAGACAAAUUGGUCGUUCGUGGGGGUUCUUACUUUCUUUUGGGUAUAACUCACUGAGGGCACUGUCUUUGUUAUUUGCAUUUCACAUUUAGAGUUCUGUUCUGGAAACAUAUAAAAGGAGCAUCAUUUUGUUCUUGGGUAACCCAUAGUCGUGAGUGGGUCCAUUUGCAUGCUACUUAGUUGAAAAGUUGGACCAUUUGCUCCGACGCCUACCUCCCGGAUUCCAUGCUCGGAUAAAACAAGAAUAAAAAAAAUAUUUAUAAUUUACAAAUGGGGGAAAGAAAAAAAUGUCAACAACAAACCAGGAAAAAAGAGUAGUAAAAUUCAUGUCACAUGCUAGUGAGAGAAGGGGUUGUUACACUCACUCGAAGUUCUUUCCAAAAUAUCGCAUGGUAUUUUAUUUUAUGUGUCAGCGCAGUUGUGAAUGGAACGUGCAAAAGUCCAAAUUGGCGUUUUUCCUUUUCCCGUGUAGGAUGGCGACCUUUAAUAAAUAUUUAAAACAAAAAACGAAAAAAAGGAGGGAAAAGGGAUCAGAAAAGAUAAAACAAUGUGUACAAGAGCUCAAUUAGUUUGCAAAUUACUGUUUGGAUUUUGAUAGUAUUUUAUUUGUCCAUCUAUAUUUGAUGGAAAAGAGAAUUUAAGAUAUUUCUGAAACAAAAGCAUUAGUGUAAAACUAAAUUAAGGUAUAAUUAAGUUAGUUCAAUGCAUUAAUUUAAGAAACUUGAUCUAUCCAAAGUACAAAAUUAGAUGAAAUCCAUUUCAAUGGUUAAAAUGAUCAAAAUCAAACUUUUUCUAAGUAUUUUUUAAAAGCAUCAAUAUUAAAAGACAAUUUUAUAUUUAGUCGGAGUUUGGACAAAACCAAAAAGCACACAAAAUCCAAGCGACCAUCUCUAGCUUGGAUAGUCACUUGAUCCCACCUAGAGAUGUGCAUGAGUAAAAGGAUUUGAAAAUGGAAAUUGACUAAAUAUUUAGUUGAUCAAUUAAAUUUGCAAUGUCAUAUGCAAUCCUAAUAGCUAGUCAUCUAAUCAAUUAGGUAGUCAAUCAAGUGUUUGUAAUGACUAUUUUGUACAAAAAACCACAUGUAUAGUUAAAUAUAAUGCAUUUCAUUUAUAAAUCUUCUAAUUCUUGAAUAACGAUCCUAUCAUCCUUUGAAAAUUUUUAUUACACCUUUUUUACUUUUGUUCUAAAACUUACAUAUCACCCUUAAUUGUACCAUGAGAACCUAGCUAUUUUUUUUUUUUUUGUAAUUCAUCAAAGUUAGCUUUUGUAUUCAUUGUUGUAUUAUUUUUAGUAUAACUUAGAAAGCUAGUGUUUUCAAGUGAGUAAAAUUAACUUGUAAAUAUUGUAAAGAUUCAUUGAUAUGUAUCUUAAACUAAGUGUACAAAUUAAAACAUUUGCUAGUAGAUUUUCUCAAAAUUUAGAAUAGAGCUUGAGGCUAUUGAAAUAGGUGGGGUUACACCAAACCACAUCACAUCGUUGUUUGCACCUUUUUUCACUCUCUUUUACUUAGUUUCUCUAUAUUUGUUGUCUAGUAAUAUCCUAUAGGCUUGAUGGGUUAGGGAGCAUCCCUUUGUGAAAAAAUUUCAUUCAAUUCUUAGUUGUAUUACGCAUAUAUAAAAUGCCUCAUUGUUUUAAUGGUAUUCAGUCGUGGCAUCACAGAUAUGGGCAUCUAAAUUUUAAAAGUUUGAAACUUUUGUAAAGCAUGUUGAUAAAAUCCAUGAGAGUUGUGUACUUGGGAAGCAACAUCGAGGUGACUUUAUUUUUUUUUCCUUUUAUAAUGCCACACCUAAGUCCGGUUUCUAAAUGCUAAAGUGAAAGGGUAGGUAUGGACCAUUGAAAUGUGAUCACAACUUUUGGCCUUUUCCUUUCUCUGCAGCCAUGUUGUCUCUUUUUUCUUUUGCAUGAUUUUCUUACCAAAACAGAAUCAUAGACUUGUUUAGUCUCUAAGCUACUAUAUUAUAUCUCGGUGGACUUUUAAGAGUGCAACCGACAUAGAGCACAUGCAAGUGGGCAUAUGGGACAUGAAAUUUCUUCUUACAAAGAUUGCAUGAUUUUUAUAUUAGAGUUGUUCACGUGCAAUGUAUUUAGCUUGUUUUGCAGUUAAAUUAAUUGGAUAAGUAAACAUUGGCAUUUCUAAAUCGACUGUGAAGUGCUUCAUGUACGUGUAAAGUAUUAGAAAUUUCUUUCUUGGCAACUUGUUUUUUCCUUGCCAUCUACUGGUAGGUUUGACUAAAAUUAUAUUCCCUGUCAUGCUAAUUAAUUUUCAUGUGCAUGCUCAAAAGAAGAGUAUGACCUUAGUGCACCAAAAUCACUUUGAUUAAUUUGUGAUAGGUUUUUUUGCAUCAUUUAGAUAAUGUUUAGUUCUAAGAAAAAUUUAUAUAAAAAUGGUUUAUUUAUCUUACAUAUAUAUAUAUAUAUAUAUAUUUUUUUUUUUUUCAUUUUUUUUUCUUCUAUUUUAUUUAUUUAUUUUAUUUUCCUUAUGUUUUCCUCACAUUUUCCGGAACUAAACAUAGUCUUACGAAAUCAACAAUUGCCUUCAACUGAGUAGAUUCUGUUGUUUUAGCAAUGUUAGGCUGCUAACUUGUGGUGGUACGAACCAAAUGACCCAUGUUAAUCUUGGCUUGGUUUGAUUUGGCUCUAUCUCAGAGAGCUAAAGGAUCACGUCAACUCUGGUUUCUACUAUUCAGGUCCAUUCCCAGAUGAACUGGUUCAAAUUUGAGAAAAUGGUAACAGACCUUUAGUGAUGUUGGUUUGGAGCCAGUUGCCAAACCCGCCCUGAGCUUUACCACUAAUGUCAAGGGAGAAAGCCAUUUGAACAAAAACAAUAGCUUCAAGAGACUGAAUCGUGGAUGAAAUCUGAUCCACAUUUCUUCUCAUUUUGGGAAAAAAUGAGAACUUAACUACAAAGAUUCUACUGCCUCAUUCAUAGUGCUUUUCCUGAUCCAAGGUUGGUUCGUUUCCCAAAUUGUGAGGUGCACGUGCCACUCUCACGCUCAGGAGUGUAUCCACGUGGUGGACAUCAGAUGGUGGCUUAAUAUCUGGUGUCGGUGGCUUUACUUUACUAGGAGAGUAGUGUGUCUUCAUCUCAUUCACUGCCGGAGGGUGGCGUAAGCAGUGACGCUAAGGUGGGGCACAGUCAAUAUCAUUUGCAUUUGACCAUUAUAGUUUUCUCCCGGCUUGAAAGUAACCUUAUCGUGAUAAAGGAUUACUAGCACUAGUUCAGAUGACCGUCAUGUUAAUUCGGACCAUGUUUGUGUCACAUUAUCAGCAACCAUGUGUUUAUGGUUCAUGCUAUCUGCAACUAAACUUGAUAUAUAACCAGGUGAACUUCAAUCAAAAUUCUGGAAGUACUCUUGUGAUAGAUGGUGCCUGUCUGCAGAGUCCAUCAAUUGAAAAAUGGAGUGAGUGUAUCUAUAAGAGGGAAGGCUUGGCAAAUGUUCAGUUUUCUGGGAAUUCAACAAGGAUCUAAAAUAGAUUGUUUUCUUUGCCGACUUCAAUGGUUGAAAUUUGAGAAGAUUGUGUCCACAUAUCACAACUAUUACUGGUCCUUCUGUUGCAAUUUAUCCUGUAAGGCUCUAACAUGUCUUCCAAUUCCCACUUCCCUGUUACUCCAGGAAAGCUAUUUCUGUCAUUGUGAAGAAGAAAAGAGAAUGUACAUAUCGAUGCUUUUAAGUGACUGGAGCAUUCAUAUCAGGUGGUCUGCAGCCAUAUAUGCCACUUUGUGAAGGUUGGAACAGUCAAUCACUAGGCUAUAUAUUGGUGUGGCCCAGCCACUUCAAUCAAGGACAAGUCUUCAUACUUAAAGUCAAAUUCUGCCUUUAGUCUCAUUAUAAAUUGCUGUUUAAAUAUUAAGCAAACUUUUGUUUAAUGCGAUUAAGACAGUACUAACUCAAUACUUGUUCUAUUUUUGGAUGCAAAUGCUUGAUGGUUUCAUCAUUGGAUGGGAUAAAGGUGCAUUCAUGAUUAUGAAUACUUGUAGUUAUAUUUUCAUUCUCUUUUUUCUCAAUGAGACUUGUUGGCACAAUGUUGCUGUUCAGAAACCUACCUCUCCAUGGAAAAUAAGUUGCGAUUGAUAGUACUGGAUAUGUUCAAGAAAGCUAAAUAUAGAUAGCACAAAAUAUUAUCGAUAUAAAUAGCAUUAACAGCGUACGUAUGUCUCAAUGCUCAUCAGCUAUAAGCAUGGGACAAACACUUACUAUGAGCAACUUACGUCAAAAUUCCAGAAUAGGACAUAGAAGUGACAGAUCUAUAUAUAUAGAACACUGCAUAUGAGUCACAAGAAAGGAAAUUACGGGUGCAUAGCAGCUCUUAUUUUACAUACUACUACUCAUACUGAUCAAAGUCACUCAGUUGGGAUGGGUGGGAGUAGGAGGUUUGUGGGGUGGCUUGUGCGGAGGAGUUGGCAGCUUCUUUCCAGGACCUGGUUGCUUCUCUGCUGGAGUUGAAGGAGGCUUAAUCUUCCGAGGUGGCUUGUAUGAGUCUUCAGCAUUCUCAGCUGGAGGGUGACCAGGGUUGUGACCAUAAUGUGGUGGCUUCUCUCCCUUAGGUGGUUUGCCAACUGGGGUUGGUGGCUUGUAUGAGUCUUCAGCAUUCUCAGCAGGAGGGUGACCAGGGUUGUGACCAUAAUGUGGUGGCUUCUCUCCCUUAGGUGGUUUGCCAACUGGGGUUGGUGGCUUGUGUUCUGGGAGUGGCUUCUCCCCCUUGGGAGGUUUUUCCAAUGGGGUUGGUUUGUGUUCAGGAGGUGGCUUCUCCACUGGAGGCUUGUGUUCAGGAGGUGGCUUCUCCACCGGUGGCUUGUGUUCAGGAGGUGGCUUCUCCACCGGAGGCUUAUGCUCUGGUGGUGGCUUCUCCACCGGAGGCUUAUGCUCUGGUGGUGGCUUCUUGAAUGGGGGAUGCUGAGGGUAAUCAGCAAGUGAGGGGGCGGUGAGAACCACCAGGCCAAGCAACACCACUAGCAAAUAUGUAGGAGACAUCUUUGGGUUUGGGCUCAGAUGGUGCAAAACUAGGAGAAUUGGCUAGCCUUUUAUAGCGGAUCGUACUCAAUAAUGAAAUGACACGUGUCAUUAUGACCCAUGUGUAAUGGGGUCGAUUUGGGUCCUACAGUGUUGAAAACUUCGACAUCCAGUUUUGGCCUUUUGCUUUCUCUACAGCCGCCUUGCUUUUUCCCUCUUUCCUUUUGUUUUCCUCCUGCCCCAUUCUAUCAACUAAACACAAUUAUGUAGUUGUUUAAUUCUUAAAUGAGAUAUUAUCGGUCAAUCGUAUUAUAUUUUAUCAAGAGAGAACGGAGUGCAAUGCAGCUGUAAUUUUAUCGUUUACUUUUAUCUCUUGGACCACUGCAUUUUUGUUAAGAGGUGCAAUAAUACACGUCUUUAUCUGCCAUUCAAUGUUUACAGUAAAGAGAGGGCACAAAACUCUUCACUGCUCUGCAUGUGUCCCAAAAAUGCGAUUGGACAAAUUAUGAUUUGCAUGCUAAAAAGAGGCAAAUGAGGUUAAUUCGCACCAUAAUUAUUUGGUUUUCUGGACACCAUAAAAAGAUGUUAUACAGGCAGGGAAAAACCUUCAGAGUUAGCUACCAAAGAUAAUUAUCAAGCAGAUAUCACCAAGAGAAUUCCAUAGAGUCUGAAUCAAAGACAGAUUGCUCGCUCGUGGGGGUUCUUACUUUCUUUUGGGUAUAACUCACUGAGGUCACUGUCUUUUUUAUUUGCAUUUCACAGUUAGAGUUCUGCUCUGGAAGGUUUGUUCUGGAAACAUAUAAAAGGAGCAUCAUUUUGUUCUUGGGUAACCCAUAGUCGUGAGUGGGUCCAUUUGCAUGCUACUUAGUUGAAAAGUUGGACAAUUUGCUCCGACGCCUACCUCCUGGAUUCCAUGCUCGGUAAAACAAGAAUAAAAAAAAAUAUAUAAUUUACAAAUGGGGGAAAGAAAAAAUGUCGGAAAAAAUAGUAAAAUUCAUGUCACAUGCUAGUGAGAGAAGGGGUUGUUACACUCACUCGAAGUUCUUUUCAAAAUAUCGAAUGGUAUUUUACUUUAUGUGUCAGCGCAGUUGUGAAUGGAACGUGCAAAAGUCCAAAUUGGCGUUUUUAUUUUUCCCAUGUAGGAUGGUGACCUUUAAUAAAUAUUUAAAACAAAAGACGAAAAAAAAAAGGAGGGAAAAGGGAUCACAAAAGAUAAAAUAAUGUUUACAAAAGCUCAAUUAGUUUGCAAAUUACUGUUUGGAUUUUGAUAGUAUUUUAUUUGUCGUUCUAUAUUUGAUGUAAAAGAGAAUUUAAGAUAUUUCCGAAGCAAAAGCAUUAGUUUGCUCUGUGAUGUCCCACAUCGAAUAGGGGAGAAAGUUUCUGGCGCUAUAUAUGUAGAGGCUCCUCUUAACCAAGUAGAUGCGUUUUAAAACCAUGAGGGCCCCCUUAGGUCCAAAGCGGACAAUAUCUACAUGAUUGGGUGUAAGUCAUUACAAAUGGUAUCAGAGCCGAUCCCCGACCCCGGUGUGGGGGUUUGUUUGGCCCUGUAAGGGGUGUUUGUCUGUUUGACCCCACAAUCCCAUGGGACACAACGAGGACGUUGUGUCUGCAUGGGGGGGCGUUUGUGAUGUCCCACAUCGGAUAGGGGAGAAAGUUCCUAGUGCUAUAUAUGUAGAUGUUUCUCUUAACCAAGUAGAUGCAUUUUAAAAUUGUGAGGGCCUCUUUGGGCCCAAAGCGGACAAUAUCUACAUGGUUGAGUGUAAGUCAUUACAUGCUCCAUGUCAAUUUCAGCAUUUCUCAUAUGUUUCACACAUACACAGAAGAGCAUCGUUUUUUAAAGCAUGCAUUUAUGUUGGAUUAAUUUGGAUUUUGUGGGAACUGGGGCAAGGAUCACAUGGAAGAGAGGUUGACUUUUUUCAGUACUUCAAUGGUUGAAAUAUGUGAAGGCUUGAUUGAUACUAAAGCUUGAAAUUGCGACUCUGUCAUUUGUAAAAAAAUAUGACAGCUUCCAUGCUCUCGUUUGGUUGCAUUGUCCGGUCGAGAGGUGCAAAAAGCAUUCUCUCUCUUCUAAUAGUCUUUUCGUUUAAAUCAAGGGAUUUGCCUUCCCGGUCGAGGUCCAAUAGAGGGUAACGGUCACCUACUAAACAUUAAAUGCUCCAACAACUAGUGAACUGAUCGACCCCAGCUCGACUAGUUGAGGUUACUUUUUGGUUUUCUUGUCUCCCGAGGUUAGAAACCUAUAAAUAGAGAGCUUCACUUCAUUUAUGAGUAAGAGAACACCUAAAUUUAUUUGUUUACCUACUUGUUUUUGCCAUAAAAGCUCUCAUUUCUUUUCUUGGUGUAUUAAAUCUCCAUUUGCAUAUCCUUUAGUGCACCUUUGUGAUUCAUUCUAGCCUUGAGUUGUAUUUAAGCCUUUGUUGAGCUAGGUUGAGAGUUUCAUACUUGUUUAUUGAGUGUUAAAGCCUUCAAGUGAGUUAAAACUUGAAGAGAUUGUGUAAGAGCCCAUUGGAGUCGGAAUCCAAGUGUAAAGGUGAUUAAAAGCUUGGUUGAAGCUUCAAGUUAGUGGAACUCUCACUCGGUUAUGAGCUUGAGAAGAGUGGACAUAGACAAGGCAGUGUCGAACCACUAUAAAAUCUGAGUUUGAUUUCUCUAACCUUAUCUCUUUAUAUUUGCUUCUCUUGUGCUUAAAUUUUUUGUGUUUAAAAAGAAUUUUUAAAAACUCAAUUCACCCCCUUCUUGGGAGUUUUUCUCUUUUAAGAUCAGCUUUUAUUUUCUCAAUUGGUAUCAGAACUAUGCCUCUUGUUUAAGACUUAAUCGUCUAAGAGGAAAUGGCUAAUCCAUCAAGUUCAUCUCACAUUGAAAGUUUUGCAACCAAUAGACUUCUUUUUUUUUUUUUGCGGGAACUGAUUAUCCCUAUUGGAAAACUAAAAUGACUUGGUUUUUACAAUCAAUUGAUUUAGAUGUAUGAGAUGCCAUUGAAGAUGACCUAACUUUUCCUUCAAAACUAGUUGAUGGAGUCAUGGUUCCAAAACCUAAGCAAGAAUGGGAUGAGCGUGAUUGAAGAAAUUUUCAAUUAAAUGCUAAAGUCGUUUAUACUUUGCAAUGCUCUAUGGACAGAAAUGAAUAUAAUAGAAUAUGUCAAUGCAAAUCGGUUAAAGAAAUUUGGAGAUUGCUUGAAAUAACUCAUAAAGGAACAAAUCAAGUUAAAGAGUCAAAAAUCAAUUUACUUGUUCAUAGAUAUGAAUUGUUUUUUAUGAAAGAUAAUGAAACUAUUGUUAAGAUGAUCACUAGGUUCACCAACAUUGUUAAUGGUCUUAAAGCCUUGGGAAAGACCUACAAGGAAUCCGAAAACGUGAUGAAGAUCUUGAGGUCACUUCCAUCAAAGUGGCAUACCAAGGUCACCGCAAUUUAAGAAGCAAAAGACUUGAUCAAGCUACCUUUGGAGGAGUUCAUAGGGUCAUUGAUGACAUAUGAAAUCAAUUUGGCAAAGAAGUAACAAAAAGGUGAAGACAAAAAGAAGAAGAACAUAACUCUCAAAGCUACAACUAAGGAAGAAGAAGUUGAAGAAGAAAAACAAAUUGAAGAAGAUGAAGAUUUAGCCCUCAUCACAAGAAAGUUCAACAAAUUCAUGAGGGGUGAAAGGUUUAGAAGAAGAAGGUUCACUUCUAGAAGAGACUUUUCUAAAAAGGAAUCUUCAUCUAAUGGUGACAAAAAGAGAUGGGAAGAGAAAAGAGACUUGGUGUGUUUCAAGUGCAAGAAACCGGGACACAUUAAAUAUGAUUGUCCUCUCUACAAAAGUGAAGUCAAGAGGAAAAAGAAUAAGGCAAUGAUGGCCACUUAGAGUGAAAGUGAAGAUGAAUCAUCCGAAGAAGAAAAUGAGAAAGAAGUGGCAAACAUGUGUUUCAUGGCAAUAGAUGAACUUGAUGAGGUAAAAUCUAACCUUAGUGAUUAAGAUAUACAUGAUGCAUUUGAAGAAUUGUAUGAGGAUUUUUAAAAACUUAGUUUGAAAAAUAUUUCUCUUAAAAAGAAAGUUCAACAACUUGACAAAGAACUUAGAGAAGUAAAAGAAAAAUUUUCAAAUGUUAAAGUUUCUAAAACUCAUCUUGAAAAAGAAAAUGAGAUUCUAAGAAAGAAAAAUGAAUAGUUGAACUCCUCUCUUUCAAUCUUUUCUUCUAGACAAAAAUCUUUUGAAAUGAUUCUAACUAGCUAAAAAUGUGUUUUUGACAAACAAGGGUUAAGAUUUAAAUCUUCAAAAAAUCAAAAGUAUUUUAAAAACUAUUUUGUAAAGGAAUCCACAAGUGCAAGUCCUUCCACUACUUGCAACUUUUGUGGAAGAGAAUGGCACAUUAGUAGUACGCCCUUUAAGAAAUGGUUCUCAAAAGAAUUUAAAUGCAAAAACUAAAAAAGAUUUGGAUUGAGAAAUCCAAGGUCACUAACCCUCAAGGACCCAAAAAGAUAUAGGUACCUAAAUCAACUUGAGUUUUAUGUUGUAAGGUUCAAAGAAUGAUAAGUGGUUCUUAGAUAAUGGUUGCUCAAGACACAUGACCGGAGAUGAAUCCAAGUUUGCUUUUCUUAAAAAGAAAAAUGGAGGAUAUGUUACCUUUGGAGACAAUGCAAAAGAAAGGAUGAUUGGUCAAGGCAACAUUGGUAAUGGCACAUCCUCUCUCAUUGAAAGUGUUUUAUUAGUAGAUGGUUUCAAACAUAACCUUUUAAGCAUUAGUCAAUUUUGCGACAAAGGUUUUUAAGUGAUUUUUUAAGCAUCUCAUUGCAUCAUCAAGGAUAUUCAAAAUGAUAAAACCAUUUUCAUGGGCCAUAGAUGUGAUAAUGUUUAUGCUAUAAAUAUUUCAAAAUAUGAUGGCCAUGAUAGAUGUUUUUCAAGCAUGCAUGAUCAAAGUUGGUUGUGCCAUAGGAGAUUGAGACAUGCUAACAUAGACCUCAUUUCCCAACUCAACAAAGAUGAACUUGUUAGAGGCCUUCCCAAAAUAAUUUUUUAAAAAGAUAAAGUUUGUGAAGCUUGUCAAGUGGGAAAGUAAAUCAAAAACUCUUUUAAAAACAAAAACUUCAUUUCCACAUCUAGGCCACUUGAGUUGUUGCAUAUGGAUUUAUUUGGUCCCUCUAGGACACCAAGUCUUAGAGGAAAUUCUUAUGCAUAUGCUAUUGUGGACGACUUCUCUAGAUACACAUGAGUCUUGUUUUUUAGUCAAAAGAAUAAAGUUUUUUAUGAGUUUUCAAAGUUUUGCAAUAAGAUUCAAAAUGAAAAAGGUUUUUCAAUUACUUAUAUAAGAAGUGAUCAUGGGAGAGAAUUCGAAAAUAUUGAUUUUGAAGAGUAUUGCAAUGAGCAUGGAAUUGACCACAAUUUUUUGGCUCUUAGAACUCCUCAACAAAAUGGGGUAGUUGAAAGGAAAAAUAGAACUCUUCAAAAAAUGACAAGAACCAUACUAAAUGAAAACAACUUACCAAAAUAUUUUUAGGCCAAAACGGUUAACACUUCUUGUUAUGUUUUAAAUAGAGUAUUAUUGAGGCUCAUACUUAAGAAAACUCCCUAUGAGCUUUGGAAAAACAAAAAACCCAACAUUAGUUAUUCCAAAGUCUUUGGAUGCAAUAUUUUAUAAUAAACACCAAAGACAAUCUUGGAAAAUUUGAUGCAAAAUUGGAUGUUGGAAUUUUCCUUGGUUACUCAACUUCAAGUAAAGCUUUUCGAGUUUUAACAAAAGAACCAUGGUUGUAGAGGAGUCCAUCCAUGUUAUUUUUUAUGAAUCUCCAAGAAAGAGAGAGGAUUGAUGAUGAUUUAGGUUUGAAGACCUCUAUAGGAAGAUUGCAAAUCGAAGAUAGAAGACAACAAGAAGAAAAUGGAGAGAAUCCAAAGAAAGAAGGAUCACCAUUGGCACUACCCCCUCAUCAACAAGCGCAAGGUGAAUCAAGUCAAGAGCUUCCUAAAGAAUGGAAGUUUGUCAUCAAUCACCCACAAGAUCAAAUUAUAGGCAAUCCAUCUAGUGGGGUAAGAACUAGAUCCUCUCUUAGAAAUAUUUGCAAUAAUCUAGCUUUUAUCUCUCAAAUUGAGCCUAAAAAUAUAAAUGAUGUUUUAGAUGAUGAAAAUUGGAUAAUUGCAAUGCAAGAAGAGUUAAAUCCAUUUGAAAGAAGUGGAGUAUGGGAAUUAGUACCAAGACCUUCAAAUCAAAGUGUUAUUGGAACUAGAUGGAUCUUUAGAAAUAAAAUGGAUGAAAAUAGCAUAAUUGUUAGAAAUAAAGCAAGAUUGGUAGCCCAAGGUUUUAAUCAAGAAGAAAUGAUAGAUUAUGAAGAAACCUUUGCCCCCGUAGCUAGGUUGGAAGCCAUUAGGAUGCUACUUGCCUUUGCAUGUUUUAAAGACUUUGUUUUAUAUCAAAUGGAUGUGAAAAGUGCUUUUUUAAAUGGUUUUAUAAAUGAAGAAGUAUAUGUUGAACAACCACCCGGUUUUCAAAGUUUCAACUUUCCUAACCAUGUUUUUAAACUUAAAAAGACACUUUAUGGUUUGAAACAAGCACCUAGAUCAUGGUAUGAAAAAUUGAGUAAAUUUCUUUUGAAAAAAAUGUUUUAAAAUGGGAAAAAUUGACACAACUCUUUUUAUAAAAACCAAAGAAAAUGAUAUGCUCUUAGUUCAAAUAUAUAUUGAUGAUAUCAUUUUUGGUGCUACUAAUGUCUCUCUUUAUGAAGAAUUUUCUAAGUGCAUGCAUAGUGAGUUUGAAAUGAGCAUGAUAGGAGAACUCAACUUCUUCCUUGGACUUCAAAUCAAGCAACUAAAGGAAUGAACCUUCAUCAAUCAAGCAAAGUAUAUAAGAGAUCUUCUCAAAAGGUUCAACAUGGAAGAAGCCAAAACAAUGAAGACUCUAAUGAGCUCAUCCAUUAAGCUUGAUAAGGAUGAGAAAGGUAAAUCCAUUGACUCUAUUAUGUAUAGAGGCAUGAUAGGUUCUUUGCUCUAUUUGACCACUAGUAGACCUUACAUUAUGUAUAGUGUGUGUUUGUGUACUAGAUUUCAAUCUUGUCUUAAAAAAUCUCACUUAAGUGUCGUGAAAAGAAUCCUCAAAUAUUUGAAAGGGACAAUGGACAUAGGCUUAUGGUAUCCUAAGAGUGAUAACUUUGAAUUAAUUGGUUUUUUGGAUGCUGAUUUUGUCAGUUGUAGGGUUGAAAAAUAAAACACUAGUGGCACUUUUCAUUUCUUAAGACACUUACUUGUCUCAUGGCAUAAUAAGAAGCAAAAUUUGGUAGCUUUGUCAACAGCAGAAGCUAAAUACAUAGCAACUGGUUUAUGUUGUGCACAAAUCCUUUGGAUGAAAUAAACACUUAGUGAUUUUGAUUUAUCUUUUGAGCAUAUUCCUAUUAAAUGUGAUAAUAGUAGUGCCAUAAGUAUAUCAAAAAAUCUCGUGCAACACUCUAGGACUAAGCAUAUAGAGAUUAGACAUAAUUUUCUUAGAUAUCAUACACAAAAGGAUGAUAUAACACUUGAAUUUGUAAGCAUAAAAGACCAACUUGCCGAUAUCUUUACAAAACCUCUAAGAACAUUUUGUUGAUAUUAGAGGACAAUUAGGAGUGAUUUCUUUAUGAUCUAAUGUGAUGAAUUCUUGAUGAAUAUACUUUUUGAUUGCAUGAAUUUCAUGUCAUAUAUGCAUCAUAUAGAAAUAUACUUAGAUAAUGGUCAAAUUUCGACCAAAAAUCAAAAUUCCCAUGGCAUUAGGCAUAAAAAUUUUGGAAUUUCAACUGAAAAUGGUAGGAGGAGGAUCACAAAAUGAGAAAGUAUGCAAAAAUUGAAAAAUCAAAACGUUGACCAAGCGGUCAAUCGGACUAGACCGAUCGACUAGUUUGUCGAGAUUUAGGAUUUUUAAGAGACUCCAACGCUUCAAUUUUUGCACCGUUCUCCUCUAUUUCUUCACGGUUUCUCUGAUUUUGUCUUUUAGAGACUAAUUUGAGUGCGUUUUGGAUCAAUUGAAGCAUUUUGGAUUGGAUUUUAGGAAGAUUGAAAGUUAAGGUUUCGGAUUUGGGUCGCCUUCUCUUCCUCUCGCGUGUCACAAUCAGCUUUAGCAUUGUUCUCUUUCCAUUUUCACACACCUAGGGUUUCAGUUGUGAGCAUCUCUCUCUCUUUACCAACCACUACUCCCUUGCUUCUUCCAUAUGGCUCCUAGGCGAGAGUCCGCUACUUCUAGGGCACAAGGCAAGCACCCAACUGAGUCGUCUCAGUCAAAGGCACGUCGAAAAGUGAGAUUUGACAUUGCCUUGUUCAGUUCCAUGGAGGACUACCAACUAUACAAGCAACACUUUGCUUAGAGACGAGUAGUUCCCAAGAGAAAUAUUAAUUUUCCUCAACUUCAGCAUUUCGAAUUUAAGGGUCUAUUUACUAGGAUGGUUGGUUGUCUAUUGUCACAAUUUCGGAGCCGGUUUUCCUGACCUUAGUGCGAGUUUUUUACUCGAGGGCGACUUAUGGCAUGGGUGGCAUGAUCAUUUCUACUGUUGGAGGAGUUGAGAUCUGUCUGGACCCAGAGAGCAUCUGCCAUAUUUUCGAUAUUGCUCUGGUUGGACUCAAAGUAUACAAGUCCAAAAUGUGGCCCAUUGUGCCAGGAUUUGAGCUUAGAGAGGUCAUUCAGAGGAUUUGUGAACUUCCAGACGCCCAGGAGAUGGGCAAACCAUUGCCACACAGUUUGACGGUCAUCAACAGGGUGCUACACCAUAUAUUGUGCUCUAUCUUUCUACCACGAAGUGGACAUUGAGAUGAGGUCUCUUAUUAUGAGGCAUUCCUUAUUGACUCCAUUCUAACGGAGAGACGAAUUCAUCUACUAUGUCAUCAUUCACUAAGCCUCCUCACAGUGACAUACCACCUCAUCAGGCACCUCUUGCUCCUGACCAUGCUCCAUUGAUGGAUUUAUUUACUCAUAUUAGCUCUCUAGGCACUCGCAUGAAGGAGUUUGUUGUAGUUAGUGAUACAUGGUUCUACUCCAUAGAGGAUCGCAUGGAUCAGUAUCAGACUGGCUUCACGUCACAGUUUGAGUAUCUCCAAUAGAGGAUUGAGCAUAUUGAGGAUCACUUGAGCAUGAGAAGAUGAUGGCUUUUCUAUGCUCUGUGUUUCCACCUCCACCUCGUCAACCUUGAUUUCUUAGAGACCCAUUGUUUUCAUUUUGUAAUGUUGCCAAAAGGGGGAGAUAUUUAGGAUCUAGGACUCUAUAGGAGACUUACAUGCAUAUCAUUUUCAUAUCAUUGUUUGGAUCGUACAUAUUGGAUAGUGAUACUUUUUACUUAUAUAUGAUAUGCCUAUAUGUUUCAUGUCUUACAUUGUUUCUUAUUGCAAAUUAUCUCUAACAUGUCUUGAUUAUCUUUUUUUUAACUUCAUAAAUUUUGAUUGUUAACCCAUGAUUGGUUUGAGGGGAAGAUUCUUCUUCUCCUAGAUAACCAAGGUUUGUCAUCAUAAAAAAAUUGGAGAUUGUUAGCCCAAGGGUUCUCCUAAUCAUGUUUUGAUGAUAACAAACCAUGCUUAAGUUACUAAUUGGUUUGAAUUAUAAAGAAUUUCAAGUGUUAAUUUGAAAAUUCAUCAAAGAACCUAAUGGAUGCAAGAUCAAGAUUUUUGGAAGACCUUUAAUCAUAAGAAACAUAUGUAAGAUGAAUGCAUGGGUGCACUUAAGAUUUGCAUAUCAUUUCAUGCAUAUUUGGAAAACACGGUUUAUGCUUUAAAGUUACAUUUCCAUCAAAAUUUGAGAUCCAUCAAAUGAACCUUAGGAAAAAUGUUUUAAAAUUGGCAUAUAAUUUUACCUAAAGACCUUGCCUAAGUGUUAGAAGCAAAAGGACAAAAAAAAUAUAGGUUUUCUGGUCAAAAAUGGUGAACCAGUCAAGGCAUUGUCUAAAUCAGCUCAAUCGGCCAAGGUACCGGUCGAUCGGUUUCCCUUUCCCUGUCGAGAUCUAGUCAAGAGGUACAAAAAUCACAAUCUCUGUCUCUUUCUCUCUUUGUCUAUCUUCCAGUAGUCUUUCCUUCCCGGUCGAGGGAUUUGCCUUCCCGAUUGAGGUCCGAUUGAGAGUAAUAGUCACUUGCCAAAUAUUAAAUGCUCCAACAGUUAGUGAACUGGUCGACCCCCACCUUGCCCAGUUGAGGUUACUUUUUGGUUUUCUUGGCUCCCGAUGUUAGAAACCUAUAAAUAGAGAGUUCCACUUCAUUUAUGAGCAAGAGAACACUUGCAUUUAUUUGUUUACCUACUUGUUCUUGCCUUAAAAGCUCUCAUUUCUUUUCUUGGUGCAUUAAAUCUCCAUUUUGAUAUCCUUUAGUGCACCUUUGUGAUUCAUCUUAGCCUUGAGUUGUAUUUGAGCCCUUUUUUUAGCUAGGUUGAGAGUUUCAUACUUGUUAAUUGAGUGUUAAAGCCUUCAAGUGAGUUGAAACUUGUAGAGAUUAUGUGAGAGUCGAUUGGAGCCGAAAUCCAAGUGUAAAGGUGAUUAGAAGCUUGGUUGAAGCUUCAAGUUAGUGGAAUCCUCACUCAAUUAGGAGCUUGAGGAGAGUGGACGUAGCCAAGGAAGUGUCGAACCACUAUAAAAUUUGAGUUUGAUUUCUCUAACAUUGUCUCUUUAUAUUUGUUUAUCUUGUGCUUAAAUUUAUUGUGUUUAAAAAGAAUUUUUAAAUACCCAAUUCACCCCCCUCUUGGGUGUUUUUCUCUUUUAAAAUUAGCCUUUAUUUUCUCACAAACUAUUGUAGUAUAGUGGUUUUUAGGUGUCAUCCAUUAGGAUGAAUUGUUCUCGGUAAUUAAGGCGUGAAUGAGAGGAGAAUUAAUGAUUGUGAUUAAGUAAAAUUGAUUUGAAAAUUCAUGGUGAAAAAUCAAUUUAACAAUGGUUUCUAAUUGAGAAAAACAAUGAAAUGUGAAAUAAAAUAAAAUUAAUAGGAAAUGAAAUUCUCGAAGUUAGAAUUUUCUAAAAAACAAAUUCCAUGGUGAAUGGAUGUUGAGAUCUAAUUUUCAUCAAGUUAGAUUGAAAACCGAAAUUUUCAUAUAAACUGAUUUUUUAUUUAGUUUUAGGUCUAGAUUUAAUUUCCCUUAAAAUUAGGUUAUUUAAUCCAAGAAAUCAAUUCAAAUCAUAUAUUCAAUUCAUCUUAAAUUAUCUUCCAAUUAUUCACACAAUGCAACUAUUCAAUCUCAUCAAAUCUAGCUUUUAAGAAUUUAAUGAAUCUACCUAGUUUGCAUUGUAAUAGUCAUCCAUGACAAUUUGAAGAGAAAAAUAAUUCAAUUAAUCAAUCACUUGGAUCAAAUUACCUUUGCAAUUAAAGUUCAUUUCUCUAAUUCACCACAGAUUUUGUCUCUAGAUCCUCCUUUCUCAAAGAAAAAUGAGAUUUAGCCACACAUGAUUGGAGAUUUGGUCUCAUAAGGCAUGUUUAGCUAGUGAUAAAAUGAGAGAAAAUAAAGAAAAAUAGAGAAUUCGAUUAAGAAAGAAAAUCUAAAAAAUUCUACAAUUAGAAAUGUCCAAAAAGCUUUUUCAUGAGAAAAUCAAGUUUCUAUUUAUAGGCCAAGGUCAAGUGGACACUUGACAUCAUCUAAGAGGUCUUCCGGAAGCUUCUUCAUCAAGAAAUCUGGAGUUUAAUAAUAAAAUGGUCAUUUCACAAGAGCUCAAACAAUUUCGCAUGAUUAUGUGAAAUAAAAAAUGCAACAACAGCAAUUUACAUCUUCUUGGAGCAUUUCGCAUGACUGUGUGAAAUUUUCACAUGAUCAUGUGGAAUCGACUUGACAACUCUCAUUUAGCCUACAACAUAAUUCCACCUUUUGGUCCAUUUUUCAUAGUCAUGCGAAAUGGAAAUAUUUGAUUUUUAAGUUUUCUUUUGUCAUUUCUUUCAUUUCCUUCUCUUGAUUCCACUUCAACUACCUCCGAAUCCUGGUCCAAACCAAUUGCAUUACUUCUUUCAUUAUGCAUUUGGAUCAUCAUCAACAUUAUUUGUUCUCUUCAAUUUGAUUCAUCUCUUUUGUCACCAAUUUAUCAAAAUCAUACCUUGAAAUGACUCCAAAACUUCAUAAAACUUGUUAGUAACUCUUGCAAGGGCAACAACAUAUUAAUUAAGUGUUUUAGGCAUAGUUACUACUCAAAAGAUGCGAAACUCAUGAUAAUUAUUAUAUAAAAUAUGCUCUUUUUGAGUAGUAAUCAACUUUCUUGCAUAAGCAGACCUUUUAGGGUGGAGUACUAAAGACCAAUAUGCUUGUCCUUGUUGUAAUAAAGAAACUUGCUCUUAUUGAUUGCACCAUGGGAGAAAAUUUUGCUACAUGAGUUAUCAUCAAUUUCUUCCCACCAAUCAUAGAUUUAGACGUGACAAGAGGCCUCUUAAUGGCAAGGAGGAACUGACACUCACACUUAUACAAUUAUCGGGCAUUGAUGUGUUGCAACAAUUAGAAUAACUUACACCAAUUAUGUUGGGGAAGUCACAAAAGGCAAACAUGAAAACUAAAAGGAAAAAAGAAAAAUGUUACAUAUCACCACAACUGGAAAGAAAAAAGUAUUUACUUUCAUUUGCCAUAUUGGAAAGCACUUAUUUUACAUCAUAAUAAUUUAGACAUAAUGCAUAUUGAGAAAAAUGUGUGACAAUAUAAUUGAGACAUUGUUCAGUAUUGACGAAGAAACAAGGACAACCUAAAUAGUCAUCUCGAUUUACAAGCUCUAACUAUUAGAAAUGAGAUUCACCCAAUAGAAAGCAGGACCAAAUUUAUUUUGCUUGCAACAUGCUACUCACUCACCCCAAAUGAGAUUAAGGAAUUUUGCAAGUUUUUGAAAUCAAUAAAGGUCCCCAAUGGCUAUUCUUUCAAUAUCUCUCGUUAUGUGCAACUCAAUGAAAGGAAGAUAUAUGAGCUCAAAUUGUAUGAUUGUCAUGUCCUAAUGCAACAACUUCUCUCACUUGUAGUUCGUGGAGUUCUACAUAAGAAUGUUUGUGGAGUUAUCAUAGAAUUGCGUAAUUUUUUCAAGCAAUUGUGCUCAAAGGUGUUAGAAACAAAUCACUUACACCAACUUGAGAACAAUAUUAUUGUCAUACUAUGUAAAAUGGAGCAAAUAUUUCUUCCAUCAUUCUUUGAUAUUAUGGUGCAUUUACUUGUGCAUCUAGUAAGGCAAAGGUUGCAAGACUUGUGCAAUAUUGUUGGAUGUACCUAAUUGAACGAUAUUGUUAUAAUUUCAUAUGAAUCAUUUAAUUUUAUUUUAUAUUAUGUUCAGUUCAUUAACAUGUACAUUGGUCUACAUAUGGAUGAUGAUAGGUACCUAAGCACUUUAAAGUCAUAUGUGCGUAAUAGAACUUUUCUAGAAGGUUCUAUUGUAGAAAGGUACCUUGCAAAAGAAUGUACAACAUUUUAUUCUAGGUACUUGAAUGAUGUGGAAAUAAAGUAUAAUCACAAUGAUAGAAACUUUGUUGGUUUCAACACUAGAGGAGAUGAAAGGGGUUAUCUUUAAACAUAUUGGACAUGCAUUGGGAAAGCCCAUAUUUCAUUAACUUAGUUCAAAAGAGUGGUCACAAGCACAUUUAUAUGUGUUGACAAAUUGCGAAGAUGUCAUACCAUUCAUUGAGUAAAAAAUUUAUUUGAAUUUUAAUUAAAGCUCUAGUUUAUAUCCUUAAUCAAUGUUUUUUAAAUUCACAAGGAGCACAAGCAAACCAUCAAGGCUAGACCACAUAUACGUGUUUGAGACGUAGAUUUAAUUCAUAACAAGGAAUUUAUCAAGUGGUUUGAAAGACAUGUAAGUAUAUUCCUUAUUAUAAGGGAUUUAUUUCACAUUAUGUUUAUAUUGAAUCCAAACCUAUUAUUGAAUUGUAGGUUGAACAAUUACAUAAUGAAGGUCAUAUAUCUGAACACCUUCUCACAUUAUCAUGUGUUCCAAAUUCAUUAGUUACAUGCUUCAAAUGAUAUAUUGUCAAUGGAUUUAGAUCCCACAUUAAAGAACGUGAUAAAAAAGUUUUUAAAAAAAGACUCAGAAUAAUGGAAUUGUUGUAGUUGCAAAAACGUCAAGCUUUACAAGUGCAUGUGAUAUGAGUCCAAUUAUUAGUGAUGCUCUCUACUAUGGUGUUCUAACUAAAGUUGUUGAGUUACAUUAUCUUGGUGAAAAUAAGGUUGUUUUAUUCGAGUUUGAUUGGUGGGAUGUUACAAAUAUUGGAAAAUUGAUAAAAGAUGAUGAGUACAAUUACACAUUUGUUAACUUUGCAUGAAUUCUAACCACGAACGAACGAUUUGUACUUGCAUCUCCAGCAAAGUAAGUGUUCUAUGUGAAGAAUGCGAAUGAAUCAGAUUGGCAUACUAUCAUGGAGAUGCAACCUCAAGACCUCUAUAAGAUGAACGGGAUAGGAUCCAAUGGUGAUUUUGAACCAUUUCAACAAAGUGAACUACAUGAUCACUAAUAUAUCUCAGAUUUAGUUGAUGAAGAUAUAAUCAAGUGGAACAAAAGUGAUGUUUUAGGACUAAUCAUCCUAAAAAAUAUUGUAGUUUCUUAAAAAAAAAAUGAAAAUGAAGAAGAUAAUUGAACCUUUGUCAUACUUUAAAAAGCAACUAUGCAUUGUUCAUUUUGUAUGUUUUGGUUUUCUUCAUUUAAUUUCCUGAUUUUUGUGAUUCAAUGUCAUAUUAUUGAUCUUGAAAUAUUUUUCUAAUUUUUCAUUCUACGAUGGUUUCAACAAGGAUGACAUCAAGUCAAAAAAGGAAAUGUGGUCCCACACACAAUAUUGCAUUACAGGGAUUAAGGUCAGGGAAGAAGGUAAAAGUUGCAUUUAAUGAGUACAAUCAAUUGGUUAAACAGAAAAAUGGAAAACACUUAUCGAGCUACAUAGGGACACUUGUAUCUAACCAACACAAUGUACCUCUCCAAGCUAGUGAUUGGAAAAAUGUUCCAAAUGAUGCAAAAGAGAAAGUAUGGCCUUUGUUUUGGUAUGUUGUAUUUCUCACUAUAUGAUGUCAUUUCACUGUUAUUCUAUUUUGUGACUAACGUUUGAAUCAUAUGUAAGAAAAAUUUGAAGUAGAUAAAGACUGAAAAGAUUACAUGUUGGGUAUAGCCUCAAAUAAAUAUAGAAGCUAUAAAAAUAUGAUGAAUGCAAAAUACUAUGACCCUUGGCAUAAGGAUGCAUGAGGAGAGGUUAAUACAUAAAUCACCAUUUGUCUCUGAUGUUGAUUGGAAGUGGCUUGUCUCUGAUGCAUAAACCAAAUCCCCCACUGAAUGUUUGAUAUUUGAUAGCAGGAAAAACACACCCGCAGCUAUACACCUCCAUCAUUCAGAUAAUUAUAGUGGGGGAGAUGAUUCAUGGUUGCCCUUAUACCCUUUAUUUGCACCAUCUAUUGAGAUUCUUUAUCAUGGCCAGGUUUUACUGCAGCAAUAAGAUAUGGUGGCAACAAUUUUAUCUAUAGGUGCGGUUCCAGACCGCCUCCAUAGGUGCGGUUCCUGACUGCCUCCAUAGGUGCCUCUUCUUGUAAUGUUUGUUCUGGGAAUUACACUUGAAAGCCUUAUCGUGAUAAGGGAUUACAAACACUAGUUCAGAGGACAGCCAUGUUAAACUUCCACUAUGUUUGUGUCACAUUAUCAGCAGCCUAGUGUUUAUUGGUCAUGCUAUCUGCAACUAAUAUAACCCGGUGAACUUCAAUCUAAAUUCUGAAAGUACUCAUGUGACAGAUGGUGCCUUUCAGCAGAUAUCAUCAAUUUAAAAGUAGUGUGUGUGCCUAUAGGUGGGAAGGCCUUGGCAAAUGUUCAGUAUUCCGGUAAUUCAAGAAGGAUAUAUCUAAAAUAGAUUUUCUUCUUGCCCAUUUCAAUAGUUAAAAUUUGAGAAGAUUGUGUCCACAUCACACAAAUAUUAUUGGUCCUUCUGUUGCAAUUUACCUCUGAACAUGUCUUCCAAUUCCCACGGUCCUGUUACUCCAGGAAAACUAUUUCGGUCAUAUUGAAAAAAAAAAUAUUAAAGAAGGUACACAUGCUUUUAAGUGGACUGGGGCAUUCAUAUCAGGUGGUCUGUAUCCACAUAUGCCACUUCGUGAAAGGUGGAACAGCCUAAUCACUAGGCUAUUUAGUGUGGCCCAGCCACGUUAAUCAAGCACAAGUCUUCAUACUUAAAGUCAAAUGGUGUCUUUAGUCUCAUUACACAUCGCUAUUUGAAGAUUAACUCAUCACUAGUGUAAUGCGAUUAAGACAGUCCUAACUCAAUAUUUGUUCUAGUUUUGGAUGCAAAUGCUUGCUGGUUUCAUCAUUGGAUGGGAUAAAGGUGCAAUCAGGACUAUGAAUACGUGCAGUAAUACUUCAUUCUCUUUUUUCUCAAUGAGACUUCUUGGCACAAUUUUGCUGCUCAGCAACCUACCUUUCCAUGGAAAAUCAGUUGUGACUGAUAGUAAUGGAUAUAUUCUAGAAAGCUAAACAUAGAUAGCAUUCAAUAUUAUCGAUAUAACAUUAACAGCGUAUGUCUCAAUGCUCAUCAGCUACAAGCAAUGGACAAACACUUUGAGUAACUCACAGCAGUCAAAAUUCCUAAACAGGACAGACGUGACAGAUCUAUAUAUAGAACACUGCAUAUGAGUCACAGGAAAAGAUAAUACGGGUACAUAGAAGCUCUUAUUUUACAUAUUACUCAUACUGAUCAAAGUCGCUCAGUUGGGAUGGAUGGGAGAAGGAGGUUUGAGGGGUGGCUUGUGCGGGGAAGUUGGCAGCUUCUUUCCGGGAGCUGGUUGCUUCUUUGCUGGAGUUGAAGGAGGCUUAAUCUUCCGAGGUGGCUUGUAUGAGUCUUCAGCAUUCUCAGCAGGAGGGUGACCAGGGUUGUGACCAUAAUGUGGUGGCUUCUCUCCCUUAGGUGGUUUGCCAACUGGGGUUGGUGGCUUGUUUUCUGGGAGUGGCUUCUCUCCCUUGGGUGGUUUGCCAACUGGGGUUGGUGGCUUGUGUUCUGGGAGUGGCUUCUCCCCCUUGGGAGGUUUUUCGAAUGGGGUGGGUUUGUGUCCUGGUGGUGGCUUCUCUCCCUUGGGAGGUUUACCAAUUGGGGUCGGUGGCUUGUGUUCUGGGAGGGGCUUCUCUCCCUGGGGAGGUUUAGUGGGUGGCUUGUGUUCUGGAGGUGGCUUCUCCACCGGAGGCUUAUGCUCUGGUGGUGGCUUCUCGAAGGGGGGAUGCUCAGGGUAAUCACCAAGUGAGGGGGUGGUGAGAACCACCAUGCCAAGCAACAACACUAGCAAGUAUGUAGUAGACAUCUUUGGGUUUGGACUCAGACAGUGCAAAACUACGAGAAAUCGCUAGCCCUUUAUAGCGGCUCGGACCUAAUACUGACAUAAUAUAAAAUAAAUAUUAUAUUUUAUCAAGAGAGAACAGAGUGUAAUUUUAUCAUUAAUACCGAUCGAGGCCAAAGAAAGAAGACCCAUAAUCCAUUUCCCACAAGCAUACACAAUGCAGCUGUAAUUUUAUCAUUUACUUUUAUCCCUUGGACCACUGCAUUUUUGUUGAGAGACACAAUAACACAUUUUUAUCUGUCAUUCAACAUUUACAGUAAAGAGAGGGCACAAAACGCAAUUAGAUAAAUUAUGUUUUGCCUGCUAAAAAGAGGCAAAUAACUUUAUUUGCAACAUAAUUAUUUUGGUUUCUAGUGACCCCGGGGCCUUUCGGUUGGUUUGGGAUCGGAAAAUGAACAUCAUAGGGGGGGUUGUGCCCUUAUGGGCAUAUAUAUCUGAUAGCUUCAACUGGCCUUGUUCCUAGAAAGAAAUUGCCAAAGAUAUAAACUUAUUCCAGGCUGAAAGUAGAUGAGAGUCAUAAUGAACAUCAACCUUUGUUCAGUUUGAUUCAAUGCCCCCAUAGUGUUCAUUUCACAGAUCUGAAUGAUUAUAUCCGUUGAAUACAUAAAUUAAUGAAGACAAAUAUGAAACCCAAGAUACAUCUCUGCAUAACAACCCCAACCCUGGUUGCUAUGUUUCCCUUCUUCUAUUCACAUGAGGAUACUGGUUAUAAUUGUCAAACUUGCAACAAGCCCUUUGACACCUAACGUCAAUGGACGAAUUAAAAGUCUCCUUCAAACGUCUAUUUCACAGCAUGAAGCUUAUAAAGGAUGCUGACAACCUUCAGAGUUAGCGACAAAAGAUAAUUAUCAAGGAGAGAUAGUUCCAUGAGAAUUCCAAGGAGUCUGAAUCAAAGACAAAUUGCUCACUCAAGGGUUCUUAUUUUCUUUUAGGUACAAAUCUCUUGAGUGUUGUUAAAGAAACACGUCACUGUCAUUUUGAUUUGCAUUUAACAUUUCACUUUUGUUCUGGAAGGUUUGUUCCGGAAACAUAUCAAAUGAGCAUCAUUUUCUUCUUCGGUGACACAUGGUCGCGAGUACGUGGGUCCAUUUUCAUGCCACUUAGUUGAAAAGUUGGAAAGAAAAAACAUGCCAACAAGAAGAUAGUGAGAGAAGGGGCACUUCAAGCCUUUAACAUGAACAAACAGUAAAUAAAAGAUGUUUCUCCACUCAUAAAAGUGUGUUAGAUAGCAAUAUAACGAAUCACAUCCAAAAUCUUUACUAGGCUCAAACAUAAAGAAGACUCAUUUUUAAGAAAAGAUAAAAAUGGCAUUGUCUGAUAGUAUCCAAUACACGAGAUGGCACUUAAUUUGUACAAGAUCUGUCAAUGCUGACGCACAUUUUCUGAUUAAAAAAAAACUGAUCAGUCAAAAGCAAUGAAGAGAAGUGAUGACAAUGAAUGAUGCUUCCAAUAUUUUCACCCCUUAUAGUGUUCUUCAUGAUUCAGAUAUAUAAUUGGAAAUAGAACAACCCUAUGCCAUACAUUCGUCUAAGUAUGGUGUCUAAUUUUUUGUGUCAGCGGUUGCGAAUGGAGCGUGCAAAAGUCCAAAUUGGCGUCUCUCCAUUUCCACAUAGGAAGGUGACCUUUAUUGACAAAUACCCAAUAUUUGUAGACAUUCCUUAAAUAUCAUAACUUCUUGUUGAUUUGAAAAUCAUUUUUCAACUACCAUGUUUUAAUAAAUAUUUUUUAAAAUGUAUUUUUAUCAAAGUCCACCAUGAUGGAUAAUAUUCACCAUGCAAUAAUUAAUAAAGUACAAACUAAGCGAAAUGAAAAGCAUUUUCUUUGCUUUGAGUUGAUUUUGGUUGCAUUGAGUUGAUUUUGGUUUCAUGGUUUUUUCAACUCUUAUUUUGAUUGGAAGAUGUCAAGAAAAGAAAACAUAAAGAAAAAUUAAAAGGGAAAAAAGAAGAAAAAUAAAAAAAAAUAGAUUUAAAAGUUAAUAAAUUAUUUUUUAUAUUUAUUUUAAUUCAUUUCACUUAUUUUUCUUUUACUAUAUAAAAUUUAAAUAAUUUAAAUUUUAUAAUUAAUUUAAUUACAUUUCAUUUUCUUCUAUAUUUAAAUAUUGGAAAAAUAUUUUACUUAAUAUUUUUUUCUUUAAUUUCUUUGGCAUUUUGGGAACCAAACUUAGCCUUUAAAAUAAAAAACAAAAAAAAAAUGAAAAUAAGGAGGGAAAAGUGAGAAAAGAUAAAAACAAUAUGUAAAGGAUUUGAAAAGUAUUAGUUUGUAAUUACUAUUUGGAUUUCAAUAGUAUUUUAUUUGUCUUUCUAUAUUUCAUGUAAGAGAGAAUUUAAGAUAUUCCCCAAGGCAAAGCAUUAGUUACCUGCAAUCAGUGGUGAUAAGGCUCCAAGCCAAUUUUGGGCCCCAUAUCUUAAGACAGUACAAUUUCCAUUUCAACAUUUCUGAUUUCUCAGAUGUUUCACAUACCACAGAAGAACAUUGUUUGUGAAAAUAUGCAUUUAUGUUGGAUUUUGUAUGCUGUGGGGACUGGGGCAAGGAUCAUAUGGAAGAGUGGUUGACUUUUUCUGUACUUUAACGGUUGAAAUAGGAUAAGCACGGGCAUUUGUGAGGCUUAAUUGAUUUUGAAGCCUGAAAUUGCGUUUCUGUCAUUUUGUCAAAAAAAUGGCAGAUUCCAUACUCAUAUGUUUGGCCUGUGGCCAUGUACAGAUGCCAUUUAGUGACCAGUUUGUAACUGUCAAUCGUUGCGUUUUGACUCUGCCUCAACAACAUCUGCCAUUGACGGGUUUUCAUACUUGCAAAUCAAAUAGUCUUUCGUCCCAUCAGGAAUUUCGGUUUAAAUAUUAUUAAGCAUACGUUUGGCUGACAAUCAUUAUCCAGUUCAUGAUUUGGUUUCUUACCCUUAAUCAAUGGUUUCUAAGUGAAUAUAUGUAGAAGGAAAUCCGAAGUGUAGACAGUAGUAUCGAUAACUCUCAAUAUUCUCUAUAUAAUAGAAUAAACAGCGUCAUAGUGAUCGUCGCCUACAAGCAAGGUACAAAUACCAAAACGAGUGACUCACAUAGACAUCUCCCAACAAGAUGUAGUAGUGACUGACACAUGGACACAAUUAACUCGUAGAAAAGGAUAAGACCAUUGCACAGCAGCUCUUAUUUUACAUACUACUUAUGCUAACCAAAGUCAAUUAGUUGGGAUGGGUGGGAGAUGGAGGUUUGUGCGGUGGCUUGUGGGGCGGAGUUGAUGGCUUCUUUCCAGGAGCUUCUGGCUUUUUCAUCGGAGCUGAAGGAGGCUCAAUCUUAUGAGGCGGCUUGUAUGAGUCUUCUUUACUCUCGACAGGAGGGUGGCCAGGGUUGUGAUCAUAAUGUGGUGGCUUCUCUCCCUUAGGUGGCUUGCCAACUGGGGUUGGUGGCUUGUGUUCAGGAAGUGGUUUCUCUCCCAUGGGAGGUUUAGCAAUUGGGGUUGGUGGCUUGUGUUCUGGGAGUGGCUUCUCUCCCUUGGGAGGUUUAGUAGGUGACUUGUGUUCUGGAGGUGGCUUCUCCACCGGAGGCUUGUGCUCCGGUGGUGGCUUCUUGGUUGGAGGGGGCUUGGGGUAAUCAGCAAGAGAUGGGGUGGUGAGAACCACCAGUCCAAGGAACAACACUAGCAAGUAUGUGGGAGACAUUUUUGAGUUUGGGCUGAUCAGAUGAUGCAAAACUAAAGCAUUACGUGACCUUUUAUAGCAUGUAGCUCCCAAUACCCACUAAGUAUUGUGGGGUCCAUUUGUGCCCUACGGGGUUGAAAACUUAGACAAUUGGGCAAGGACCCACCUGACUAUGGAGGACUAGUGAGGUGUGAUCAUAGCUUUAGGAUUUUUCUUCCUCUGCAGCCGUCGUGCCGUUGGCAUGAUUUUCUUAAUCUUAAAUAAAGGCAUAGUUAUAGAGUUGUUUAAUCUCUAAAUGGGAUUUUAUAUAUAUCUUCAGAUAGCCAUUAAUAUAUUUGAUGAAGAAAGAAAGACAAGUGCAUACAACAUGUAUACGACUAGCUUUCAUGGAGUUCAUUUAUGAUCAGUUUUCCUGUACAUGUAAACCAGGAUCAUAUAUAUGUUUCUGUUCCACAACUAUUUUGGAAUCUUGUUUAUCAGUUUUUAUCAUUAUAAUGUCACAUAGGCUGCCAACUUGGGCGCUAAAAGAACCAGUUGGGCUAGUUCGUUUCAGAAUUUCAAUGUGGAUUCAGGAAUUGUUUUGUAAGAUAUGCGAAAUAGUAGAGGGAUGAAUAGUGUUUCAUUAAUAAAAGUGUCCUGUAAAUUAGAAGGUGUCAUAGAAACUAUAAUCAAUAAAUAACUUUUUUUCCCCACGGGUGGUGUUUCUUGUGGGGAUCAGUGACUGGUUUAGGUUCACCCAAAAUGAGUUCAGACUAAAAUUGGUUUGAGUCAAUGCCGUGUCUCUUUUUUCCAGAAAUCAACUAUUUUAUGCAUUGAAUAAAUCAUACAAAGAAAAUAUGAACGCCCGCAAAACCUAAACCCUGGUUGCUAACUUUCUAUGUUUCAGUUCUAUUCACGCAAGAAUAUUAGUUUAAGUUUGGGAAAAAUGGCAACUUACCUAGUGAUUACUUGGUUUUGGUUUGCGACUAUUUACGCAACCAACCAUGAGUUUGACUUUAACGUCAUGGGUUGAAGCCUCCUACAGGAAGGGAGAAAGCUCCACAGCUAGCUCCAAAAGAGAAUUAUCACAUUGAUAGCUCCAGAGAUUCCCAAGGGGACUGAAUCAAAGACAAGUUCCUCACUUUUUCUUCUUUUGAGGCCAAAUAUGAACCAAGGAUCACACAACCUCAUUCAACUUCAUAAGUUUGAUUUCAUGCAGUUGAACACUGGGUGAAGGCCAUGACAAGAAUUGAUUCAAAAAUUCUAUCACUCUUUUAAGUAAUGGAAGAUUAUUAUCUCUGAUUGGCAUCACAACAGCACAUGCUCCUAGAUCUUUCUAGACACUCCAUGCAAUGAAAGCACAAUGGAUCUUGUAACGAUAGAAACUAAGCCAUGCUACAGUACUAGAUGAUGAGGUAAAACUAGUAGACACGGGUGGCAGCCUAUAUGGGAGGGACACAAGUCUAAUUGAUUUGCAUUUCAGCAUUAUAGAUAGGUAUGUUUUGGAAGAUUUGUUCUGGAAAUACCGCACCAAGUAGGAUUCUUUUUCUCUUUAGUGGGUCCACUUGCAUGCCAAUUAACGAGUUGAAAAGUAUGAGCACCUACCUCGUGCUCGUGGAACCGAAGGUCAGUGAAGUGGGGCUCCUUUUGGCCUCGUGUAAACUUGAUUCAGAAGUGAAGUUAAUAGUCUUCCAUUCAGAUGGAUACAUGGGAAUUUUUCUCUUUUAUUUAUUUAUUUAUUUUUUUUUUGUGUGUGUAUGUCAAAGGAUAAUGAAUGAAGCGCGUUAGCUUGUUUUCUGACUGGAACCGCAGAUGUCCAAAUUGGAGUUCCUUCAUUUCUUACUUAGGAUUGUUACAUGUAUAAACAAGGUAUAAGAAAUAUGCCAACGUGUCUUGAGGAGUUAUUGAUUAGAAAUAACAAGUCACCCGACUGUAGAGUUCCAAGAUUUGAAUCUUCAGACCCUAUAGCAGCCUCUGGGGUACGUGGCAUCCUAUAGCAUAUUAAUGAAGGCUUUUUCGAUUUAGACUUCACAAUACCAAUUAAUAUGUAUGCACAAAAUGGAGAUGACCCCAAAAAAAACAGAAUCGCCAUAGUUUAUGAGGUUAAGGUGAUUCUCCACUUAAUAUCUACAUUAGCUAAUUAUGUAAAUCAAAUGAACUUCUAUUUUUCCUUUUUUUUUUUGGUUUAUGUCAAAUAGUAGCCCAUAAUUAACCCAACCAUUAGCCUGUUUGAAUUGAUUUCACAUGCACAAUGUUGUAGUAGUUCAUAUUUUGAAUUUUAUUUUUACAAAGGUAGUUAAGGAAAAUGAAGUAUAAUAAUUAUAAAAGCAGACUAUAUACACUACAAUAAUUGUUAGAAUGGUAUCUCAAAUUCUAAUUUAAAAUAUUAUUUUUUGUAAAAGAAAUAUUAUAUAGAAUAUUUCCUAAUUUUAUAAAUGAUUAUAAUUAGAUCUUUAUAAAAUAAGGAAAGUUGGUAAGAAUAUCUUUAUAAAUAUUUUAGGUCAUGAGAGAAAGAAAUGGGAUAAAAAUGUGAUGAAGAGGUGAAAUAAGAGAGUUGAUUAGGAUAUAGAUGUGAAGAAGAAAGGGAUUCAAUAUAUAUAUAUCUUUCAAUUACCACAUUAAAACCCUGUGAACCUUUUAUAUGGUUUACUUUAUUUUUAUAUUCCUCCUUUAAUAUAUUUACAUUAAUGCUUCCAUUGGCACAACAAUAACGAAUUACAAAUACAAGCAACAAGUCCCAUGUUUUAUUACCAAAAGCAGGUAAAAUCCACCUAAUAUAUUACAAUAUAUUCAUCCAAUAUUUUAGACCAAUUCUUCACCAUAAAUAUCAUAAUGUGGCUUUUGUUCUUUCUUAAAUUUAAAUUGAAUUGUCUUAUAUCAAUUUGUUUGUGAUUUUUUCAUUAACUUCACUUUCAUUUGGUUAUCUUUGGUUUUUGAAAAGUAUUAAGGAAUUAAUUAACAAAAUAAUGUUAAGAAAAAUAAUUUUCUCUCUUUUGAUUUUGAUUUUGUAGUAGAAAAAUAUAAUUAAAAUUAUUUAAAAAGUAUGUAAUUUUAAAUUAUUUAAUAUUUAGAUAAAAAAAAUAAGUCUAAUGAGUUUAAAAUAACAUAUAAAAAUAAUUUAUUUAUUUUAAAUUUAUUUUUUAUUUUCCAUUAUGUUCUCUUUCUCUUUUACUUUUUCAUAUUUUUUCUUACGAAGAAUCAAACACAACCUCAUAUUAUAUGUCAAGUGUUUGUCUAUAUUUGAGCAAUGUUAGAUACGGCCAUGGAUUCAUCAAACUAAACUGAUUUUAAUAGAUACUUCACAAAUUGAUUUAUACACUAAAUCAUUGGAUAGCAAUGAUGCAUUGGAAUUAAACGUAGGAUGAAGCUCGAAGAACACUGUUUGUGUAACAACAUAUUUAUGAAAUUAUGCAAAGGAUGAGCUUCGGGGUAGUAGUACAAGGUCAUUAAUGGAGAGCCGUGUUAAACCUUGAUUGUGAUUGGAUUCCGUUAUCAGCAACAGCAACCUUGUUUGUAACCUUGAAAGUCAUUCUGUCCACAUCGAAACUCCAAUUUGACGUUUGUAAUUACCAUUCCUGGAGUGUUCCUUGAUUGAAAUUUAAAUAAUAAUUGCGGCCCACAAGGAAUAUUUUCGAUUCUGUGGGAAUUUGACAAGGUUUGUUAGAGAAGACUGGUGACAUGUUGACUUCAAUGGUUCAAAUAGGAGACGUAUGUGGAUUUGGGGGGUUUAAUUGAAACUGAGUCCCUAUGGCUUUUUAAUAUUUGCAUUGAGCAGUCUCCAUGUGACUUCCUAAUUCCCACCAACCCUCCUGUCCAUGCUGUGAAACUAAAUUGUAAUUUAUCAGCCUUUGUCAAUGGUUUCUAAAUUAAAGAUAUAGACCAUGCAUGUACUUUAAUAAAAGCAAAUCUAAAGUGUAGAUAGCAGCAAUGGUGACACCCAAUAUUCUCCAUAAAAUAGAAUUAGAAUAAGCAGUGUUACAUUGUUCAUGAUCACCUACAAGCAUACAAGAACUUCCAUGAAUAACUCAUAGCAAUUGCCAACAGGGCGUCGUAGAGACUCAUACAUAGAACACUAUCCACCCAGAGGAAAGGACAAGACCAGUGCGCUGCAGCUCUUAUUUUUCACAUGUAUACCACCACUCGUAAUAACCAAAUUCACUCAGUUGGGAUAGGUGGGAGAUGGUGGUUUGUGGGGUGGCUUGUGGGGAGGAGUUGGAGGAGGCUUUAUUUUCUGAGGCGGCUUGUAUGAGUGUGCAGGAGGAUGCCCGGGAGUGUGACCAUAAUGUGGUGGCUUCUCUCCCGUAGGUGGUUUGCCAAAUGGGCUUGGUGGCUUCUCUCCCUUAGGAGGUUUACCAAUUGGGGUUGGUGGCUUGUGUUCUGGGAGUGGUUUCUCUCCCUUGGUAGGUUUGCCAAUUGGGGUUGGCGGCUUAUGUUCUGGGAGUGGCUUCUCUCCCUUGGGAGGUUUGCUAAUUGGGGUUGGCGGCUUAUGUUCUGGGGGCGGCUUCUCUCCCUUGGGAGGUUUGCCAAUUGGAGUUGGCGGCUUAUGUUCUGGGAGUGGCUUUUCUCCCUUGGGAGGCUUGCCAAUUGGGGUUGGCGGCUUAUGUUCUGGGGGUGGCUUCUCUCCUUUAGGAGGUUUGCCAAUUGGAGUCGGCGGCUUAUGUUCUGGAAGUGGCUUUUUUCCCUUGGGAGGUUUGCCAAUUGGGGUUGGCGGCUUAUGUUCUGGGGGUGGCUUCUCUCCCUUGGGAGGUUUGCCAAUUGGAGUCGGCGGCUUAUGUUCUGGGAGUGGCUUCUCUCCCUUGGGAGGUUUUGUUGGUGGCUUGUGUUCUGGAGAUGGCUUCUCCCCUGGAGGCUUGUGCUCCGGAGGUGGCUUCUGAAAUGGCGGGGGCUUGGGGUAAUGAGCAAGAGAUGGAGUACUGGUGAGAACCACCAUUCCAAGCAACAAUACUAGCAAGCAUGUGGGAGACAUCUUUGAGUAGUUGUAGCUAAGAUGGCGCAACACUGUAGGCAUUGGGUGGCCUUUUAUAAAGGGCUGGACCCAACAGCCAUAUGACACGUGUCAUGAUGACAAAUGA